Molecule: long non-coding RNA, 99102 nt
Filed under: Gossypium barbadense (sea-island cotton)
Lineage: Eukaryota; Viridiplantae; Streptophyta; Magnoliopsida; Malvales; Malvaceae
Description: long non-coding RNA (GBAR_LNC021877)
Source: RNAcentral
AAGCAAAAGCUGCAUAAUCAUUCACCUUGUUGGAUGAUUUAAAAGAAAAGCUUCCUAAAAUUCGAUAUUUAAUGAAAAGGGCCAUGACUAUAACGCACAAAAAGCAAAAGUGUAGCAAUUUCCUUUUAAAGACUUUCUCCUCUAACAAUUAUGAUCAUUACUUUAAUUGCACUAUUUAAUUACUAUAAUUCAUUGAUUUAAUUAUUAAUUUAGAUACUAAAAUAUGUAUUUUUAUAAUAAUAAUUGGAUAAUUAUUUUAUAAACAAGAUUAAGAAGUUAAUAAGUGUCUUUAAUUAAUAUUAAAAAAACUAGUUUUAAUCCUCACGUGCAUUGCACGAUUAUUGUUUUAAAAUAAAUAAUAUACAAAAUAUUUCAUGUAAAUAAUAUUUUAUAAAUCAAAGAAGUUGGAGAAGAAAGAGAAGAGAAUAAAGGGACAAAAAAGUGAAUUCGAUCUUUGAGGGUUUUCCUUGUGGGUGACGAGAAUUGAAGGAAUGAAUGAUUGUGGUCGAGGUAGGAAAAGCGAUUGUGAUGCAGACUAGGUGGCGAUGGAGGGUGGUAGAAGAGGCGACCGUAGUAGCAACACCACUGAAAAAGGAUAACAACAGGGACCACGAGAACAAGAAUAAGAAACAAUGAGUGCAGGGGGUCAAUGAGAAGUUAGUUGUUGCAAUGUUUAGGGAGGAGGAGAAUUAAGCCAAAUUGAUAGUGGAAAGUUAAAUUUAUUGAAUUAUUUAGAAUUAGGAUUAAAUUGAUAGAAUGUGUAAGUAUUGAACACUAAAUGUGUAAUCAUAUCAAUUAAAAAAAGUCAUGUCAUUAUUUCCAUUAAUGAUUUAGUGAAGGGUGAUCAAAACAUAAACAAAUGAUGACAUUAGUGACAAAAAUGAAAAUUAUGGUGACAAAAACAGAAACACGCUAAUAGUUGGGUGACUAAUUUUAUAGUUUGCCCUUAAAAUAAUAGUUCUUUGUAGACGAAACUUUUACUCACAUUCUAAUGGCAAAUUAUUUUAUUUAAUUGCUUAAUAUUUUACUAUAAGUUGUUUCUCACUUUUUUUUCAAAUUUAAUUGGUUUUUAUCAUAAAUUAGACCAAUAAACAUUUAACUAAUAAAUUACAUAUUUGAAUUAUUAAAAAUAUUUUUAAUAAAUUAAAAAAUAAACGCCAAGUAAUGCAUGUGAUAUUGGAAUUAGUAGAUAUAAAAUUACAAAUUUGAGAAAUUGAUAUAAAUACUUUUUUUUUUAUUAUAUUAUGAAAUUCACAUUGAAAAACAACUAUAUAUUCUAUAUAUCCAACUUCUUGAUUUUGUCAUGAAGCGAAGUUUUAUAGCAUUAAACCAACAAUUAUAAUUAAACUAACAAAGUAAAUAUAAAUGGAUAUGGAAAUGAUAAUUAAGCAUAAAAUAGAAAUUGAUUUUGGUUAUAUUUUUUUUAGAUACAAUUUUAUCAUUAUUUUAUAUUACCAUAUUAUAGCCAUGAAACCAACAAUAAUAGAGAAUUAAACUAUCAAUUAUAAUUAUUGAUAUAAAAAAAUAAAAUUUAUACCACAAACAUGGUAGUGAUUGAACUAAUAUGGUUCAAAAUAGAUAAAUUCUUUCUCUUUAAAAGUAAAACACCAAAUUCAACUUCGUUUUUCCAACAGAAGAAAGGGGAAACAAUGUUUUCAAUCUCAUUUUCUAUAGCCUUCGCAGUUAAUUUGGAUAAAAGAAUCCUCUUUUUACUGUAACUAUUUCUUCUUAAAAUAGUAUUUUACUGAAUUACAUUUUUAUUGUAAUUUAAAUUAUUCAAAUUUAUAAAUAAGUAUUAUCUUAUUUUUUGAUACAAUAUUUAUGGGUAGGAGAUGGGAAUAACACAAUUCGAACCCACACCAAAUAAGUGUCUAACAAAAACUUUAAUCACUGUUCCAUUUAAGUCAAAACAUUUUUACAAUAAAAAGUUUGAAUAUAUAUGAUAAAAAAAGCUAUUGAAUUAGACUUUAUAUUAUCUUGAAUUAUAUUUUUAUUGUAAUUUAAACUAUUGAAAUAUACAGAUAAUAGUAAUAUUUAAAUUGUUUUGUAUUAUAUGAAAAAAAUAGUAAUACUGUACUAUUAAAUAAUAAGUAAUUACAUUAAUUUCUUUUGAUACAAAUUCCUAGAACUAUUUCUAGUUCUUCCCUAACCCUUCAAUAAGAGGAUAAAUAUAUUUCAGCGUGCUCGAAUCGACGUCCUCCUGCAUAGGCAACAAUAUCAAUGCCAACCUAACUAGAAUACAAUUGGCAAGUAAUUAUAUUAAUUAAAUGAAAUAAAAAUAUAAUUAACUAAACAAAAAUAAUUACACAUGUAAAUAGACAUGAUACGCAUUAUGACAUAAGAAAUUAGUUUUUUUUUUAAUUUAAAAUUAUGAUGUUUUCUUUUAACUUUUCAAUGUAAAAUGGGAGGAAAAAUUCAUGUUUAAGAGUAGAUAUAACAUAAUUUAGUGGAGUUCCAUGCAACCCUAGAAAUAGGAUAAUUAAUAUUAAGAUAAUUAUUAAGGAUUAUUUAAUUUUAGGAUUUAAUUUUAUUUAUCUUUAUUUAUCUUCAAUAAAUGUAUUUAUCUUUUGAGAAUUUAAGUAGGAUUAGACUAUCUCCCCUAGCACUAUAAAUAAGGGGUGAAGUGACUCAAAAGAGAUCUAUCUUUUUCUGUAAACACUCUCUCCUCAAAAGUCUAGGCUUUUGUUCUUCUCAUAUUUUCUUUCAAUAAAAUCUCCAUUUUUAUUAUUUUUAUUUUCUUUUCCACCACAACCAUGAGCCACUAAAUCCAUCUAGCCGAAGGUUGUUGAUAUUCCCCAAAAAGAGUUCUUGAGGCUUAGAGUCCGUACUUAGCCUCCUUGCUGAGUAUUCAUCGUUUCUCCGCACUACGGGGCUGACGCUUCCGUCCAUGUCCCUUAAGAAGUAAGCUUUUCAACGUAUGCAAAGGCGGCCGCUUUGUAUGUUUUGGGAAGGUUGCACAGUUGGUUUGUUAGCUUACUGCGUCAGAGGUUGGCGAGCCCAAGAGACAAAAUGGCGUAGGAUUCGCCAUUGAGAAGCGUUGAUCUAGCAUGAGAUAAUCCUACAAAAGUGAUUGUUGGCUAGAGUCAGGUUCCAUUAAAUCGUAAGUUUAAAUCAUUGGAGCUAGUGGUCGUAGGCGUCCUCUUCCACUAUAACUGGCUUAUUUGGUUUGGGAAGGAUCAUCUAAAAGCCGAAGAUUGAACCCAAGGCGGAAUGAGACAACUGGAGGCUGGAAUCUCCCAUAAGAAUUUCCUUUCUCUCAAAUCUAUUUUUAAUUUCUCGAAUCUUUAAUUCAACAUUCUUAAUUAUGUUUUUAUUUUAUUUUUCGUUUCCAGAUCCAAACCUUUAAUUAUGUUACUUUCUUAUUUUUUUCCAAGAACGCAGGUUUUCUUGGGCAUGAUUCUGCUUGAGAUUUCAUGGAACAAGACAUUGUGCAAAUCCAGUCCCUGAGGAUUUGACCUUACUUCCCUUUUACUAUUCUUUUUAAUUAUUUAUUAGGGAUAGAAUAUUUUUGGUGUUUUCAACAACCGCAUUAGUUAAAUAAUAGGAAAAUUGUAAUUACUAGUACUUUUAGUUCUUGUGGAUACAAUAUAUUUACUCACUGUAGCUAUACUAUUUAUCGAUAGAUGCACUUGCCUUUGUUGUAUUUUUUAGUUAGUUUCGUGACUAUCAAGCUUGUUUGUCAGUUGUAUGCUAAGUUGCAAUUAAAGGAACAAUUAAAGGAGGAAAUGGUAGAGAUGGACAUGCGAAUUGAUUAUACAGUUCAAAAUCCAUUUUUAUUGCUGCAGGGUCUUGUCCAAAGAGUAACCCACUGUAAAUCAACACAUUACUUGUGAUUUUAGUUCAACUCACUUAUCAAAUUAUAACUUUACUCCUAUAUAUCAAUGAAGAUCACUCUCAUUAAGAAUUUCCCCUUGAAAGCUUAGGUACAAACUUGGCUCUAAAAACAUGUUCCUCUCGAUGAACAAAAUAAGUGCUUUCUCUAAUUUGUACACAAAACUUUGGUCUAAAUACAUAUUUCUUUCGAUAAACAAAAUAAGUGCUCCAUUUAAUUUUUACACAAUUAAAUAAACAAGUAUUCUUGAAAUAAGAAUUGUAGAUAAUCUUCAACCAGUGUGAACAAGAUAUGCUACUGGAAUUGUGCCCCAAUUGGUCUUUUAUAUGACAUCAAAUAAGUAGAGAUUUUCUGCGUUUAAACUUCUAUAAAAACAUGAUCUCCUUAAAUAUGGUAAUUCGAUCUCACUUAAACUCUUCAAAUCGAAGUCUUUGCUUGAAAAAUAUUCAACAUGAUCAAAUCCAUAUAAUUGCUACUCAAAAUCCUCAAAGAGAUAUGAGAAAAAUAAUCACAUGGUUUGACUACCCUAAUCAGAAAAUUUUGCCAAACGACUUUGUUAAUUUAUUACAAAUAUUUCUACAAUAGGAACCUUAAACCAAACUUAAUUUGACUACCUUGAAAAUUUAACUUCUAAGGAAUUACUUCUUAAUUACAAUAUAUCUAACCUCGAGGCGAAGCCUUUGAAGGGAUCCCCUUCUUAUUUGCAUGACAUCAUACUGACAAUGAUCAUCCCUCUAACACGGUCUGGCUUGACCCACCUCAAUAUCCUUAAUCAACCAACGAUUCUUACAAAUAUAGACCAAAAUUCUGUAAGUUCAAAAGAACUUAGUGAGUUUUUUUAUCGCAUUACUAAAAAAUAAACCCCGUUUUACAGGGGUAGUAAUUGUAAAGAAAUUAAACACGUUUAACUCCCUGAUCGUUUUGGGACGAUUUAUUUAAAUCUAGAAUGGCAGACUCCAGUUUCUUUUUUCAGCUCGUUUAUUGGCAGAUAAAUCGAUAGGUGAUCUUCCCCUGGUCAAUUUUAUUGCCAUCCAACUGGUUUUGGUGAUUUUUUAAAUGUCUCGCAAUAACUAUGGAGUUUGACUUUUCUUUGCUUGCAUUAUCUCUUUCACCAUAUACUUAUAAGGUUGUCCUCCUAAACUUCUACCCUAAGGACACUUUGGUUAUGUCUUCAUCGGCGUAGAUUCCAAAUCUAACUAGUCCUUAGCAGACCCUUACUAUAGUCUUGAAGGACUUGUUAACAUCCUAUCAAUCAGGUUAACUAAUGAGGAUCCACACCACUUUGGCAAACUCAAUCUCAUUUCACCCUCCACUCGCGCUGAAAAUUUGGUUAGAUUACUUACUCGUAAUCCGCCCCUACUUGUGAUACUUUGCUUUUACGGUGUAGCUUGUCCGUCUACGGUAGACAGUUUUGGCUUACAAUAUCUAGUAGACUGUUACCUAAGCGACCCUUCAAUUUUAUGAUUUCUCUUGUAUGAUGGUUCCUUAUGGAACUAAAUCUAUGGCAUGUGUACCGAUAGUGGUUUCCCCUCAAAGAGGAAUAGUCUUGACAGUCAUAACUGCCACUUAGAUAGUUCCCUAUCAGUUACCCUUUCUAUCCUUACAUUCCAACUAAUCCCCUCUUUACAAACUUGAUUAUCCGGGGUUCAUACAAUUGAACCUCCCCAUAUAUCUACGAUUUUUAUCGAAGCCUUAUACUGGGAGUGAAUCUCUCGUUAACCUUCCAAAGUCUUCUUUUGACGUACAGAGUUUCUUUUUAGCACUUCUUGGAGGUUCUUAAUGGUAGAUCCUUACCUUUGAUCUACGAAUAAAUCCUCUUUCAUUGCCUCUAUACCAGGUAUUAUCGGUAUGUCAUUCCCAUAACUUAUUCUAGUUAGGUUACCACCCUACGCCUUACCGACUUAAUUGUUUAUCGCUUUGGCAGAUUUUUCCCAUUUCUAUUAUUUUUGCCCAUUUUUUCGAUGAAUUCUUCAAAAUCCGUUGGUUAGCUAUUACUUGCCAACACUUUAAAUUUUCCUAGUUUACGUGAUUUUCCAUGAUUACCGUCCUGGCGAAUUACCCCAUUUUUAUUGUCCUAGCGGACUAUCACAUAAUUACCAUCUUAUCGAAUUACUUGCAUUUAUUAUCCUGCCGGACUCCAUAUGUUGCCAUAGCCGAGCUACGAUCUUACGCAUCAUGCCCUAUGUUUAAGUCUCGGUGGACUCUAUUGGUUGCCAUAGUCGAGCUAUGGUCUUAUGUCAUAGGCCACAGUUCAAAGCCCAUGACUAUCGCAAAAAAUGCAUCCUAUGGAGGUCUAUCGGUUAGAUGGGAUUCAUUUGACCCAUGAGAACUAGCUUAACUUUAAAGAUCUGAUGAAAAAUAUAAAAAAACUUGAAGGGUCUUUCAAGACUAAGGUUUGGAUAAAAAAGUCCACAAGGACUGGUACGAACAAGCCCGCCAAGGAAGGUAUGUAAGAAUCCUUGAGCGGGUAGUUGAAAAGGAUACAAAAAGGGUUCAUAAAAGAAAGCCGAUUAAUGACCAUGUUAGAUAAAGGUCAACGAAAACCUUUAGUGAGGGGAAAGUGAAAUGAAGGAAGGAUAGGUUCACUAGCAUGAUGAAGUACCUGGGAUAGAAUCAAGUGGAGAGUUUAACUAAAAGAAGGACAGUCAGCGAGUAGCUUAGAGGAUUUGGUGGUGUCCGCCACCUUGAUGUCAAAUAUUCGCCUUGAGCAAGUAGGGAUUAAUCCUUAUUUAUUUUAUAUUAUUUUACAUUCGUUACCCUUGUGUGGUAGGGUUAUUUAUGGACAAUAAAGGAACUCAGUAAGUUCAUUUGAUCUUACAGCAACAUGCUGAUGUUUGCAAGACUAUGCUGAUGUUUGCAAGACUUGCGAGGAUGAUCGAGGACUUCGAGGAGGGACUAAGCAAGAGGGAAUGAUGAGAUCGGGGAUAGUAGGAAGUUAGGGUCAUGCACAUUGGAAAAGGGGUACUGUCAGAGGCUUCGCCUUAGGAGUUGUUAUAUUGUAUUCUAUUAGUGCCCUAGAAUAUGGGUUUUUAGGAGAAAUAGCCUUACUUAAAUUAUGAGAGUUGUUUUGUAAAUAAAUAGUCAUAUUAGGAACCGAAAUUGUGAGAAUAUAAACAUUCAGUGGCUUUAGGUUUUUGUUGCAAGAAUUAUAAUUAUUGUUUUCAUUUAAGUCUGUUUAUAAUAGUCCAUUGAUAAAAAUUAAAGUAUAGGUAAAAUAGGUCCAAUUAUGACGUUCCAUACCUGGAUCCAACAGACAGGUCAAACGUGGGGUGUUAUAGUGCUAUAAUGGAAGGCAAGUCUUCAAUCAAAACAAUGGUAGUGCUCCUUGAGUGUUGCUCUGAUGCGGUAGUGAAGGAUGAGUUGGUUGUGAUCAUUAGGAAAAUGAAUGUACCACCAAAGGUUGAAUCCUUUCUUUGGUUGGCUUGCCAUGAUUGUUUACCCUCAAAAUAUUUUUUUCAUGAUUAGGUAAAUGUCGACGGUGUUUUCAUUUUGAUAGCGGGGCCUAUAUUUUUUUCGAGUGCUAUUAUUUUUUAGUUAUAUGGUCGAUAGUGUUGUGGUGGUGAGGUUUUUCGUGGGUUAUGUGAUAAGUGCAUAAAAUGCCAAUUUAAUUGUGAUAAAUUUCCCUUUGAAUUGUACUAUUUAAGUCAUUAAUAUUUUAUUUUAUCUCAUUUUUUAUUUUUCAUGUAUUAGGUGAAAGCAUUGGAGAAAGUGAGCUUAAAGAUUAAUUUUGACAAGUUUUUGUGUAUUGGACUUUCAACUUAUACUGCUUCAGUAUUUUGGUCAUACUUGAGCUACAAAACUCUGAUUUGGGCCCAUAGUUUACCAUUUUGAAUGGAAUCAAAAGAUUUGCUGGACUUACUUCAAAAGCAAAGCCUAAAAAAAUUUCAAGAAGAUGCCCAAAACGACCUAGAAAUUCGAAACACAAAUCUAUCAAAAAGCUAGAAAACUCCUUUAAUUUAUUAAGGGAAUUUUUUCUUUUCUCCCUUAUGAGAAUUUUUCCCUACAAAUACAUAGUUUUAGAUUUGGAAUUGUAGUUGGUCACCUACAUCAUCUUUUUUUUUUUUUUUGCAUUUGUUUUCUUCAUGUGUUGCUAAACUUUUUUUCUAGUCAAAGGGAUUUUGAAGUUUUGAUUCUUCAUGUUUAUGAGAUCAAAUUUGUUCUUAAUAUUUUCUUCAUAAUUUUGUAUUCAUAUAUAUUUUAUUUUAAUUAUAAAUAUUUAGGUUUGUUGAAUAUAGGGACCGAUAUUGGAUAACUUAGAAUGUAUUAUUUGUCAAUUAGAAUUUAAUUGUUUAAUUGGUUCUAAUAUAUGUGACAAAUAGCAUGAUUGAGUAUAAGCUACAUAUGCAAUUCAUGUUAUGUGGAUAUGUAAUUUAGUCUAGAACUCUAUUUGUGUGUUUGUUAGCUAAAUUGGGUCUCUUUUGUUCUUUAUGCUAUUGAUAAAUUAAAUCUUAAGCAUUCAUCAUAGGAUUAUUUAUCGAUAAGAGAAAUAAUUAAUGGUGUUCAUCUUGGUUAUUGAAAAAGUAAGAAGAGAAUAGUUGCUAGGCAUUAGCCGAUAACUAUAGCCAAUUUAUUACAAAAUAUUGAAAUUUAUCUUUACAUCACUGAUUAACUCACAAAUCAAAACUGAGAUUUUACUUUUGACUAGGCUUACAUGGUUUUAAUUUUAAAUUUAGUCUUUAAAUUUAAAACCCCUUUCUUAUUUUAAAUUUACUUGUUUUCACUAAAGAAAUAAAAUUAUGAUGGGUCUCUAUGGAUUCGACCCUACUCAAUGUUAUAUACGAAAUUUUAUAUUUUUGAAUAGGUUUUUUUUUUAUUUUUGUUGGUUUCCACGCCCAUUAUUAUGCCACAUACGAUAAAAGAUUUAUUCUUCAAUGUUAUGAUGUUCUUUUCUCGAGUGUUACUAAAAAAAAGAUGGAUGACUAUCUGUAGUACAACUCUUUGGACGUUAUGGUUUAUGAGAAACUCAUCAGUUUUUGAUAAUAAAGAAUAGAAUGGCUUGGAAGCUGUGUUCCUUCACAAACUUAGAUCUAUGAUCCGCAUUAAUGUCUUGGAGGGUUUUAAUAACAUUAUUGAAGCAUGUUGGUGGGUUUUUCCAAGACUCUGCUAUACAUGUUUUGUUGCAUCAAAUUGUAGAGUUGGUGUUUCUUGGUCUCUUCUUGAUAUUAAUACCAUGAAGUUUAAUGAGGAUGGUUCUUCACAUGGUAAACCAAGUCUAGCAGGGUGUGAUGGUGCUUUAAGAGAUGCUACAGGUUGUGUUAAAGGUUCGCUUUUUAGUCUUUUGGGUAUUGUCUGUUUGAAUGAAAUUUAAUUGAUUGCUACCAAAACUACCUAACAACUUUUUUAUUCUUUACAAUGGGUGCAUUUAGUUCCCAUUGUUAUUAAAUCUAAUUCAAUAGUAGCAGUUUCAUGGGUGUGCAAGAAUGAAUUUAGGUCAUGAAGAUUGUGGAAGAUUUUUAACAAGAUUGAUCAAUAUGUUGACUUUAUUAAGCAAGUUUCAUUUGUUAAUGUGUUUUGAUAGGCUAAUGGCUUAGCCGACUCCCUUGCCAAGCUUGGUUGUUUGUCGAAGAUCUCUAUUUUAUACUUGGCGUCAAUGGUUCUAUUUUACUAGUGUACCUUUAUAUUGGUUGUUUUAAAUAUCAUAUCUCAUUUUUCUUGAGAUUUCUAUUGUGCUUUUGGUAAAAAAUUCCAAAGAGAGAGAAUGUCAGUUACACAUUCUAAUUGUACCAUCAGUUAUAACUCACUUUAUAAUUGAACGGCUGUGUAAAAUACCAUAUAUGUUGGAAUAUUUUGACAUGAAGUACUUGAGUUUCUUUAUAUGUCUCUUUGAAAAUUUUAAGCAGAAAUGAUCUAAGAAUGAUCAAAUUAAAUUACGAUUAAGUGGGAUAACGAUUGGAAGAGUUUAUGUGUGAUCAAGAUACCAUAUAUAAGCAGAUUGAGUUUCUAUUGAAGGUUAAUUCGUGAAGAUUUUUGCUUAUUUGAUGUCAUAUAAAAGUCUAAUUGAAUCAUAGUUCCAAGGGCAUACAUCAUUCACACUAAUUGAAGAUUUACAAGCCUACAAUACCUAUUUAAAGAAAAUUGCUUACUUUAUUAUGAACGAGUUGAAGAGAGCAUAAACUUAGUUCAUCUUAGGAACCGUUGGAGUUUUAGAAAAAAAAACUUAUGGAAAAGAGAAAAUAACAAAGUCAAGAGAAAAGUAGAAGUAAUUGGAAUGGAAUGAGUAUAUUUUAUUGAACUGGAACUAGCGUUUAUAUAGUAAACAAGUUAACAACUAUUGACUAAAAAUAUGCUACUAACAGAAUUAUAAUAUCUAAAAAAACUCUAAAAAUAUGAAAAAAAAACAAAAGAGUUAUAAUUAUAUCUAAAAUUAGCUAGAUUAUGGUAAUUGAAGAAAAUUUUCAACACUCCUCCUUGCUUCAGUUGCUGUAAAUUCCAAGAACAUUUUGCAGCAUAGCUGUUAAUUGCUUUGCAAGAUCUGCACCAUAUUGACAGCUAUUUGUUGCCCCUCUAAUGUUGACAACAAGAAAAGGCUUUACAAGCAAAGCCAGUUCAUCAUGCCAUACUGAAGUAACACUUCUUAAUGCAACUGAAUCAACCAGAUGAAGAGCUCCUACAGUAAGAACCACAUGCCUAUCAAGAGGUCUACGAAGAGUUAUCCACCUCUGGUGAAACCAAGGAACUUUUCUCAGUCCAUGAGGAGUCAAUGGAUAAUAAUCAUGCUAGGAAGUAACCUCUAAAUCAAACCUAUCCAACCAUGACCAUGGAUGUUGUGUAUGAACAGCAAAAACAUUUUCUAUAGCUAACUAUUUAAUGGGGCUCGUAAUGGAAAUUGUAACCCGACUAGAUAUGAUGACCAACAAAGGCAUGUUAAAUUCAUCUUUGGCAGUAAAACCACCCAAAUUAGCAACAGGUCUAAGAGGUGGUUCUUCUGAAUAUGGAUGAGAAAUUCCAUGAGGUGUAACUGAAAAACCAAGCCCCUCACCAUCAUUCUGGUUUUAUACAGUCAGAGGCGAUAUCAAUAUCUCAUUCUCUUCAUUUGAAUCACUAAGAACAAUAGCCUUUGCAUUUCCUACUAGUGUAGAUUGGUUUUAGUCAGUAAAUUCAUGUGCUGAAUCUGUUAAUACAAAACUCCGGUAAGGAAAAUCUCGAACACACGAUCAGAACUUGAAAAGAAAAGAAGAAAUAGGACAAGGCUCCAAGGCAUAUAUCAAGCCACUAUCUUUAAGGUUAUAUUCGCCCUCACUUAUCUUCAGUGUGCAAAUGAGUUCCAAGCAAAUUAACCUCGAGGAUACAAUGAAGCCAAUAACUAUUUGCGUUUUGCACUGACGAGAAUAGUCCACUUUGCACUGAGUAAUGUAUAACAAAAACUCAAUUUCUACAAAGGAUUUUUGCAGUAAUACUUUAUAGAAUAAUCUAAUAAUAUUAGAAAAUGAAGGAAGAGAAGAAAUAAUAUUAGAAUUUGUUGAUAUAUUUCCAAAUGAAAACCCAUUCCUAUUUAUAGGAAUUUUCUUGUCUCUUCAUAGAGACAUCUUUCAAUAGGUGUCUUUAUGAAUAAAUAAAUAAUAAUAAUUAUUCAUUUAAUUUUGUAACUAUUCAAAUAAUAUUUUUUGAAUAAUUAUAAUUCUUUUUUAAAAAAUCAAAUGAUAUAACUUUUGACCAAUGACCAAAAGAUUUAUCUUUUGAUUAAUUACACCCAUUCAUUUAUAGUUAUUAGGAUACUAUAAAUAUUUGAAAAUGUUCCAACAGAAUCUAUGUUUAGAGGCACUGAAUCAAGUUUAAUCUCAUUGCUUGUAAAAUUCAUAAGUUCCACCAACAUCCUAAUUUACGCUGGCAUCUUCACACCCUUACCACUUCCGGUAGCGCCACUACUCACUGGUAUAAUUUUUUGCUCAUGAUGUAGCUUGUUUGGUAAUCUAGUAAAAGAAGAGUUGUUUAAGUCUUCAGGCUUGCUAAAUUGCCAGUACCGAUUUUGAUUAUUCUUUAUUCUGAGUUUCAAACUUGUAUAUCCUUUAAAAGUAUCUUCAAGUUUGAUCUGCUUCAGAAUUCCAGCUGUAUGAUUGAAAUGUCCAAGCUCUUCUGCGAAACUUCAGCAUGAACAUUUGUUGAAGAGAGCGCAGCUUGCUCCUCCUCCAAUGGAUCAAGUACAAGGCUCUUUUCUUUCAUUUUUACUUUGAAUGCAUCGUUGCCAUUUGCAUAUUAGAUUAAACAUUAAUUUGAUUCAAAGAUAACUUUGAAACCCUUUUGAAUUACCUGGCUAACACUCAACAAAUUUUGACUGAUGUUAGGUUCAAAUAACACAUCUUUGAUAAAUUUUGUACAUAAAAUUCUUUCAAUGGAAACUAUGCAUUUUCCCUUUUAUUGCAAUGUACUCAUCAUUGCCAAUCUUUACUUAGAAAACUAUUGGACUAUCCAAGUCUUUGAAAAGCUCAUGAUGAAAAGUUAUAUGGUUGGUACAACCACUGUCAAUGAGCCACUUCUCACUCGAAUGACAGGUUGUAAAACAAGUGGCCACAAAGAGUUGCUCAUCUUCUUCUUCGUCAAUGACUUGAGCAACAUUCUUUUGUUGCAAAUGCACUUGCGCAUCAGUCUUUUGCUAAGUAUUACUUCUGUAAAAUCUUUGAUGAUGUCUCAUCUUCUGACAUUUUACACAUUGCUAGUCUGAUUUUCUCCAACAUUAGAAAGGUGGAUGAUCCUUUCUUCCACAAUGUUUACAAAGAGGAAAAUCAUAUUUUGUUCUUGUAUUUUUACUGAAAGAAUCAGAACUUGAAUUUCCCUUUUUGUUCUUUUCAUGUUUCUUUCCCUUUCCUCCUCAACUAUUCUGAGCUUCUACAACUAAUGCACCUUCAACAAACCCUUUAGUUCUCACGAGCCUUCUAUGUUUUUGUACUUGCAAAGCAUUCAUCAAUUUUGCCAAACUAAUCUUUAACAAAUCUUUAAUGUUUUCCAAAGAGGAAAUGGUAGCUUCAAAUUUUUCAGGAAUAGUUACAAGAAUUUUUUGAACUAAUCUGGAAUUAGGAAAUUUAGAACCAAGUAAUCUUAGUUUGGUUGCGAUUCCAAGUAAUUUGUCAAAGUACUCAUUCACCGUCUUAGAGUCCUUCAUCUUCUAGAGUUCAAUCUCUCUAAUUAGGUCUAACAUUUUCAUGCAUUUAAUCCUUUCAUCACCUUCAUACUCCUUUUUCAAGAAAUUCCAAACUUCAAAGGCUAACUUUAUUGUCAUGAUUCUGAGAAAGAUGUUAGAUGAGACUGCAACAAAUAAUGUAGCUCUUACCUUUGAUUUUCUUCAUUUCUUCUCCUUGUGAUUCUUCAUUUGUACCACUAUCAAAUUGGUCGAUAACGAAGGAACUUUGUAGUCCUCCUCUACAGCUUCCCAGAGAUCAUUUGCCUCUAGAUAAGCCUCCAUCCUUGCUACCCAAACAUGGUAAUCAUCACCAUUGAAAAUGGGUGGUGCAAGUGCAGUGAAAGGAAUUUCUGAAUCCAUGAAAGAAAAAAAUUUCCACAUAGAUCCUUCAAGAAAAAAACUCUUGAUACCAAUGUGUUUGAAUUUGAUAGAAAAGCUUAUGAAAAAGAGAAAGUAACAAGGUCAAGAGAAAAGUAAAAGUAAUUGGAAUGGAAGGAGUAUAUUUUAUUGAACUGAAACUAGUGUUUAUAUAGUAAACACGUUAAUAAAUAUUGACUAAAAAUAAGCUACCAACAGAAUCAUAAUCUCUAAAAAAUCUCUAAAAAUCUGAAACAAAUCAAAGAGUUGUGAUUAUAUCUAAAAUUAGCUAGAUUAUGGUAACUGAAGCAAAUCUUCAACAUGAACUUUUUUUAAUGUAAGUCCAUUAUGAGCAAAUUAUUUUGAGGUUCAAAUUUGUAUCUAAGAUUUAUAGAGGAAAGUCUUAGAAAAAAAAAUGAUUGUAACAUCUCAAACCCGGUCCAGACGUUAUAGUUGAAUCUGGAGAAAUUACAUUAGUUUGUUUAAAAAAAACCCAGAAGUUAAAUCAUAGCUUUAGAAACCAAGAAUUCUAAAAAUAAUAUUUUUAGCAAAACACUUAAAUGUUAUUUUAGAAAUUACGCACAGAGCUUAUUUAUUUUACAGAAUAGCUCUUAACUUGAUCUUAUUCGAAAACUUUUGAUUUCAAUGAGUGUUUAGAAAAUAUAAAUAUAACAAACAUUCGUUAAAAGCUAUUUAUUCGUUUAUAGAAAAAAAACUUAAGAAAUUACUUAAUUUGUAGCGGAAAUUUUUUCAAAAUUUUAGUUUUGAAAACUGUAAUCCAUUUUGUUAACUCGUGUGAUUUUGUAGUUUCACAUUCGAAAAUCUCAAAUGUCGAUGAAUUAAACAAAAACCAAAACAAAGCUCAAAAACAACUUACAAUCCCAAAAGUCCAAAAUAGAUAAUUACAAAUAUCACCAUAUUUUAAUUAACUGAGAAAACAACCCGAGCUCCUGUACAUCGUCUGGUCCUAAGUUUGUAGUUCACCUGAAACGUAUUAACAAACGAGUGAACUAGAAGUCUAGUGUGCAACUUGAACCACAAAAUAGAAUUUCCAUAAAACAUACACAAAUGUAAAUACUAACAUAGAAUUUUACUUAUAAUGUUCACACAUAUGAAAAAUCAUACCAGAAUGGCACCAUACCAGAAACAUAUUAUCAAAAUAGAAUAUCAUAUUUCCAGAACAUAUAUCAUAUCAAAAUGUCAUAUCAUAUUGGAACAAAUCCUACCCCAAUCUGCUACACACCAACUCUAUCCAACCAAUCACACUAAUAGGACUACAUGAGUCCAUCCAUCCAAUCACAUCGAGUCGUGGUGAUAUGCCACUCAUAAUGGUGCAGCUGAGUUGCCAAACAUAUAUUGCAGUUUAAUCGCCAAAAUUACAGUAAAACUGCCAUAAUACACUUCUUCCUUUCAAUAUUAACCCAACCUAAUGCGUGUGAUAUGACAUAUAGAAACAAAAUCAGAACAAUGACAUGUUUAUCAUGCAAUCACAUAUGGCAAAUUCUGAAGUUUAUCUCAUAUUAAGAGAUCAGAUUAACAGCAACAGAAUCGUACCAUAAUAUCACAAACAUGAGUGUCAAAUUACAACAUAUUCAUUAUCACACAACAAAUCGAAAACUGCAAAAUACAAGUCAGAGCAGUUGCCUUAGAUUUAGAAUUAGUAAUCAUUUUAGUACUUCCCAAUCGUCACUUAAUCACAUUUCAAAACAAAAUCACACGAGUUAACAAAAUGGAUUUCAAUUUUCAAAACUAAAUGAUUAACACAUAGUUUUUUUUACUUAAAAAUGAUUAACACAUAGUUUUUUUACUUAAAAACCCAUACUACUUACCAUAUCAUACUAUCAAAUUUCAAGUUUUCAAGUCUUAUUUAAGCCGAACGGACCCCACGAAAGGUCUAAUUAUGAAUUUCAGAGUCAAACGGGCCUAGGUGAAAAUUUUUAAAAAAUGGGUCCACACAGUCGUGUGGCCCAUACGACCCAACUAGCCCAACCCAUGUGACCCAUAGGUUUGCCACACAGCCUACCACACGGCCGUGUGACCUAUACAGUCUGCCACAUGGCUUGACACACGGUCGUGUGAUGAAUAGUAGUUUCGAAACAACUACUAUUUUCACAGAUUUUCCAGGUUCUAAACAACGUUUUAGUUUAGAAUCACACACCUGAUUGUUGAUUUGGUCAACUACACAACUGAGACUCACGAAUCCUGGAAUCGAAAUUAAAACGCAUUGAUUACCUAGCCAAAAUAAUCCCAAAAUUUCUCAUAAACACACCCUUUUUCACAACAAAAAACAGCCCAAAAAACCAUGCUCAAUCACUUACUACGAAAUUAACAGUUGCCAAAAUCGUUCCUAAUUAGUUGGCGAACCGUCGAGCACCUCGCGGUUAUCUCCUAACAAUAUAAAAACACACAACACAGAGAUUAAAUUCGAACAAUUUUAAGCAACACAAUGCUUAACUUAAUCCAACUUGAAACACUUGUACACUUAUCGAGCUUGUCACAACUUCACAACGAAGAACGAAAAAUAAACCAAACUAAUAGUAGAAUCACAACGAAAAGUAAACUUUUGAUGCGCAAUACCCAAAAAUUGAAAACAAAACCCACCCAAAAAUAGUAGAGAGAAACCAAGCAAAAGAGACUGUGGAAGAAACAAAACCCACACAAAAAAAGGAACGUGAGAAGCACAAAGAAGUGGACAGUUAAGGUUGAGAAAAAAUAGGGAUUUGGAAAACAAGUAUUAAAAUAAAAUAACUCAAAUUUUAUCCCACCAGAUUUCAUAGAAUUUAAAUUAAACUCUAGUACCCAACAAAAGCCUGAGCAAAAAUAUUUUCCACUUGCGCACCACAAGAUUCAAACACAAAACCAAAGCGUAAACUAACAAGUUAACCUUAUCACUGAACCAACAAACUCAUUUUGUUAUCAUUUGCAUGGAAAUAAGAUUUAAGUCAAAAGACUAGGGAUAGGAAUUGAAAUAACAAAAUUUCAAAGAUAAAAUUUAAACUUAGGACCUCACACACACAUACAGAACACAUAUCAACUAAACCAAAUUAAAUUAUUUUUCAUAAUUUUCACAACCUUAAUUCAAUGUAGAGCGUGAACACUCUUGAUUCCACUAACCCAAUUUCUUUUAACCUGGUUUUCGGGAUGUGACAAUAAUCUUAUAUGGUUGAUGUAAAUGUGUGGGGUUGUAACUUGAUAGGCGAGUUGAACUUAAAUCCUGACUUGUAUUGUUGAUGUACAGUGAAUUACUCUAGUAAGAUUGACUCCAAAAAUUCAAAAUAGAUUUUCGAAUUGCAUAAUUAGCUCUUGUAUCCAUCUCUAUUUUUUACUCUCUUAUUAAUUCAUCCACUUAUAUCUUAACUAAUAGUUGACCAUCAACACAAUACUUUCACAUUUAAUAAUCUUCAAUUUUUGAAAUUGCUAACCUUUCGUAUCAUAAAGACCUAAAUCAUAUUCUUUAAAAGAUCGUAACCUAUAUGUAGUGAAAUAUUGUACAUUCUUUUUUUUUUUUAACUUACAAUAUUAUACGUAGGUGGAAACUUGAGUAUAGUUUUUAUAAAAUGCUAGGGAUGCAAGAUUGACGGAAACAAAUACAGUAUCGAAGACUACAAAUGGUUGCUCUAUUGACUCAUCCUUCCGAUCAUAUAUAUAUAAAGAAGAUAAACCAAAGCAUGAAUUCAUUAUGUAUGUAUAUGUCACUUAGUGGAAUUGGAUAAUAUAUGGGUAUAUAUUAUGGAUUCUUCCUUCUUUUACUUAAGUAUUGACCAUAUCAUUAAUUAACCCACUCUUGACUUGAAUCACCUUUUUCACUGGUAUCUUUUGGACUCCCAUGCUCAUCUUUCGAAAGAUUAUUGAAUAAAUGUUGUUGAGGGAAGAAUUAUAUGGAUAUAGUACAAUCAAGCAGCAAUCAUUUUGUUGAUUAAUGUGGCAACUAAUAUAUAUAUUUCAUUUGUCGAAAGAAAAGUAACUGGGUAGCUAGUAAUGUAGUGCACUAAUUAAUAUAUUAUAAUUAACCAAAGGAAAAUUGCAGAUACGAACAAGUACAAUGAUUGUGGGUGCUAAAUCAAAGUGCUUCUUCAUGAUAUGGUUUUAUCGAACCUUUUUAUUUGUGUAAUAUUAAUUAAGUAGCAAAUUGGGAUGAAUGAGUUAUGACAAAGAUUAUCUGUUUUAUAUGAAUGUGUUUAUAUGUAGAUAGAUAAAUAAAUAGAUUAUUUUGUUUGCUUUUGAAUGGAGCUAGAGAAUCAUGAAAAAUUAUUUAACACCCACAAUUACAAGCUUUUUAGCUCAAUCAAACCAAAAUGAUAAUGUACACUCGUGCAAUGCCAUAUAAGAAGAUCAAGGAUUCUCUUUUUAGGCUUGUGGGAGGAAAAGCUAAAGCACACCCUCCUCUCUCUUUCUUUCAAGAUACCACCUUUUUUUAAAGUUAGCUAGGUAGGGACUAGGAACCGUCCAUUUAAUUUUUCUUGUAUAUAAAAUAUUAAUACAUUUAGGGAGAGACGGUAAAUGAUGCCUAAACAAAAUAACAAGCCUAAAAAAUUGAUUGAUUAAACAAGGUCGCCAUCAAAUUAAAGUUUCACUAAUUAAGGAAAUUGAAGAAGACAAAUGAUAUGAAGUGGGAAAUAUAUGGGAAGGCAGAUUGUACAAGUGAUGAUUGGGAGUGUUGGAACUGAGAAGGAAAAGACAAGGUUUCAUUCAAAGUCUUUGCAUAAAGGAAAAUUCAAAUCAAAUGCAAAAGCUAGAAAUUUACUGCUUUUUUUAUUACAAGUUGUGGAAAAGUGAUCUUUAUAGGAUCAUUUUACCAAUAAAGGCCUAUUUUAAAUUUUAUUUAUGUAAAUGGGUCACUUUUUUAUUAUUUAUCGAAAUAGGCUGAAAACACUAAAAUAUGUCUACGUAGGAGCGUUUUAAGGAGAAAUUCCAGCAAAACGAGUCCCUGAGGGAGUGAUUUUGCCAUGUCACCACAAAAUGCGCUGACAUGACAAAAUCGCUCCCUCAGGGAAGCGUUUUAGCCCGUGUUUUUCUAAGGUUAGAGCUAUUUGCAUGUUUAGUGCCUAAGGUUUGUGGGUUUAGAGUUUUAAGGUUGUAGUGUUAGUGUUUUGUUAAAAUAAUUUAGGAUUUUAUUUAUUUAAGGUUUGAGAAUUUUUUAAAAAUAAAUCAGGGUUUAUAAUUUUUUUUAAAUUAAUUAAAUUAGGUUUUAAGGGUUUUAAAUAAAUAAAUUAAAUUAAAGUUUAGAGUUUUUAAGAAAAUUAAUUAAAUUAGGGUUUAAUUUUUUUAAAAAUAAUUUUGUGUUUAGCUUUUAGGGUUUUUGUAAAAGGGUUUAGGUUAAGGGUUUAGAAAAAAUUAUAUUGACAAGAAGGAUUUUGUUUUUUUUUCUUUAGUAGUUUCAGAAAAAUUAAUUUUGAGAAGACGGUUCUGAAAAAAUAGUGUUGAAAACGCUUCAAGUAAGAUGCACUAUCAGCAAAAUUACUGAAAAAAGCUCCCACGUAGACGCUCUUUUUCUACAGUUGUUCCUGAAAAAAUAAUUUUGAGAAGACAGUUCUGAAAAAAUAGUGUCAAAAAAGCUUCAAGCAAGAUGCAUUGUCAGCAAAAUUACUGAAAAAUGCUCCCACGUAGACGCUCUUUUUCUAUAGUAGUUCUUGAAAAAAUGAUUUUGAAAAGACAAUUCUGAAAAAAUAGUAUCAAAAACGCUUCAAGCAAGAUGCACUGUUAGCAAAGUUACUGAAAAAUGCUCCCACGUGGACGCUUUUUUUCUACAGUAGUUCUUGAAAAAAUUAUUUUGAGAAGACAGUUCUGAAAAAAUAGUGUCAAAAACGCUUCAAACAGGAUGCAUUGUUAGCAAAAUUAUUGAAAAAGCUCCUACGUAGACGCUCUUUUUGUACAAUAGUUCCUGAAAAAAUAAUACUUAGAAGACGGUUCUGAAAAAAUAGUGUAAGAAAUACUUCAAGUAGGAUGCACUAUCAGCAAAAUUACUGAAAAAAGCUCCCACAUGGACACUCUUUUUCUACAGUAGUUCCUGUUUGGCCUUAGGCUAUAAAUGAGCCAAAAUUUAUUCUCAUUUGCAUAAGUUACAGCAAGAAAAAUUAGAGAGGCUAAGCAGAAUAAAAAUUAGAGAUGAGUAAACGUAUUAGUGUUGUUAUUUACUAUGAUGGUGAGGUCCAUGACACUGAGAAUGGCGUUAUUUUUUUAUCAAAGAACACAACGCGACUGGUUUGACAGAACUUCGUAAAAGACUUAGGCACAAAAUCUUCUGGACGACGCCAAUGAGAGUUUUAUCUAUUAAGUAUUGAUUUUGUGCUUCGAUUGAUCCCGUGACAUAUGACUCAUUUGAUAUCAAAGGUGGUCGUAGCUUGGAGGCGAUAGUGCAGACUCAUCUCGCUAGUGGAUCACCCUAUCUUGAGUUAUAUGUACAAUUUUCAUCGCCAAAUGAAGUAUUUGCAACUUCAACAUCUAAUGUUGUUCGAGAGGAAUACAUGACCCCUACCUGACACUCCGUUAGUGGGAGGCAGAACAACGAAACGCCCAUGUUUAGUGGCAGUAUGAAAUACACAACUCCUGCACGACACUCGGUUAGUGGAUGGGACAUGCACCUCAAUGGGUUGAUGUUCGAUGCUGGAAAUACGUACUUAGGAAUGUCAUCAACUUCUAGUGGUUGACAAUCUACAUAUGAUUGGGGACGUUACAAAACAUCCACAAGAAGGUAUGAUGUACUCCCUACGACGUCCAUUGGUGAGAGAACCUCGUACGUUGCAAAUGAUGGUGGGUUGGAUGAUGAGUUCGAUGUGGACCCACCUCGAGAGCCCGGCCUCGAUAGUGCAGAAGUUACAUUAUUUUCUGAACUGGCCUGUUCCAACCAAACCUGAAGACAAUGAAGGGGUUCAGAUGAUGAAGAAGAAGAUCUGCGAUUCACGGCGUACUCGCCUCCAGCCCACAUACAUAAUGUUAAUCUAUCAGCAGAUGAUGCGUUGGAGUUUCCAGAUCUACCACACAGAAAGCGUGAUCGUACAAGUUCGUCAUUGGAUUCAGGUGAAUUAGAAGUUGGUAAGGAGUUUUCCAGUAAGGAUAGUUUUCUUAGUGCAUUGAAACAACACAACAUCAUGAACGUGGUUAACAACCACGUGGUUAAAUCUAAAUUUAAAAAGUUCGUGGCCAAGUGUGAAGUGCAAGACUGUACAUGUUCAUGGAAAAUCAUAACUUCGGUUAGGAAAAAGACAGGCUUGUGGGAGAUAAAAAAAAGUACAAUGGUCCACAUACCUGUGUUGCUAGUACAGUAUCACUGGGUGUUUAGGAUUUUUGAAUAAUACUAUUAUUACUUAAUGUUGCAUUACUUAACAUACUUUGUUGACAGGUGUUUCACAAGAUCAUCCCAAAAUGGAUUCAGAUAUGAUAGCUAGCUUAAUACUACCGAUGGUGAAGGUAGAUCCCAGGACUUGUGUCAGUCUUAAUUACCAAUAUUCGUAGCCAAUUGACGUACACGCCCUCUUACCGCAAAGCUUGGUGUCAGGUGCUGGAGAGGUAUGUCCCAGGUUGUAUAAUAGACCUUAAAACGGGCCUUGUGUACUACAACGACCGCUUUCUCCGUGGAUGCCAACUGUUCAAGCGUCUGUUCUAGAGCUUUAAGCAAUGCCAGGACGCAUUUAUGUACUGCAGGCUAUUGGUACAAAUUGACGGUUCCUUUAUGUAUGGUAGAUAUACCUAUCGGCUAUUGUCAACUGUGGCACAAGAUGGCGGUGGGAGAAUCUUUCCAAUUACAUUUGUAAUAACACCGGGAGAGUCAGGUGAUGACUGGGAUUUUUUUCUUUCUAAGUUAAGGAGGCAUGUCUGCCCCCAACCUGAUAUCUAUGUUAUAUCAGAUCGGGGUACUGGAAUACUAGCCACAAUUAUGCGACAGGAAAGACUAUGGGAUCGCACACACCAUCGCUAUUGUCUAAGGCACAUUGUGUCCAAGUACUAUGGGCAAUAUCGGUGUACCCUGAACGACGACAAGUGACCAACAUGGGUAUUAAUCUCUAUUAAUAUAAUUUCGUUUGUAAUAUUCAAUUUAUUCUAAAUGGAAGAGUGGUAAGUAAUUUUUGCUAUCAACUUAUAUUGAUAGGGUACGAGAUUAAUAAUGAUCAUUUUCAUGAUAUGUUGGCGAUUUUAUGGUCAAUUAACGAUCAAGGCGUAGACUACCUCUGUAACAUACCUUUCGAUCAGUGGACACAAGUAUAUGACAGCGGCCUACAAUAUGGUCAUAUGACCUCAAACCUGGCUGAAUGCAUAGAUCCUAUUCUAAAAUAAACGCGUCAUUUGCUGAUAACCUCGGUUGUGUGAGAGACAUAUUUCUGUUUGGCGAAACUAUUUCCAAAGCUAGUGAGUUAUAAAGGCCAAAUGCAGGGAGGCCAUGGUGCGAGAAGAUAUUGCAAGAAAUUAACAAGGCGAAGGCGCGGGCCAACACCAUGCACACAGUGUGUUACGAUGGCAACAACUUAUGGUUUUUUGUAACAGAGUUUAAUAGACCGAACCAAGGUAUUACCGGCGGGAAAUAUCGUGUACACCUGAGAAAUAGGACUUGCGACUAUGGGACGUUUUACGCACUUCGUUAUCCAGGAACUCAUGCCAUUGCAACUUGUCAGAAUCUUCAUUCGGAUCCCAUGAGCUAUGUCGAUGAAGUGUACAAAAUAGAAUACAUGUACAAUGUGUGGAGACACGUAUUCCUACCGGUCCCAGAUGAACGUAAGUGGCCACCUGUAUCGCUUACUCUAUUUAAGUUGUUACCAGAUAGAGAAUUGCAUCACAAACUAAAAAGUCAACAUUGCUCGAGUAUAAUACAUGAUAAUAUGGAUAUCCAGGAAAGAAUGAACCAACAAAAGUCGUGCGGAUGGUGUAGGAACCCAGAUCAUACAAUUCAAACAUGUCUAAAUCGAAAUAGUUGAUAAUUGCUUAAAUUAAACUAUGCUGCAUUAUUUCUAUUGCCUUAUUCAAAAGAACUUUUAUUUUAUUAAAUAGGAUAAAAUAUAAAAAUAAUUUACUAUUAAAAUAUUCAAAACAACUUUUAUUUUAUUAAAUAAAACAAUAUAAAAAUAGUUUGUACAAAUAUAUUAAAAAAAUCAAUGUAUGUGCCAUUCGAAAUUAGGGCCACAUGGGGGUGGUUGACAGUUACGCGCUGGAUUCCUUCUUGAUUCAACUUUCGGCACGGGCUGUGGUUGCUCCGGCGAGGGUUGUGAUUGUUCUGGUUAUGGGUGUUGGGAGGAUGACCCACCUUGAUAGAAUAAAGAAUACGGAGGUGUUUGAAUCACCCACGGCAGAGGUGUUUGAAUCUCAUAUGGCGAUUGGGAUUGGAAAUGAGAUAAGCUCCCUGACGGUGCCUCAUAUGAUCCCUCCUGAGACGAUGGUCUAUAUAUCUUCGGUUGAGUCAGAGUGAUCGGAAAAGGAGAUGCACUGGGUCAUACAUUCCAACCUGGCAUAGGACUGAGAAAAGAAAAUAUAUAAGGGUUAUGAUACACACCUGGCAUAAUCUGAAAGGGCUGUGGUGUGGGCAUUGUCGCUUGAGGCAUUGGGCCCGGUAAUUGUGUGGGCACUGUUCAUAAGCCCGUGCCGUCAUCCUUUCUCAUUGGAUUUAAAGGGCCCCGUCGUUCUCUUUCGACAUGGAUUUGCCAAUGCCUAUACUCUUCUGAGAGCAAAUAUGGCUUGUCAUAGAUCCUAAGCCAUGGCAUGUAAUCCGGUGCGCACGCUAACUCUAGAACGAUGAUCGGUUCGCGAGUAGGUAUAUGAACAUACCGAUUUUCCUAAUUUUCGAUAUAUACUGAGAAGAAUACCAGCCAAUGCAUAUUCAAUUGUCGUAAGUCAAUUUUGUGCUCAUCAUCGAGCACCUCAGGUGUCACGGAAAUUAGUUGUCAGAAUCUAAAUUGCUGCAACACUCUAUUUGUCUGGUGCAUUUCGAAAGUAGCAUAGUUGACCAAUGGGACUUUAACAUGCCAAAUGUUCAGAUUUCGAGAGAAUUCAUCUGGAAUUACUACCUGAAUUGUCGGAUCCUCAUAUGGUGUCCAUUAAAAUUAUAUGAAUGUGAUAAAAAUAUUAAUUAUAUACAUAAUACUAAAUACUACACGCUUCCGACCGUUGGUCUAAUAGAAUCCGUAUAUCUUCAAGAACGGUAAGUAUUCCAACAUAACUCGCUGAAUGGUUCUACCUAAUUAAAUAAAUUUUUAGCAAAAAAAUUAUAUUUUAAAUCUAUGUAAUUCUUGUAAAAUCUAAUAUAAAAUUUACCUCGUUAUGAGUGGGAAUGUAUAUAGGUGGUUUACUCGAGGACGUAAAAAUGGAAAACGAAAUCGAACCCAUGAUUAUAGUAGUGACAGGCAACUUCCGAUUUGGGCUUUAUUUGGUUUCGUCGCCCUACACAUCUCCCGGUACAAUGUUGUGAACACGGAAGACCCCUAACUAAGUUCGCCAGCUACUUUAAAAUUAACGAGUUUUAGCAGUCACCUCAGAUGUACAAGGUUUCAUGACACGUCCAGCAUCCGAUAACCUCCAAUGAUCUCAAGGAUGUAUGGCCGAGCAUAUCAUAUUCUUUCUAUUUCAGUCGAAUCAUUAACCGGCUCCAGAAAUGUGUCUUGUAACCAGCCAUCUCGAUCUAACCUCUGUAAAUAUUAUCUGGAAGCAUACCCAAAAUAUCGUAGCAUAUGGCUCCCCAAUCAACAGUUUGAGCGAACCUGGUGAGUACGAAACCAUCCACCGGCAAUCUCAAUUGCUACUGCGCGUCCUCUAAAGUGAUGGUACACUUUCCGCAUGGAAGAUAGAAUGUGUGCGUCUCGAGUCUCUACCUCUCUAUGAACGCACUGAUGAGUUUCGGGUUUAACUUGUACCCCCGGACUAUAUUGGCCACGUGCCAAAAACCCGCUUCCUUCAAGUAAUUUUCUAUCAACGGUGAUGGAGGACUAGAUAUAUUACGAAUAUAACAUUGUAACACCCGAUCUACAAGUUGUUAUGAAAAAUAUAAAAUAAAAAUUAAUUAAAAUUACAUAAAUGAAAAAAAUAUUAAAUAAUAUUCAAAAAUUGGAAUUAACCCUUACCAUUUUCAUUUGUUCGACGGAGAUAUGUUUAUGAUUGAGACGAAUUAAUUCUCCGGCCAUUGCUAACACUAUCAAAUAUUUUUGAAAUUAUAAAAAAUAAUACUAAUUUAGAAAAAAAUUAAAGGAAAUAAUUAAUUAAGUAGAGCUUUGAGAAAUUUAGGGAGAAAUUUGAGAGCUUUUUUGAGAAUUUUGGAAGAAAUGUUUGUGUGAAAAAAAUACGAAGGGGUUUUUAUAGUUUUUUUUUACCGUUGGACCCCCAACGGUCAAAAUUUUAAAUGACUAUUGGGGGUCAAAAACACAGGCUAAAACACGUCCCUGAGGAAGCGAUUUUGCCACGUCAGCAAAGCGCGUCCACGUCAGCGCGUUUUGUGCUAACAUGGCAAAAUCGUUCCCUGAAGGACUCGUUUUGCUGGAAUUUCCCCUUAAAAUGCUCUCACGUGGACACGUUUUAAUAUUUUUGGCUCAUUCCAGUAAAUAAUGAAAAAAGUAGCUAAUUUCCAUAAAUAAGGUAGGAAAUGACUUUUAUUGAUAAAAUGGUCUUUUUAUACAUUCAAACCAACUUUAGUUUCUUCUUUUAUUUUUUUUAUUUUUUUUAAUUUCACUAUUGCAUUUCAUACUUUAUUAAUGUACAACAAAUUUUUAAUAAACAAAAAAAAUUAUUAUUUGUUCGGUAUAAAAAAAUAGAUAUUUGAUGGAUUAACAAUGUACUUUUUUUAUUCUAUAAAUAGUCUUAAAAAUUUGAUGUGUAUCUCUUUUUUUAAAUAUCUAUUUUUUUAAUAUUUUAGUACACCUGUACAGGAUAGUUGUCAAUUCAUUGACAUUGCUUGUGGAAUUUAAAGACUCGACUGACACUGAACUAAAUAUUUUCUCAUAAAAAAUGGAUAAGUAUUUGGUACAUUGACAUUGAACUUUUUGUAUUCCACAAGCAACUAAAAAUUCUACUGUUAGUGUACUAAAUGUUAUUCCUAAAAAAAUUUAAAAAAUAUAUUAAUAAGUAGAAGGGUUGAUAUUUAGUACACUAACAAUGUACUUUUUUAUUUCAUAAGCCGACUUAAAAAAUUAUCACAUGUAUCUUUUUUUUUAAUAUUUUACUAUAUCCCUAUAGAACAUUUGUCAACCCAACCCUUACUUGUAGAGUCUAAAAACUUCGCUGGUAGUGUAACAAAUAUUAUUUUAAGGUUGUGUUUAGUAGGGGUGAGCAUUCGAUCGAAUCGAAUUGAAAAUUUUCGAGUUAAUCGAGUUUUUGAAUCUCAUUUUAUCAUCCUAACUUUAUUUCAAGUUUUCUCGAAUCGAGUCGAGUGAGAUGAAAUUCGAAUCGAAUCGAAUCGAAUAUAUUUGUUCGAGUUAAAUUUUAAAAAAUAAUUUUGGGUCCUUGUAACCACUGUCACCCAUCGUAAUAAAAUUUGUCCACCUUAAUCAAAUUUUUUAACUUUCAUCACCUCAUAAUUUAUUUAUUAAUUUUUAUAUACUGGUUAGCUUCUUUGCUUGCUUAGUUGUUUCAAUUAUCUUCAGAUUCUUGUCACUAUGUAUUUUGGAAUUAAAAAAUAUAUUAAAUGUAAAAAUAUACUUUUUAAUAAAAGUUAUUUUAAAAAUAAAAUGUGAAAUUGAUACCAAUAUAAAAUUUUAACACAAAUAUUUAUGGCAUAAUUAAUAAUUUAAUUUUAAUAUAAAUAUUCAAUAUGACUAAACAAUUCAAUAAUAUAAAUAAUAUAAAAUGUGAAAUUUAAUUUAAUAAUAUAAAUAGUAGAUAUAAAUAAAAUUAAUACUACUUAUGUUUAGUGAUUUUUUUUUGGAUAAUUUUGAUUUUUUAUUUGAGAGUAAAAGGGUGAGAAGUAAAAGUUUAGGGGGAAAAUAAAAAGUUUUGGGAAUAAAAGUUUGAGGGAAAGUAAAUAGGGGAGUAAAAUUUUGGAGGAAAAAUAUUAAAAAAAUUUGGAGGGGGGAGGGUUUGGGGUAGAUGGGAGGUGGGAUGGGAAGGGAAUAAAAAUUUUAAGGGAAAAGUGAGAGGGAGUAAAAAUUUUGGGGGAAAAUAAAAAGUUUUGAGGGGUUUUGGGAGUAAAAUUUUGAGAAAAAGUAAAUGGGAAAGUAAAAUUUUGGUGGGAAAUAGAUUUUGAGUAGAUUGGGGGGUUGGGAGGGGAGGGGAGGGGAGUAAAAGUUUUAAUAUAAAAUGUUAUAGUUUGAUAUUCGAAUUCGAAAACUCAACUCGAUUCGAACUCGAAAUUUGAAAAAAAAAUUCGAGUUGAUUCGAAUAACUCGAUUAAUUCAAUUCGUUUAACUCGAAAUUUAAUUUUUUUUAUUUUUUCGAGUCGAAUCGAGUUUUGCUCACUCCUAGUGUUUAGCAAUGCUUAAAAAAAUACUUUUGGCUUGAAAAACACUUUUUAAAAGAAAAGUUGCAUUAAACAAACAAUUUUUGGCUGAAAAGAGUGGAUUUUCAAGAGCACUUUUACUUAAAAUUUUUAGUUUUUCUUAAGCCAAAACCACUUCUGGAAACAUUCUUACUUUUUCAUCCCUCCAUUUUUCUUCUCCCAUUUUCCAUUCACUUUAAAUUGCAAAUGUUAAUGUAAAUUUUUUAAUAUUUAUAUUUGGUAUAUAAAUAUUACCCUUUUUUGAAAAUUUAAUUCAAAUACAUGUAAUAUUUUAAUUUGUUAGGUUUAUGUGUUUUUUUUAUGUUAUGUUAAUAUCUAAUAUGUGUUAUAUAUUCAAAUUACAUUUUAAAAUAAAAUUAUUAAUUAAAAAUUAAAAAAACAUUUCUUAAAAUAAUACAAAUGUGCUAAUAUCUAAUUACAAAUAUUUAAUAGUUAUAUUUAAAUAUUUAAAAUAUAGUUUUAUAUUAUAUUUAAAUUUUAUAAAUAAUUAAUAUUAAUUACUUAAAAAUAUUUAAAAUUUAUAUUUCAUAUAUUAAGAUAUUAACAACAAGUUAUAAUAAAUUAUUUUUCUAUAUUCUUAUAAAAAUAUAAUAAUAUUAACUAAUUUGAACAUUAUUUAAAUGUUUAUUUGUUACUUUAUAACACCAUGUCUAAAAUGUGCAUUUUAUUUCUUAGAAGUACUUUUUGAUAGCAAUACUAAACACUUAAAUCUUAAACCAAAUAUUUCAAAAGUACUUAUCAAAAUUAAUUUUCCAAAGCACUUUUUAAAAGCUUUUCAAAAAUACUUCUAAAAAUCACUUUUCCAAAGCACUUCUUAAAAACAAUGCUAAACUAGCCCUAAGUAGAAUUCUUAAUGGAAAUAAAUGUUAAAUUUAUUCAAAAAUUGGAUAAAUAUAGUAGGUAAGUUUUAAAAAAUAUUAUUAUUUCUAUAUAAAACUAUAAAAUAGACUAAAUUAAACAAUGUCUUAAAUCCUUAAAGUACCUUUAAUCACUCAACCAAUGAAUGUUGCAUUUUUCUCCCUUCAACUAUAAUUCCAAUCAAGUUUGGUAAAAGAAAAAGCUAGGAGUAGACUAGAUUGAUUUCAAACUAAUUUAGGAAUUAAAUUGAAAAUUAAUGUAAAAUAAAAAUUUAAACACAAUUCUUUUAUCCCGGUGGAAUAUUCCACACCAAUUUAUUUAUAAGGAAGUUUGCUUAGCCCACUGCUCAUAAAAAGUUAGGAUCAAUUGAACCGGCAUAAAAUAUGUUUAAUAAACAAAAAGAACAUUAAAAGUAUUUUUAUUCUUAAAACAGAAAAAAAAAAUUGAAUCCAAAUUUUAAAAAAUUUAUUUUAAAGAUUAUAUGGCUAAGAAAAUUUAUUUUUUAUUUUAUUUUUUCGACCCAAUCGUCGAGUCCGAGUUAUAAGGUGUCACUUUCGUUGCUGGAGCAACUACAAUCAAUUCACAGUUCAAUUUAUAACAUAAAACAUCCCGAUAUAAGUUAAACAUGUAUAUAAAACGUUUCAUGUACAUUUUCAGGUCUUAUACAAGCUUACGAAAGCUCUAUUGCUAACCCGAGGUCAAUUUAGGACCAAAUGUAAGAAUUUCAUAACAUUGGGUUGACGUUGCGACGUCAGGGGUUCCUCGUUGCAACACAACAUACUGAGUAGGUCUCAUCGUGACAUCGAAUACAUGUUGUCACAACAUGAAUCCUUUGUUGCUCCUCGUCGUGACGUUGGGGAUAUGUCGUCGUGAUGUGACAUCCUGUUUCUAUAAAAAUCAACAUGGUACAAGUUUGAGAGACCUAUAAUAAUACUUUACAUUUCAAUUAUAACCAAAACAAAAAUAUGCCAAAAUGGUGCUUCAAAACAACAUCGAGCAACCAAGUUUUAAAUUCAACCGUUUUCGGUACAAAAUCGACUUAAACCUUAGGUACAUGUCAUAUACUAAUCAAAAGAGAACUUUACAAACUUUAUUGAAUCGGGGAUCGCUUGCUAGAUGUGCUCAAACUAUCUAGAAUCUACUAUACCUGAGCACAGAGAAAACAAAUUGUACGCUGAGCAAUUACACUCAAUGGUAAUUUCCAUAUCAAGUUACAAAUAAGCAUGAUCAUAUAAGAAUUCAAUUCAAAUAUACUACAAUUCAAAUGAAACAAUUUGCGUAUUCAAUACAAGAAUUCUAUUCUCCUACAACAUUCUAUUUGAUAGCCAAACUAACAUUUAUAUCAUCCAUUCUAUUAACAAAGAUGUAACAUAUCUAAUUGAAUUACUUAUAUAUACAAUUAUGUACCAAUAUGAUGUUUAAUCUCAUUUCCAUUCAUAUUUUAUACAACUUAAUCAAUUCACAUUAUCAUUUAUAGAAACAUACGCUCCUUCAUUUACUAUGACCAAUAUGAUACCCUCGUUACCAGAACAGUAUUCCAUUAGUUUAAGACUAUACUUAUUUGGAAGCACAAUUUUAAAAUAAUAAUUUGUUGCAUUUAAAGAUUUAAUGAUGCAUGAGUUAAGCUUUGGCGGCUGUUUAAUUAAUAUCAAUAAGUCACAAAUAACGUUAUGUCAUCAAAACUUCCGAUACACAUUCAAGUGUUUAAAAUAACGUUCAAUACAUUUUAAAUGGUUUCAAAAUGGCGGUAUCUAAUAGUUGUCCUAGCACCCACAGCAAAUACAUGUUAACCCUGAAAAUAAGAAGGCUCACAAAUGGUCACAAAUUUGGUUGUAUCCCUUCAAUCACCACGCUCAACCUAAGAACAUGAAAUGAAGAAGAAUUUGGGUAAGUUCAUGUGAACUUAGUGAGUUACUGGGAAGAACGAUCCCACCAUAAUUACUAUCAGUCAUUAGGAAAUGGGACAUGUAAUUACUAUCAGUCAGUAGAUCAACUGACGAAUACUACCACAAUCAAACUCAACCUAUUGGCGGAUAGAACUGGUUACUAACUCAUAUAUGACAGUAAUCGAUACAUCUACUCCAUGAAUACGCCACUUAUAUGGGCUACCAUUUAUGACUGGCAGGCUUACUAUUUACGUUCUCAUGCAACGUGCACUACUGCAUGCAUUCUUUCUUACGUACCCAUUUUUUGUGCUAGCUUCUGAUCCCGGUUCCCGAAGAACCAAUUUUUCUUAUAUAUUCAUAUCCGUUCAUCAGAUCUAUAUAAAAAUCAAGCUCUCAUGAACUCAAAUCUAUAAAAAAUUAUAAAAAAAAGGCUUGGUUACCUUAACAAAUUUUUGGCCGAAGCUUAACUCUCAAAAAAAAAAAAAGAGUUUUUAUUUGGUUUUUGCUUCAUUAGAUGGUGGGGAAGAUGAUACUCAUCGUCUUUCUCCACUUACAUGAUUUAUUUAGUGUGAUUAACACUAAUUAACCAAGUUUAAUUAAAUUAAACUUAUUUUAUACUUUAAUUAAUCUUAAUUUAGUAAUAAUUAAAUAUCUAAUAGUAGCCAUAAUCAAAGUCCACUAAAUAAUGAUUAUUAUUGGUUUAUUAACCAUUUUAGCCCCUUGGAUAAUUACUAUCUAGGUCCCCAAGUUUUUUUCUAAUUAAAAAUCUGUAGCAAUUAAACGUUUACAAAUUUAGUCCUUGAACCUUAAUUAACUAUUAAUUCGGAAAAAUUACUGGACCAAACUUUAAGAUAACAAUAUAUUAUACACAUAAAUAUUACGAACUUGGUUUAUGAAAACGAGAUCCUGAAAUCGUAACUUUCGACACCAAUAAAUUUCAAGUCGUUACAAGUUAAUCCUAAAGAAACAAAAUUAUGAUUUUUCAAAAUUCUUCUCUCCUUAGUUGGCCACACCUUUGAAAUAAUUAAUAGAUUGCAUUUUAUAAUUGCUUAGAUAAUUAACAAUUAUAUUCACUUCUUAAUGUAAAAACAAGAAUUCAAAAUUUAUUCAUGCAUAAAGAAUUGCACUACUUGUAGCUACAAAGAUGUCAUCCAAUUUUCCAUUACUUGCAUUGAAUUUUUCCAACAUCAACUAAAUUGUUGUAUGAUCCUUAUGUAUUGCAUCAAGACAAGUAGUUAUUUCAUCUAGAAUAUUAUCUUUUACCUAUAUUUGUUUGAUUAGAUUUCGGUUCUCUUCCUUUAGACAAGAAUUCUACUCAACUAGCUUCGCAUUAACAUCACACACCUGCUCUCAUUUCUCCAGCAUUAUCUUGUAAGUCUGCAUAAACUCAGCACUUGAAUCCCAUCUAAAUCAUCAUUAGUAUUAGAGUUAGUUGUGACAGGGAUAUUAACUUUAGUAAAGAAAGCCACAUAGUUACUCACAUAUUUUUCAUUUGAAUCUAAGCUGCUUCAAGAAUCCUCUUCACUCCAUGUUACACACAAAGACAACUUGUAUGUGGCCAAAACGAUGACAUUCAUAACAUUGAAUGCCAUACUUUUUCUUUUUGGUAGACUCAUCAUUGAUCACAACACAUUUUUGUCUAUUUUUGGAGAAUUUCUUAAUAGCCUUAAACUUGUUAUUCCUCAUGGUUGCUUCUUUAAAGCUUUAAUAAAAUUCUAAGUUAGCAAUACUACCUACUUUCACAGUUAUUCGAUAAUAGUGGUACCUUCAGUUGAAAUAGCUUCUGUCACUUGUAAGGUAAUGCUCUUCUCUCCUUUAGAUAUGUUUCUUCUUAACUUGUCUAAAUUGAUCUUAAAAGCCCGUAAAGACCCAAUAAUUUCAUUGAUUCUCGUAUUAAUGUCUUUUACCUAUUCAAUGGUAGUGACUUCAAUAGUAAAUCUCUCUGGCAAAGAUCUAAGCACCUUCUUCACAAGUUUAAAAUUGGAGUACUCGUUUCCAAAGGGGAAAACUUGAUCAAAUGGGUCACACAAUUUUGCAUAUAAUUCACCAAUAUUUUUCUUUUAUUGCAUCCUGAGAGUUUCAAACUUGGUGGUUAACAUUUACAUCUUAGAUUCCUUUACAAUAUUUGUGCCUUUAUGUGAAGUCUCAAAAAUAUCUAAAGCCUACUUAGUAGUAGUGCACUUGGAUAUCCUUUUGAAUUCCUAUCCAUCCACACCACUAAAAAUUGCGUCCAAUUCCUUUGAAUUGGAAUCGGCUAGUUUCUCCUCCUUCAUGGUCCAAGUAAGCUCGAACUUUUUUGUUUCCACUUAGAUGUCUCAGUUGUAAGGAACUCCCAUCUAGUAAAAACAACAAACCAAGCUUUUCAUCCAUUGCCUUGAUGAAUGCAUUCAUCCUAGCCUUCUAGUAGGCGUACUUAGAACCAUCCAUCAUUAGAGGAUGAGACACAAGUGUUUCUUCCAUUUCAAGAAAGUAUUGACACCAGGAAUACCACUUGAUAAGUUAAGUGGGAGGCUCUUAUACCAAUUUAAAGAGGACAAGCUAAUAUUUGCUAAAACACAAGAGUAAUGAUAAGAGUAGUUACAACUACAAGUGGAAUUGUGAAAAGAAAAGAAAAAACACAUAGCAAUUCUUUACACAAUCGAUUUCCCUACAUUGGCAAGGCCUUGCCAGGGAGACAAUCCACUAUCUUUAACCUUGUAAAAACAGUGGUUUAAGUCCUAUCAUACACUAGUAUAGGAAUCUUACUUUUUGUACCUAAGAUCUAGAUCACUUUACUCUAAGCUUUCUCCUUAAAUGCUUAGAUUGUAAAACCAAGUGACUCACUUUUUUUUUACUUAGAAAAUUCAUUCACAAUGAUAAAUUCCUAAAGAAUAGAUCAAGUGCUAAACUCUUUGUACAAAACUUGAUUAAGUCUCAUGAAUAUAUGCUUUUUCGACUUGUUAACAUACUAAAUCAAUUACAAUCUCAAUCCCCAUCAAAGUCGUAAUAAAAUUAGCAUUGAGAAUUUCCUAAUAAAGUGCAGGAUAAGUUAAAGACCUCCAAGAUAAGUUUCCAGGUUAUCCAACCUAAUGUUUUCAAAUCGGGGAAUUCGAUUGCUUAAUCUAAUUCGAUCCAAUCUUAAAGAUAUGUUUCUUUAUAUGGAUCGAUCUUCAAAUAUGAGCCAACAUACAUCCAAAACAACAUCAUAGAUUACGACCCAAUUGUUUUGUUACAAAAGAUUGUAAAUACUAAAUAAGGCAAGUUACGUGACUUGCACAACGCCGCAUUGCUCACAAAACUACCUCAAACCUCAACAAUAGUUGAUAACAUAAUUAAAGUCAAUAAAAAAGCCUAAUUGAAGGAAAUUAAGUUAUUUACUUUAUUAGCUAUAAAAUCUUAUUCAUUCAUUUAGUUACUUGACGGGCAUAUACAAUUAAAAGUUAAUCAUAUAUAUAAAUUAGUUCUCGCUCUACCUAUUUGCUAUUAGGGUCGCACAUAUAUACAAACGCUAAAGAAAACAAAUAGAAAAUACUAGUUUGAUCCCUGUGCAAUGCACGAGUCUACUGUACUUAAUAAUUAAAACAUAUUAUUUUACUUCAUAUUGUUUUUUUAAUUAAAAGAUUUACAAAUAAUGUAAAUAAAGAAAUUUAAAAAUAAAAUAUUCAAAAAAUACUAUGUCAAAUUAAAUAAUUUUAAGAAAUAAGUACUUUAUUUUAAUAAAAAAUGAGAAUCCUUUUUAUUAAAUAUUCAUAAAUUGAUUUUUAAAUAGAUUUUUUAUAUUUAUAUAAUGAUUAAGAUUUGAGCCCAACAAUUUUAUUAAUAUUGUCGUUCACUUGCCGUAAUUAUAUAGUGCCACAUAGGGUUAUUUCCUAAUUUGGUUGUACAGAUUAUGUAUAAUAUAUAGGGUUAUUAUUUGAUAUAUUAGCGGUGGUGUUUUUAACUCGGCAAGGAAAUUUAAGAAACGGUCAAUUGUCUUUAAUUGAUAUUAAAAAACACUAAAUAAAUAAUACACAUGAUGGUUUUUUAAACUGUUUGUGGAAUUAAAAAAUUUCACCACUAAAUAUCAAAUAAUAAUAUUUGUAUAUUAUUUAUACAAUGAUAAAUGGUUGAGAUGUUGAUUUUCAUUUUUUACAUUAACUUGUUUCAUGCAAAUUUUUUAUUUAGCCUACAAGUCGAAUAUACUGCUUGCAAGUUAGGGACAAAAAUACAUCCAUUUAUAUGAUUUUUAUUUUACAAAUUAAUCUGGCAUAUCUUAACAUAUCAACUCCAGAUUUGGAUCUUGAAACAUGUAGACACUUGCGUUGAAUGGGCCGCUCGCUUCUAAGAGGAUGGACCUAGAUUUCUUCUCUACUAUUUGUUUUCUUGCAUUUUAUUAUUUUUAUUUAAUAAAUUAAUAAAUUAGUUCCUAUGCACUGGUUAUUCUAUUAAAAAUUAUACUCAUGUCUUCUGUUAAAAGCCGGUCCCUAUACAUUAGAAUGAGAUAAUGUGGCACACCACGUGUAACUAUCUAGUUAUUCUAUCAGCCACAUCGAUUUUUAACAAUAAAAAUCGAUAGAAAUUUUUAAUAGAAAAAGUCAGUUUACUCUUUGAUCUAAUGUAUAAAUAUUAAAUUACCCAUUUUUAAAUAAAUGAAACAAAAUGUAAUCUAUAAAUGAAACAAAAUGUAAUCUAACUCUUAACAUAAAAGCCUCCAUGAUAAUUUUAACAUAAAUUAAAUUUAUUACAAGAAAUAUAAAGGCUACACACCAUCUUUUCCCCACCUCUAAAUUUAGAGGGUAUGUAUAUUUGGGGCAAGCAUUGUUUUCUAGGUUUUAAAGUGUUAAACUUGUCCCUGUAUCAUUUAUUAAAUUAUAUUUUAAUUCUUUUGGAAAACUAAAUAAAUUAGUCAUUAUACAUUAGACGAAGGAGUAAAAUAGUAUUUUUGUUAAACUUGUGCCGUUAAUAUAAGAUAAAAUAAUAAAUUUAGCCUUCAAUCUUUACAUUUCUUUUUUCAAUUUGACUCCUACUAUUUUAUUUGGACCCUAAAAAUUUCAUCGUUGAUAUGAAACUAUUUUAUCUUAUACGUCACAUUAUCAAAUAAUUUAAAAAUUAUUAAAAAAAACUCUUCAAACUGAAAAAAUGUAAAAGAAAUAAAAAAUUAUAAUUUUUUUCCCAAAAUUUCAAUAAAAGAUAUCCAUUUUCAACAAUUUAGGUUACCAUAUUUGUUGCGGUCAUUUUGCACAUUAAGAAAUACCAUUUUCCACAAUUCCAUGGCAGCUUUGUAGUGUGAUUCACGUACCAUGACAUGUUUACAUUAAGAAUCAGUGAAUAAAUAAACAUUAAAGUUCUUUUAGCCUCUAAUUUGGUCGUAUUAGUAUUAAUAAAAAAAAUUAGAUAGUGUUUUAGAAAUCUUUGGAUUUUGUGUAAUUGUGUAACACCCCUUACUCGAGUCCAUAGCCAGAGUCGAGCAUGAGGCGUUACUUAACUUAACUUAAAGGUUCGGAGCAUAAAAAUUUACUUAUAAAAGUUAUUUUACUGUUCUUAAUAAAGCUGUCCACCUGCGCAGAAAUCACUAAAUUAAUUAUAACUCAAGAUACAAAACUCGAAAUUUAGAUCCGUAAAUUUUCUAUGAAACUAGACUCAUAUAUAUUUUCACCAUAAAUUUUUCAGAAUUUUUAGUUCAUCCAAUUAGUACAUUUUAUUAGUUAAAGUCUCCCCUGUUUCACUGGUCGACUAUCCUGACCUCUCGUCACUAAAAUUCAAUUAUCUCAUUGUACAGACUUCAUAUGGUGUUUCUACUUAUUUCUACUUAAAAUAGACUCAUUAAGGAAUCUAUACAUAUAAAUUAUAACUCUUAAUCCCUUUUUUACAAUUUUUAAUGAAUUUCUAAAGUCAAAAUAGGGGACUUCAAAAUCAUUCUGACUCUGUCUCACUAUAAUUAAGAUAUCUAAGAGUAUAUAACUCUUUUGCUUACUCUAUUUCUUUUAUGUCAAAGUAUACUCAUUUAGCUUUAAUUUCAUAUCUCACUCAGCUUCUAAUUCAAUUUACACCAUUUUUGAUGAUUUUUCAAAGUUACAUCAAUGCUGCUGUCCAAGAACUGCUCCAUUGCAAUUUUUUUUAAAAAAUUCAAUAUAACCCCUUUAUAAUUAUCUAACCUUCCCUGCAAAUUUCAAAUCACAACCAAUUCCAGUAUUUCAACUACUUCAUUUAAAUACUAAUGAAGUUCAACCAAUCAACCAUUUCAAACUAAAAACAUGUAUAUAUUUCGAUAUUUAACACAACCAUAACAUUCAAAUUUACUUUGCAUACUUAGUCAUUCAUUCUAUUACUUUUUAUCUCAAUUCCCUAUACAUGCCAUAUAAAUCCAAAUUUAUUUAACAAAAUCUACCAGAGUAAAUCUGGAUAGUGUGAUUUCUGAUGUAGAUCCGAUCCUCCGAAUGUAUAAAUACGUCAAUCUACAAAAAACAAUAAACACACACAAGUAAGCUUAUAGAAAGCUUAGUAAGUUCAUAGGCACAAAACAUGAAUCUUACGAAACAUUUAUACACUUAUACAUUAUACACCAUUACUAAGUUUACCUGUCAACCACAAUCUUUGGUGAGUUCCUUGGUAUAAACUCACUACUACUUAUUCUUUUACCAUAAUUCCUUUGGGCCCAUUUGUCACUUACCAUCCUUGAUCAAAAUUAAGGAACGAUUACGGAAAAUUGAGUACUUCACUUUCACUUUUCCAUACGAUCUCUUAUCACUUGUCCCUGAUCAGAUAAGUGUAGCUAGGCUACCACUUAUCACUUUGUCACUUGAUCAGAUAAGUGUAGCUAAAGCUAUCACUUAUCACUUUAUCACUUGAUGAGAUAAGUGUAGUUAAAGCUACCACUUAUCAGUUUGUCACUUGAUCAGAUAAGUGUAGUUAAAGCUACCACUUAUCACUUUGUCACUUGAUCAGAAGUACUCAAAUCUGGCGUUCCGCUCAAUUUGAUCAUUUGUUCAGUUUUCGCAUUUUUAUUUUAUUUUCAUUUCAUCAAUAAAUAUAUAUUUCAUCAUACAUUAUAUAAUUCAUGAAAUUAACAUUUAAUCAUAAAAUUUCGGCCAUAUGAACUUACCUAGAUCGAUUUGCAGAAUUUGUAAAAGUUCAGGGGCUAAUCGGCUACUUUUUCUUUUCCUUGACUUGUUUCGGGUUCUCGAUAUAAAAUAAAAAUUUAUUCAUUCAUCAACAUAUAAUUCAAUUCUAAUUCAUUUAACAAUUUAUGCCCUUUAAUUUUCUAAAUUACACUUUUACCCCAAACUUUACAAUUUUUACAAUUUGGUCCCUACUUAAUUAACCCCUCAAUUGAUCUAAUUUUUCUCAAUUAACACCUUUUACAACUAUUUUAGACUACUUCAUAGCCUUUAAUAUUCAAAACCGCAACACCAAACCUUAAUUCCCAACUUUUUCACAAUUAAGUCCCUAAAAUCAAUUUCUAUCAAAAUUACUUAAUAAAGUCAUCAUAUAACAAAUUUAAAGCUUUAAUUCCAUGUUUAUUCAUAAUAAAAAUCAAUAACUCAUCAAUGGUAACUCUAAAAAUCAGCCAUGAGAUAAAAAAACUAAUGAACUAAUUAGUUGGACUUAUUUGUAAAAGUAUCAAAAUCACAAAAAUUAGAAGAAAUAAUCAAGAAUUAAACUUACAUGAUUCAAAUAUAUGAAAAACCAGCUUGUUUCAGACCUCCUAUGGCGUUUUUCUGAUAAAUUGUGAAGAGAUCUCUAGAUUUUUCACUUUUGUCUUUGUUUUAUAUGCUUAAUUUGUUAAGUUUCCAAUUUUGCCCCUGUUUCUCCUUACAUUCUGCUGAUUUUUCUUACCCAACCGUCCAGCCCAUAUAAUUUGGGCCUAAUUUCCUUUUAAAUCCCUCCUCAUUAGUCACUUAAGCUAUUUUUAUCACAAUUUAACAAAUUUUACACUAUUUUCAAUUUAGUCCUUUUUAGUUAAUUAACUGUCCAAACGUUAAAAUUUUCUAACGAAACUUUAAUACCAACUCAAUGACACUCUAUAAAUAUUUCUAAAAAUAUUUAUGGCUUGGUUUAAAAUCUUCGACGUCUCGAUACCUCGUUUUUGAUUUUAAUUAUUUUAAUAUUUAUUCCUAGUACACUAUUCACUAUUUCAAAAAUUUUCCUAACUUCACAUUUAACUUAUACUUACUAAAUUUAUAAUAUUUUCUACUCGUUUAUCAGAUUUAGUGAUCUCGAAUCUCCAUUCCGACACCACUAAAAAUUUAGGCUAUUACAAAUUGUUUGUAAUUAUAUAUAGGUGGUAUGUUUGAAUAAUCAUUGUAAUUAGUGAGUUCCAUCGAAUUGAGUGUAAUUGGAGUAGAGGUAUCCUUAAGCCAGGUUGGGUUGGACCCAAGCUCGGUUCCAAUAAUUUCAAACUCAAGCCCGUUUUUGGACCGCCCGCCCAAAAAAUCAAUUUUACUAUUCAAAAAAAUAUUAUUAAAAAUAAUAUUUUAAUUGAUAUUUUAUAUACUUUUAUAAUUAAAUUUAAAUUUAAAAAAUAUUUUAUUAUUAUUAAAUUGAAUUUGUGUCGAGUUGAGGUGCAAAAAUCCUUGUCCAAGCUCGAUUCUAGUCGGGUCAAGUCACAUAGACUACCCGAUCUUUGGACAAGUCUAAAUUGGAGCACCCUAAUUACACUUUCCAGUUUUUAGAGUGAGGGUGAGAAUUGAAGUAAUUACGUUGGUGUUACACUCAAAUCCAAUUUUAAAAAUUAUUUUGAUACAAGUUAUAAAAGAAGAAAUUAUUCAGUAUAUUGUUAGUGGAGUUUUUAAACUCUACAAAUAGGAUAAAGAGUUUGACAAAUGUCUUAUAAGGGUAUAGUAAAAUAUUAAAAAAAACACGUCAAAAUUUUAAGGCUGUUUGUGAAAUAAAAAAAGUACAGUGCCACCCAAUAGUUACUCUUAUAAAAGAAUAUAUUAUAUCUAUGAACAUGUAUAAGUGUUUGGGAUGGUUAUGACAAAAGAAUUCGUGUAUUAUAAAUCCUAAAAGCUUAUAUUAUAAAAGUAACUUGUGUAUUUUAUAAAAUUAUAAUAUAUAUUAUUUAAAUCUUAAAAAAUUCUAAAAUUAUGAUAAAAAAUUAUUAUAAAAAACUAAUUUAUAUGUUAUAAAAAUGUUGUUAUAGCAUUUUUAUUUAUAAUAAGUUAGGGCAAAAAAAUAUGGAUAUAAUUUAUUUAUGUCCUAUAUAAUUUACCUUACUUAAAUUCGGACCUGACCCGGUCUGUCUAUAUUUAAUUUUUUAGAUUAUUUUUUAUUUAAAAAUAUUUUUUUUAAAAAUAUAAUACACUAAAUACACUAAAAAUGCUAAAAUAAAAGUUUUCUAACACAUUAAAAAUAUUUAUAUUAAAAAAGACUACCAUAAAUAUAAUAUAUGCUUUAUUAUAUUAAAAGCGCAAAUAAAUAUAAUAAAUAAUUUAUUGUAUUAAAUAUAAAUUUUAAAAUUUUAUAUUUUGGAUUGGGUUAUUUAGUUGGGUUACUUUUUUUUAGGUUUUGGAUAAUGAGUUUAAUUGUUAUUGAGUUAGUGGUUUAAUAUAAAUAAAUAUAGAUAUAAACAUAUAUAAUCAUUUUUUAUAACAUAAUAUAUUCGGGUCGAACUGAGCUCGUGUCUAAAAUAUUACCCGAGGCUUGGCCUAUAUAGAAAACGGAUAAUAAAUUUUACCCAAUCCCAUUUUUUGGGUCUCAUAUUUUUGUCUAAACUUCUCAUAGUUCAAGUGGAUCUUUAGACCUAAAUGAGUGUAAUGGUGUAUGUAUAGGUUUUAUAGAGCAAAACUAAAAAUAUAUGUAGGGGUGAUAUUGAAUUAUAAGUGUUUUUAGGCUGAUGAUAUUCAAGCGUUUGAAGGAAGAAGAGACCCAAACACUUGUUUGCGACUUCUCUUGAAAUUGUAUAAUCAAUUAUAGUUUUAACAAGAGUUGGUCUCUCACCUAUUAAUUAUAUAUAUCAAUACAAUAGCAUGAGAUUGGUGGUUGAGGGUAAAAGUAUAAAGAAUAUUAAAUAUAAUUAAUAAUUUUUCUUUUAAAAUUAUUCAAGUUUCUUUUUGCUUUCCUUUAUUUUCUUGUGAGUAGUUAAGAAAAUUUUAUGUUUGCCAUACCUUAAUUUUCGUAUCAGUUGUUAAGAAAAUGAUUUUUUUUUUCUAUCAUUUAACAUUUUUCUUUAAAUUUUAAAAUGUGUUUAAAAAUAUUUUCUUUUCGAAAUUCUAUUUUUUUUAAUUUGGAAUUCUGUGUUUUAUUUAUUUAUUUUAGAACAUAUUUUUAUAAUUUUAAAAAAAAUAUGUCUGAAAAUAUAAAACAAAAUAGUGUUACAUAAGCAAGGUAAGAUUGGUGAUCAAUUUACUUCAAAUAAAAGAAUAAGGGCCAAUAUGAAUAAAAGUGUAAAAGUUAAUGGAUAAAACAUCAAAAUAUAAUUCUUUUACAUGCAAAGUAAUUUACCCAUUUUUGGAUAAAAAGACUAAGCUCCAGCCUGGAAUUAAGCCUCCAGUGAGGUGAAAUGCAUUUUCAACCUACUGAACAAUGCUUUCCAAAUAGUCUUGCGUUUACUAACAUUUCAGUUGCAAUUUUUUUUAGCUUAAAAAAGCCAACGUACUGAGAUGCAGUUGCAUCCAAAGGAGGCUUAAAUUAAAUAUAUAUGAAGAUAGUUGUAGACUGCAAUGAUAGUAAAUAAACAUCCUUUCUUUGGACAUAUGAGCAUGGAAUAUUGUGUACCUGUAUUUAAGGAAUAUCCUAAUCCCACGAGCCAUGUUCUGGUGCCCAGACAGGCUGCCAGAUGCUUCUUCCAAAAACCAUUCAAAUCAGACAUCGACUACCAAACCGUCAGGCAAGCCCGACAUCUAUUGAAAUUCAACCUCAUUUCAUAUUGAUCGUCUCAUUCCUAAACAUUAGCUCUUCUCUGGGUUUGGUUUGGUCUAUUGCUUUAAAUCAAUUAUCCCAAAAUGACUCCUAGAAUCUAGGUGCUAAAAUAAGUAGUCGAUUCAUAUGAAAUGAAAACGCUGUUGCUCGCAUACUAGCGCUACUAAAUGACCAAUUAUUGCUUUGGACGAAUGCAGCAUGUGAUUUGCCCUGCCAACACAAUAUUCUUCCAUUUCCAGUGGUGGCCAACCGGAUUGAUUAGCUUAAGUGUCAAUUGGUCCACUUCUGAUUUCCUACCCAUUUAAUAUUUGUUGCCAAUGUUAAAGAGUAAGGGAUGAGGAUAGCCAUUAACCACCAUCCGCUCUUUAAAUAAUACCUAAAAUAGGCAACCACCCACCCUGCUUCAUCCAUCAAAAUUUCACAAAGUAAAUAAAAAACAAACCUAAAUUAAGGAAUUCUUUUUUCGUUAAAACUCGUUUCAUAAUCCCAUUAUUGCUAUGUUGUUGUAUCAAAGAGGAUCGUCUUGCUCAAGACUCUAGAGUGUAGCCAGCUCAUUCCAGCAAACUCCCACUCCCUACAUCUUAUCCCUUAAAAUCCCCCCCACUGGCUCUCUCCUUCACAUAUUCCUUUCCAACACAAACCAAAAGACAUGGCUUCAUCAUCUCCUCUUUCUCCCAUUCUCCUCUCUCUGUUUCUAGUAUUCAUUUGUGGGGUGUCAGCUCAAACGGCUCCCGCCCCUGCCCCCUCUGGCCCCUUGAAUUUCACUGGAAUCCUUGACAAAAAUGGCCAAUACACCUACUUCCUUCAGCUUUUGGCACAGACUCAAGUUGGGAGCCAAGUACAAACUCAACUGAAAACCACCACUGAAGGCUUUACCGUCUUUGCUCCCACAGAUAAUGCCUUCAACAACCUCAAACCUGGUACCGUCAAUAACCUGGACCCACAACAGAAAGUACAACUAGUUCUAUACCACGUUAUUCCCAAAUACUACUCCUUGAACGAUCUCCAAUUUGUUAGCAACCCCGUUAGAACCCAAGCUGGUCAGGAUUUCGGCCUCAACGUCACUGGCCUGAACAACCAGGUUAACGUCUCAAGCGGGGUUGUCGAGACUCAGAUUAACAACGCAUUAUAUCAAAAGAAACCUCUGGCAAUUUAUCAAGCGGACAAGGUGUUGUUGCCUGAAGAGUUUUUUGAAGCUAAAUCCCCAGCGGCUGCACCUUCACCGGCGACAAAGAAAUCAUCAACAGGGUCUAAAUCGAACUCAAGAGCAUCAGCAACCGCAGAUGAGCCAGCUUCUGCUGAUAAUUCAGGCUCAGCCGGAAGGAAUAUGGGGCUGAGAUUCGUUGUUGGGCUUGCAUUGGCUUGCAUGGGAUUUCUCUCAUGAGCGGAUAUAUAUGAAGUUGGUCUGCAUUUUUUACUAUAAAUUUUCGUUUUUCAAAUGGAUCGAUAAGGGUCUGAUUGGUCGUUGAACAUAUUCUUGUUAUCCACAUUAUUUGUAUUUCCAGAAUUUUUUGUUGAUUUUGCUUCUGCGCGCUGCUUGAUGUUAAUAAUAAUAUAUGUGAGUUUCUGAAAAUGCUUUAGUCUCCCCAUCUCUCUUUUCCUACCAAAUAGAUCCCAGUUUAAUGUUGAGCAUAAAUUCAAGGGAUUAAUCCUAUAAAAAUGUAGGGAAGGAUGUAGUUAUAUAUAAAGAAAUGAAGUGUAAUACAGAUGAUGAAGGUGAUUGGCACCUCAUUUUGCAAUAUAUUUUUCAUCUACUUGAUGACCAUAAACCAGACUGAUGGACUCAAAUCUCGCUCCAUCAGCUCUAUAGUUUCAAAACUUUUAAUACCUCUUACUUCAAAAAUUUCUCAAACCCAAUCAUCUUUAAUUAAAUUAAAUUUAAAAACUAAUUGUAAAGAAAUUUUAAUUUUUUAUUCCCUUCAUCUUCUUUUUUGACUCAAAUUAGCUCUAUUUCAUCUCCUCCAUUUUUCUUUCUUUACCACUUCCUUAUCAAUGGUUAUAAAAAAGUUAGGGUUUUUGGAUGGUGAAUUUGGGUUCAAUGGGGAAAGGAAAAGGUGGGUUCUUUUGAGUAUCAAAAGAAAUAGUGAAAACAAAGAUUAUGUUUUUUAUCAUCAAGAAAUGGAGAAAACUGGAGGGGAAAGAAAUGAAAAUGGUAAAACCGUAGAAGGGGAAAUUUAAGGUGAAGAUUGGUUUUUUCUUCACCAAACUUAUAAAAGCAAUUAAUUAGAAUUUGGGAAAAGAAUUAUUCCAAUGCUCUAAUAAUUCAUAGGUUUUGUUUGCUUUGUCGCUUAUAUCAUUUUGUUUGCAUCCUUAGCUGAGAAUGCAUAUGGAUCAUGAUAAUGUACGAUGACUUAGAGAAAGAGAUGAGUUGGUUGUUAAAACAAGUGUUGUUUGGCUAAUCAAUUUGAAAAAUGGGAAAAUUAUGAAAAUCAAUGAAAAGUUUGUUUGGUUGUUGAGAAAAUUUGGAUUUUGUUGGAGAAGAUGGAUUUAAUUUAAUUUUUAUUUAUUUGCUAACAUAAUUUUAUUAAAGAAGGGUAACAGUUAGACUAAAAAUAAUAUUGAAAUCAUAUCCUCCAAUUAAACAAAGUUUAUAACCAGGUUAAUAUUUUAACUUUUUAAUCAUAAAUACGAUCAUUAAUUUAAUGAAUUUUAUAAAAAUAUAAUUAAAACAAUUUCACUAUAUUCAAUUUAUAUAAAAUUUUAAAUUAAAUUCAAAAUCUAAUCUUAUAAUAUUUUAUAAUAAAAUUUAAAUAUAUCAAUCAACAUGAAUAUAUAAUAUUUUAUUAUUAAAUUAUUUAAAAUAUGAUUUUUAUAAUAAAAUUUUUAUUAAAUAAUUUUACAAACACAUAAUAGAUAAUUUAGUUGUAUAAUUUUUAAUAUCAAUAUAUAUUUUCAAUUAGGUAUUAUGUUUAUAAAAAUAUAUAACUUUUUUAUUAAUUAACAAUUGUAUAAAUUUACUUUUAUAAUUUUAUAAAUUGUUUUUAUGUUGUAUAUCUUCAAUAUUAUUUUAUCCAUAAUACUUUUUACCCUUGUAUUAUAAACAGUUUAUUUCUAUACAUUUACCACAAUAAGAUAUUAUUAUUAGGCUUAUAGAAAAAAUAGGUAUCCUGCAACUUUUAUUCCGCUACAAUUUUAGGUAUCCACUAUUAAUUCUAGUUAAAUUUUAUUUAAUUAAAAGUGACUCGUGUCAUAAUUUGGUUGAUUUAGAGGUUUUUUUAAAUUGGAGUUAACGUUUUAAAUAAUUUUAUUUAAUUAUAAAUAAAACAUGUCAUAAUUUGAUUGGUUCAGAGUUUUCUUUAACCGAGGUUAAUGGUUGAUACCUAAAGUGAUAACGAAAUAAAACUUUAGAUACCUAAAUGAGAAAAAUUACAUGGUUUGAGUACCUACUUUUCAUAUAAGUCUAUUAUUUAUUACUAAGUUAUACAUCAUAUUCUAUUAAUUUAUAAUUAUUUAUUUUUAAAAUACUAAAUUUAUUAAAAUGUUUUCAAUCAUUUACUAAAUAUCUAAAAUUUUACUAAUUAUUUUAUCUGUAUAAUCUAUAUAUACAUAAAAGUAUAAGUUUGGAAAAACUUUUGACCUAACAAUAAUACCAUUUAGUUUUGACCAUAUUACUAAAUUCACUUUAAAAAUAAUUUAGAAUUAUUAGUUAGAAAAAUUUGUGAAAAUAGAGUUAUUACUUUAAUUCAACUCUAAUCAUGAAAUAUAUGAAAAAUUGUAAUAAUUAUAAUUAUAAUUUUAUUUAUAAUUAUUAGUUAAAAUUUUUGAGGUAAAAAAAGUUGUGUUAAUUUUUUUUUAAAUGUGCUAAUUUUAUUGAUGUAAAAUAGAAUUGUUAUUUGAAUAGAGCUGUAAGCGCCUCAAUUAUCACUUAAUUAAUAUUAAAGUUAUAUAUCAAUUUAAAAUUAAGUUUUGCUUUAUGAAUAAUGCCCAGUAGUUAGGUAUAUUGAAUUAAGUAGCAUCUAAUAAAGACCACCGGUAAAAAAAUGGAGAUUGUUAACAUUAAUAAGUUAGGAUUAUAUAAUAGUAAUAAUAAUGGAGCAUCAUAAAAAUGGUUAUUUAAAGAGGCACCGAAAAGUGAUCAAAUAUUAUUUUAAUUGAUGAUAAUAUAAUAUAAUAUAAUAUAAUAUUAUGAUUUUUUAAAUUUUUCUAGAAGUUGUUUAUACUGUGUGAAGCAUUUUUAAAACCAUUUUUUUAUCUAUUCAUUAUUUGUUUGGUGUAGGUGAAAUAUUUUGUGAGCUGUUUUUAUAAACGUGUUUAUUAAUUUAGUAUAAAUAUUUUUUACAUUUAUCAUGAUCUAUUAUUAUAACUGUUGCAUGUUACUUUAUCUAUUUUUUUCUUAUUUUCAAAUUAAUAUUAUAUUUUAUGAUGGGUAAUAAUAAUUAAAAAUAUAUUAUUUAAAAACUAAUUAAAAUUUAAACACGUAAAAUCACGUACAAAAUGCACUUGACAUUAGAAAGUAAUAUAUAUAUAUAUAGAAGAAGACGAAUUUUCAGAAACUUCUGAAAUAACUUUAAUAAUAUAUUAAUUUCUCAAUUUUAUCUCUUAUAGCACUUAAUUAAUAGUGGUUAAUGUAAUAAUUAAAAAUAAUAAUAUUUUAGAUAAAAUCAUAAUAUCAUAAUAACAAAAUCUUAUAAUAUUAUAAUUAAACAAUAAUGAAUACGAAAACUCUUAUAUCAUAAAUAAAAUAUUAUAAUACUACAAUUAAACAGAUUUAUUAGUGAUAAAUUAAAUUUCUUAGUUUAGAUUAAUAAUUAUUAUUUUAUGAUUUUUUUUCUUUUAUUAUAACUUGAGAUUGAUGAUGCUUUGUACCAUUACUGUGUUGGUUUUAUUCAGGCUGCGGACUCAUAGCUCCGUUUACGUGGAUAGAACUAACAAGUGGACCGCAAUCAUCACACUCACUGAAAAUUUCAACCCAAGUUGACAGCAUGGCUAAAGCUGCAGCUACUUGCAAAAUUCACUUUAGAUGGCCUAAAUUUGCAAUAAUAUUAUAACUUGAAAUAAUGAAGAAGAGCAUGUGCGAUGAAGAAAUUUUAAAUGUAUGAAAUGCAGAAAGAGAUGGAAGCAUGUUGUGUUGGAUUGAAUUACUGAAAGUUGAGGCUUGGAGGGUGCUGAGUAGAUUUGGGUGCCAAAUGAGGUGCCAAUCACGUUCAGCUUCGUAUCAUUUUAGUAUUUUCAAAAAGUUUUUCUACUACCACGUUGAUGUGAGAACAAAAACUCUAUAUCACUCAGCCAUUGAAUUUGUAAGAUGGAAACUAAAUGAGUUUGAUAUAAGAAUCAAACUGUACAUUACAAGGCCAUAUAUUUAUGAAAUUUCAUAUUAUUAUUGGGAAUCAGCAGUACAUUGCAUACCUCAACCAUCAACAGUCCCACUAUACUGUGCUACAAAAUAUUUAAAAUUAAAAUAAAAAUCACAACUAUUACAAAAAUCAAAACAAAUUUUCCCCACAUUUGGCACCAAUCCAUCAACAGAGACCACACUGCAGCAACACCAAACCCUCCCUCAACUCUGGGUUAAGUUUGGUUAAAGCUUAUUGCCACCCAUUCGUGAAAAUAUCCUUAAUUAGCACAGCUAAUAUUGUGCUACGCUGUCCAACUUCAACAUUCUCUUGCCAGAAAACUAGCAAGUCUGAAAACUUUUUCUUAAACUGAAAUUUCUAUAGAUAAACAUUUACAGGUUGAAACCUCUUAAUAUUUCAGUUAAAUCACUUAUUUUGUUGAGACGUAGAACACUAAACUUUUGCUUACAUGCACUAUUUAGCUUUUACAUUAUUGUGGUGACAACCUUAACAAACGAAACGGUUCAGGUUUAGGACUGGUAUUGUUGUUGAAAAUAUGGUGAAAAAAACAUUAUAAUUUAUACAUAUUAAAUAUUGAAAAUUUUAAAAUAUGUCUUUCUGAAGUUAACCGACCCAUUAACAAGUAAUAUUGUUCUCGUUUAAAGUUUUAUCUCCUGACUUUAUGAAGAGUUUAAGUGGCAGAAGUUGACUAAAAAGACGGCAAGUUCAACAGAGUGAGAUAGUUUGUCAGAUUGGACUACCUAUCAAAGAAAUGUGGGCAUUUAUGCUUUGUAGGGUUUGAAUCAAUGUCUUGAUUUGGCAUUGUUGGACAUCUAGAUGGUCAUGCGUCAUGCACUAUCUAAUCCGAUAAGGCAUUUUAUCUCUAUAAAAUCGUCAAUUCUUAAAAUAAUCUCAAAUCACAGUUUUUCCACAAAAUUGAGAGAAAAUCUUAAUAAAAAAAUAAUUCCAACCUGUUCAAAGAUACUUCAACUUCUGGUGGAGACUUGAAAAACAAUAAGGUGCUGGAUAAAGUAUUAGCAUAAACAAUUUGUUUUGACAAAAAGAUGCCUAAAAUUAGUUGGAAAUCCAACUUUUAACUUCCGAUCUAACUGGAUAAUUGUUGGCCUAGUGUUUAUUGUUCCAUUUAGUAGAGAAGAGGUUAUGUUGGAUUGUCACAAUUAGACUGAUGAAAUCAGUAUCCUUUUAUGUCCCGGGUAAAUUCCGAACCUAUAUUUAUUCGUACAUAUGACAAGGUUGUUUUAAUUGGGCUGACUCAAGAAUUAAUAUAGAUCAAUUAAAUUGAACAAAUUAAACCAUAUAAUUUUUUAAUGAUUUAUUUAUUCAAACCGGUUAGACAACUGGUGAUCUAGUCAAAUCAAUUUUUUUAUUCAAUUUAAAUAUUUAAUGAAUGUGAAUUUUUUGUGAAUAAUGUUAUUUAAUUCAUAGUAAUAUUUUAAUCUUAUAAAAUUUAUAUGAGAAAUAAUUACUUGAGAAAAAUGAUUAAUGCAGUUUUUGUUUUUUAAUACAACUCACACAACUACAAAUAGACAAUUUCUACAAGUCAAACCCAUGACGUGGAUUGGAGUGUAAGAUGGUGAACGCCCCCUCGAAAUGGUAUAACAUUCAAAACCUUUUGAUGAUACGGUAUGAUGAAUAGAAGAAGCAAGCAACAAAAAUAUACAUACAUGGGGCACUUCCUAAAUAACAAAUAUAAAUGUAUUAUAUGAACAGAAUUUAUUUUUAUUGAGUAUGUUGGGGUAUAAACUGCUUAGAAAAGUGUAAAGCUUUGGGUUAGGUGCAGUUGGUAGAUUAACAACACCCUAUCAAUAUUGAGCCGAAGACCAAGAGUUGGCAUCAAUCCAGUUAAAAGCAAUAGGGCUAAGGAAAGCAUCAGGAAUGCCAAAGGAACUGACCAAAGCAAGUGCAUGCGGUCGAAGUUCACUGCAUAUUUUUGUUAUUUCUCUCCUCACUGUAGCAGCAUUCUCAACUGACAGGUACCCAUAUCGGAGAUACGCACCAUCUUCCAGACAAUUCAAGGCAUACAAUGAUCUCAGCAUACCCAGCACAUCCUGCACAACAAUGAAAAUGAAGAUUCAACAGCCUGUCUAAUGCACAAAAGACUGCAUAUGUCUUCUCAUGCCUUCAAUAUUUGAAGUGACAAACAUGCAAAGUUGUUUUUAUAUCAGAUGAUUUCCAUCCUGCAAAUCCCGAGAAUUUUACCCAUCUCUUAUCCUAUAUAUAUGACUGCAAUUUUCUAUUCAUCUCUUCUGAUCAUAUCCAUCCCACCAUAUCCUGCAACGCAACUUCAGACAACGAUGAAGUUUGAGUUGUUUCUGGUUAGGUUAAGCCAGGUUUUGGACAAGUUUUGAAGUCAGUUUGGGUUGGGUGAGUGAUGUUUUCCAUUUAGAGUCAGAUUCAGCCACUUCUACAAUCCUAAAAGGUCCUAACAAUCAGGUUCAAUUAGGUUUUAGUUGGGUCCUUUUAUGCUCAAGCUAUUGACUCUUAAAUAUUUGGUUUUAAAAGGGCUGGCUUAAGUGGUUCAGAUUACGUUCAUUUCACCACUUCUAAAUUAGAACGAAUACCGAGCGGAUGCUACGGCUGGAUGCUCAUUUGAGAUACAUUCUCUAAUACUAACCUUCAAUGAACAAGCAGCUAGAGUUGCUUCUGCCUCAACAAAUGUUUGUAAUAUUGCUCGAUCUGAAAAAGCUUUUCCCAAGUCCUCUGCUAGCUGAUAACUCUGGUGUGAAUAAGCGACAAUUAGACUAAAAGGUGGAUAAAAAAGAAUAGAAACCUAGAUAAAAGCAAGUGCUUCCUCACCAUAAUGAACGCGUGCUCUUUACUUUCUCCCUUGGCUUGACACUGUGAGACUUCCGCAACAAACCGAUUCAAAAGAUCUCUCUCCCUUAAGCACAAGACAUCCAUCUGAAAUAGGACAAUGGUCAGAGAUGCCCACAAUUUUAUGUGGAAUUACCAACAGUACAAUUGAUGCUAAUCUAAUUUACCUGGAAUUGGCUGCAUCUGAGCGUAGUCGUAGUAAGCCGUGAUGGAAUGACAGGGCAGGGCUUAUUCAUGUGUUCUAAACCCAGACCCUUGAAAGCCUUGUUUGGCUUCUGAGCUGCCAUGUAUUCAGCAAACAGAGCUUUGCUGACCUGAGUUAUCAUGUUCAAUCAUAAGUUCCACUGUUUAGUUGUCAAUACAUUAGGAUGUUGUGAACCCAAAAUCCAUGAAGCCUAUUAAAAUGACCUACACAUCUUGCAGGCCAUGGCCAGGGGACUACAUGCAUCAUAUGGGUCAUUUCAAGGAAAACAAAAUCCAGUAAAAACCCAUACAUAGAGAACUCAUUCCCCAAUUCUGCAUCUGCUGCUUUCAUUUUACAUUGAGGUCAUAUAUUCUCAGCCAGUUUAGUUGUAAGUUGUAACCAACUGUCCUUGUCAAAGGAAAUUCGUAAGGAAAGAAGAAAGCAAAUUUACCUGCUGCAUUAAAAUAUUAUUGUCCCCCUCAAAAGUGGAUUGCACAUCAUGUUCAGCUUUUAGAUGACCAACACGAUUCUCUGUCUUUAGUCCUUGUCCUCCACAAGCUUCGCGACAUUCCUGAAGCAUUCAACAAUUGAACGUCUGUAAUGGCACUUAAUGUUGAAAUGGUUCAACUUACUCCAAAAUUGUCUGUAGCUCACCUGAAGUAUUUGCAUGUUACUCCAUGUAAAAGUAGCCUUGAAUGAACUUGAAAUUACAUGAAUGAUUUUGUUUGACUGGGGUGUCCUCUUCACAUACAGCAUUUUCAAGUAAUUUGCUCCAAAACUCAUAGCAUACCUGCAGCAUAAAAAUGAAAAUAAACAAAUGAGGGUUUAGAACUUACGUUAAACGUUCAACAAACACUUAGACAACAUAUGUUUUCUCUAUACAUGCACAGAAAAGAAUGACUAAUCUUAUCUACCAAGCCAGUGAAGAAAAAAUUGUCAUGAUGAGACUUGCUACAAGCACAGCACUUACGUUUCAAACACAAACUGGACUUAACAAGAGUUCAGGAGAAUAUAUAUACAUAUAUAUAUACAUUUCCUAAACUACCUCUAAACCCCUCCAAACUCCAACUAACUAAAUUGGAGGAUUACACUCUUAAUAGUGCUCAAACCCACAACCUCCAAAUUGCUACAACAACAACGGUGCCAACUGGGGUAGCACUCUGAUCAAGAAACUGUGCAUAUACUUACGUCUUUGCAAGGAGAGGCAAGAGUCUUCGUUGAUGACUUGGGUAAUCAAGCAAUAAGACCUCAGGUUCCUUUGGUUUAAGAGAAAAAGCCCGCCUUGUUAGAGCAUAUCUAAUGGCAAUAGCUAAACCAACCUGUAAGGAGAGUAAUGGCAUGAUAUCAGCGACCUUUACAUUUGAUAGUAGUGGCCUGCCACCCAUACCCAAAAUACAAAAACAUGCAAAUUUCUUCUGCCAAUAAAAACGGACAAGAUGCUUAGAAAAAAAUGAGGUAUACCUUUGACUGGUAAACUGCAUUAACUGCAAUAUUAACACGGCCUGCUGUUAGAGGGGCCAGGAAUGCAGCAAAUCUCUGAAUUAAAGCAACAGACAUGUAAGAGAAACCAACACAGUAUUACCAGCAAAACAGUUGUAGUACAAUAAACGGCUCUAGAGCAGAUACCAGUCAACUCAAAUAUAAGAAGUACCUGAUCUGGGUCUUUUAUAGCACUUAGAUAUUUUCCAUCAGGUGAAACAUCAGCAACUGAAUUUAAUAAGUUCUCUCUCGGCACUCGAACAUUGUCAAACCUGAAAUAACAUGAGCAGACCUUUAAUAUUAGAAUUUUUCUAAGAAAAAGAAGAGACUAAAGAAUCCAUAGUAGAGUGUGAGUUUACACUACCAGAUUCUACCGUUAUCAACACCAUUUAAACCAAUUUUAUGACCACAGUCAGCAAUGCGAAUGUUUGGACAUACAUUACCAUCAGCAUCCCUGAUCUGGGCUAUAAGUGCAUGAACCCCUUGAUUGGUUCCAUUGAUAUUGAGCUGUGAAAAAACAAUUGUGUGUGUUGCAUGCUAGACAACAAAGCAACAACAUAAGUAUACCAUGUCAGCAUAUACAUAAAACAGAGGGAAGGAUAAUAAAAACAGCUAAAAAAAAAACUUCACAUUACAAAGGAAUCUAAAAACAGACUCCAUGGAGAGAAAUGGUAUUUGGUUCUAAGAGAAGCUUACGUUGGCUGCUCCGCCAAUCCAAUACUUUUGUGCUGAUUCACAAGGAGUAUUAAUGACAAACUCCCCUGUGUUUGAGUCAUAUGUUGUUAUUGUUUCAAUGCCGCGAACCUAAAUACAGUAACUCUAGAAUAAAUCAGGAGCAAGAGGAAGACUGCAUAAAAAUUCGGAAAAAGCAUGAUUCUCCUUACUAAAGGAUUAGACAACCUUUACAUACAUUACUUCCAUGCCCCAACUCAGUCAUUGCAAAGCAACCUUUGAUCAAGUAAUUUUCAGUGUCCCUCAGCCACUUGUCAUGGUGGUGCUUUGUACCAAAAAAUUGGAUGGCACCACCCCUGCAUACAUUAUGACAAUAGUAGAACUCAGUUCCAAAUUUUCUUACUUUCUACUUUAACCUUGUCGACUAAAAAGUCUGCACCCCUUCCUAUAACAAUGGGUUAAAUUCAUAAAUAAAAUGUAAGGCAAGCAACAAACAGCUCUCGGUUCCAUUAAAUUUCAAACUUCAAUACACUAAGACUUUGUUGGUUAGUUUCUUUUGAUACUUAUAUCUUUUGCUAUUUGAUCUUUUAUUCUUCAUUGCUAACAGGUAGGAUCAUAUUUAAGUAAAAUAAACAAAUUGAAAAUCAAUUAAAACAAGGCAUUGUGUUGUAUAUUAUAAAACAGAGUAAUGCAACCAAGGAAAAUGAAGAAGAAAUGAAUAUACAGUUAAUAAAGACACUUCAAGGGAGCUACUACUCUUAAGUGCAAAAGGGCUCUUGGUAACAUUUUUAAAUAUUACCAUGAAAAACUGCCACUACAAAAAAAAAUGCAGCCCAAGCUUUUCUUGAACAUAUUUAACCAAAACUAAGAAUUUGAGAGAGAGAGAGAGAGCGAGAGAGAGAGAGAGAGAGAGAGAGAGAGAAUGAGUAGUUGAAUAUAAGUAAUAGUUCAAUUCAGUGUAAAUGAAUGCAUCCAUAGAAACUAACAAGUGCUAUGAAAGUAUUCUUUUAUAGAGAACUAUCUGAAAUCUUGAAAUAAUAUCCCUUCAUGAAAAGUCUUCACAAAGUUAUAUCUUGUCCUACAUACUAAAUUCAUAAAAACAUGCGACCUAUACGAUUUUACAACUUCUGUUUAAAAUCAAAACACUUGAAAUCAUUUUGGUAGACUUCAUGAUAACAUUUUCUUACUCAAAAAAUAUAAAAAUUCUAAUGGUUACUCUUUUUUUAUGUAUUCAAAUCUAUUUUUACACCUAAAAGCAAAGUAAGGGAAAUAAUGCAUAAAGGAAGUCUAUUACUUUUAAAGUGUGUUUGCUUGGGUAAAAGGAGAAAGUAAAAAAUUGAAAAAAAAAAAAUUUGAAUGUGCUUAAAAAAAUGAGAGAAAUAAAAAUAAAAAGGUGAUCAUCUUAUCUUCCAAAUUAGAAUGAUAAAAAGAGAGAAAAUUGUAUAUUAAUUUAUUUUUAAAUGUUUUAUUUUAUAUCUUUAAAAUUUUCAACUUAAAAUUAUUCUUCUUUUCAUUUUCUUCAUCAGCGCGCUUAUAGAAAAAAAAUUAUAUUUUUUUAUUUAUGAAAAUAAAAUUAUUCAGAAAAAAUAUAUUUUUCAUAUUUCUAUGUAGAGUUUGAAAAGUAAAACGAAAUCCAAAAAUUUAGAUUAAUCUUAAGAAGAUAGAAAAGAGAAAAGGCAGAUAACGCACCACAAGAAGAAGUGAACUCCAAGCUUAAUGGAGAUGGAAUGAUCGAAGAGACCCAAAACCUCAAAGCAAGCGAACCUUCUCAUCUCAACUUCUUCUCCUUCCCCCGUUAACCACCCUUGGAACACUCCCCUCUCGAACAAAUACUCGAUGCGUUUCCACGUCAUCUCCCGCUGCUGCUCCAUGGACUGGUUAUAGUCCGGCGACACAAACACCUUCCCUCCCCUCACUCUGGGAUUGAACACCUUGCUCUGCGUGAUCAUCCCAAACAGCCGAUCCCGCUCCUCCAGGUCGUGCCCGUCCAUUAGCUUCCGCAUAUCGUUGAUGUCGAAUGCGUAUUUUUCGGAAAGUUCAGGCGGAGAGUAGUUCAAACAGGUGUUUGAAGAAAGAGAAGGGGUUUGAAAGGACGAAGUAGGAGGUGAUUGGAGGAGGUGACCGGUUAGGACUUUGGUUCUCUGAAAUGCUCGAUCCAUUGCAGAAUAACGUUGUUUUUUUUUUUUUUUUUUGCCUGCCUUUAUUUGUUUGUUCAAAAGAGGAAUACUGAUGAUGGUGGUGGUUGCGUUUAGUAUUUUUUACAUUGAAGCAAUCGCAAUUGGAUCCAGGAAGCGGUUAGGUUGGGUUGGUCAUCCGGGGUUAGGUUGGUCAACCAACUAUCUACGCUUAAAUAAUCUGACCUUAUCCGUAUUUCUCAACUUGCGCCUUUUUUACAAAGAUAAUAUAAUAAAUAUAUUAAAUUCAAAAUUGGGUUAUAUGUUAUAUUAAUUACUAAAAUGGUAUAGAUAAGAUGGUGAAGGGUGGUGUACAAAUGACACCACUCUUGUUUUCUAACAAUUGUCCCAUACAAUUAAAUAAUAAUAUUUUAAUAUGUGAAGUCUUGUUGAUAGGCGAUACCUAAAUAUUGAAUUUAAUAUAUACUCGUUUUUAUAUAUGGGCAUAAUAUUUGGGGUGAUGUCAUAUCAAUAAGUGGCACUAGUGAUCCCUCUUUAGCAGGCGGCACUAGUGACCUCUAUCUAAUAGGUGACAACGGAGAAGAAGCAAAUUUGGGGGAUAUUAUAACUAUGGUCCCCUUUCGUAAUUUUAAAAUUGGAGAAGCAGUUUCUUUAUUUAAAAAAGAAAAAGAAAGUAGAAGGGAAGAAGAGAGGGAGAAGAAAAAAAGGUAAAAAAAAUUUAAUAGAGAAGAUUAAAGGAAAAGAAAGUUAAGAAAGAAAGGAGAAGCAAAAAAAAUGAUAGUAGAGAAAUGGAAGGUGAAAGUAUGUUUUUUUUUUAAAUAGAAUCGAUUAGAAAUUAUUUUGUUACUAAUUUGUUUAGUUUGAUGUUUAUUGUGAUUUGUUAUAAAUGUAAUUUUUUAUGUUGUUUUUAAAUUAUUUUUAAGUUAUUUUGUUAGUAAUUAUUAUAAAUUAAUUGUUAGCUAGUGAUGACACUAGGGAAAAAAUAGAUAAAUACUGAAAUUAAAAAAAAACUUAGUUUCUGUCGUAGAUAUUGGAAGAAAUGACAAUAAAUCUGAUAUUGCCUGAUGAGAUAACAACUUCAGCACAAAGAGAGAAAGUUGAUAGGAUGAUUAGAGAAGUGUAAGAUUAUAGAAUGAAACAGAAGAAACAUAGUUCAACACCUUAUUACCAUAAAUCAAAAUAUGCAAGACGUGUUAUGGAAGAUUCAUGAAAUAAUUAGAAAGAAUAAAGUGCGAUAAUUGACCCUAAGAGGGACAUUAAUAAAACGGUAGCAUCAAAUGAUUUUAGACCAACUUUGGAAGACAUUGGUACCACGAACCUAUUGGAAUAUAAUUAUAUACUACGUGAAGUUUAUAAUCUCUUAUGGAGCAAAGAAAAUAGCGAGACAAAGUAUAGGUUCGCUAAAGUUGACUAGGAAGCAAAAUGUCUUUGACAUGCCAUGGAUGAUAAAUUAGUUGUUAGGAAAUUACUUUAUAAAUUCAAUACCUGUUAUAAAGAUGGAAGAGGAAUAAGAUCCUGAGGAAUUUCCAAAAUGGAUUGUAGAAGAUGAAUUUGAAGAGAAUUCAAAAUUUAAUAUAAAGAAUUUCCCGGAGAAAAAUACAGAAUCGGAGAUGGAAGAAAACGUAGAAAUGAGUUUAAGUGGUUAAAUGCGAAGGUAAAGUAAAAGUUAGAGCCUAGAAAAUGUGAAAAAAAUGACUAAAUAUGGUUGUACAUGUAAGAAAUGAGAACUUAAUGUUGAUAUAAUGCUGAGCUUACGAAUGAAAAGUUUUGCAUAUUUAUAUAAUGUUGGUCUUUUUUUUACAGAUUAUUUUUUAUUAAAGUAAUUUUUUUGCUGUUCGAAAUUGUAUUGAGAAUUUUUAUUUCUUUUUUAACAGAUUUAGUAUUGAAGAUGAAUAAUUAGUUUUUUUUGUAUGCGUUUAUUUCAAUGGAGUAAUUUUGACAAUAGUUGGAUGUAUAUUUGAAUGUCGCCAACAAAUAGCAAUUAGAUUUAAUAGAAAUGUCUCAGAUGAUUAUAUAAAGAAAAUGAUUAGUGCAAAAAUUGUUAGACAUUAUGGAAAAAGGAUCUCGAAACUUUUCUACAAGUUUCCAGUUUCAACAGAUCCCAUCAAAUUCACCGAGAUAGAACUUGUAGACGAUAAAGACGUGGAGACAAUGGUCGCUCUUUAUUAUGGGAAUUGGAGUGACCAAAAUGCAACGAUUCAGUUAUUUGCUAAGUUAGCUUAUGUGGAACCAACUGAAGAUCCUACUCCAUUAGGUGAAGAACAUUUAUAGUCAAUCGAUUUUACACGGGAUCGACAUCGAUCUUAAUGCUGCAUCCGAAACUGAUGCGGUUGGUGAUGACAGAUGCGAUAGUAGUGAUCCUUCUGGUCAAGAGGUCGAUAGUGAUCCCGAUGUGGAUGAGGUUCCAGGUGAUACUAACAACAAAGGCGUAAAUGACGAUUGAAAUGUUAAUGCGUUGUGAUACACAAUAAUCUUGGGGCACACAUGUUGUUCAUAAAACCCGAUGCGGUGCAUACAGUCGAGUUCCAGGAGUACCCUAAUAUACUACCUGCUCACCGAAUGACCGUAGAUUCUGAUCUUAAGGAGUUAUUCAUGGGCCAGAAAUUCGAAAGCAAAGAAGGGUGUGUAUUUACCAAUAAGCGGUAUAGCAUGAAUGUGUAGUGGACUACAAAGUCAUGUCUACACCGACAUUAUAUAUUGGGGAGUGUUAGAGGUCGACGGAAGGUUACAAUUAGUGGGUACGAGCUACAUUUAUCCAGAAGUCACAGAUGUGGGAGAUACGAAUAUUUGUUGAGCCUCACACAUGCACUUCAACAUGUAUGACAGAAGAUCACCAGAAACUUGAUUCCAAAACUAUUUGUGCAUGCAUUAUGCCAAUGGUGAAGGACAUGCCGACCAUUAAAUUUUCGAUAUUGAUUGCUGAAAUGCAAGCACAAUUCCAGUAUCGAAUAUCAUACCGAAAAGCAUAAAUAGCUAAACGGAUGGCAAUGGAUCAAUUAUACAGAGAUUUUGAUACGUCGUACAAUGAGCUACAAGGGUGGAUAGCCACUUUACAGGAGUACGUGUCGGGAACUGUCAUUGAGUUAGAGACACGACUUUAUUACGGCCCAGAUGACCAACUACAACUGGGAAAAAAAAAUUUCCAACGAAUUUUCUGGACGAUUGAUCCAUGCGUGCGAGAAUUUCUCCACUACAAGCCAUUUGUGUAGGUAGAUGGGAUCUGACUAUACGAAAAAUAUAUGAAGAUCCUACUUAUUGCAGUUGCUCAAGACGGGAACAAGAAUAUGCUCCCGAUAAUGUUUUCCAUUAUGGACAAAGAGAACAUAGAAUCAUGAGAUUUCUUCCUUACGAACCUGUGGAAGUAUGUUGUUAAUGAUGAUAAUAUCUGCAUCAUCUCUGAUAAAGGAAAUAGAAUAAUUACCGCCAUUAAGCAUUCCGAUGUACCAUAGAAAUCUUUUUACUACAUCCGGCACAUCGCGAAAAACUUCCAUCGAAAGUAUAAGAAUGCAGACUGGAGGAAAUAAGUUUUAGAAAUGGGUAAAGAAUGCCUUUAUCUUUUCAAUAUACAUUUUAAUGUUUAAUUCGUGACUGUAACUAAUCUUUUCUUAAUAUAUACACAGCGUACGAGCUAGAGCCACACCUUUUCCGACAAAGGAUGACUAGACUUGAAAGUGACAUGGAAGGUGAAAUGAACACACCUUUUCGACAGUGGUUGGGUACCAUGAAGCUGUGACAAUGGGCUUAAAGUUUUGAUGAAGGGUUUCGCUAUGGUCAUAUGACCACCAACUUUGCAGAGGGGGUUAACUCUGUGUUGAGAAAAAACCAUGACAUCUUUUGAUUUCAUCUAUGUUCUUGGCUACAUUCUAUAGUCUGGCUACCUUGAUGCUAAAAAUGGGAUAGUAACAAGUCAACCAGAUGGAGACGGAAUACAUGUUUGUCGAAGAUGUCAAAGAUACAAUCGUUGCGAAUCGUCGGAGGGCAAGGUCGAUGAAUGUAGAAGUAUAUUCAAAACAUUUUGAAAUGUUUUAAGUUACAGAGACCAUCAAUCGUCGACCCGAUAUACCACCUAGGUCUUACGAAGUUGAUCUCUGAAACAGACGGUGCGAUUGCAAGAGGUUCCAGACACUUCAUUAUCCAUGCGCGCAUGUUUUGGUAGCAUGUGCUCUCACCUCACUCAGUGUUGAACAGUUUAUCGAUGAGGUGUACACUUUCGAGCGCACGUUGCGUGUUUGAGAGAACGAGCUCCCCGUCCUACUUGACCUGUUUACAAGAGAGGUUUCGCCGAUAACUUUCGAGCUUAUCCUAGACAAAGGGUUGCGUAGGAAUCCAGAAGGUCAUCCACAAUCAACUAGAAUCCAUAAUGAAUUGAACAUUAGAGAGAAAACUAACGGGAAACUUUGUGGCAUAUGCAAAUUAGUUGGGCAUAAUAGGAGUAAAUGCCCGCAGCGAACCUACCAUAUUAGACAAUCGUCGCAAUUGGGUAGGAAUUGAGCUAAUGUACUCCAAUGUAUCUAAUUUAUAUUACAAAGUUUGUUCCAAGUUUGUUCCAACACGUGCCAAUUAAAAUUACAAAGUUUGUUCCAAGUUUGUUUCAACACCUAUCAUUUAAAAUUACAAAGUUUGUAUUUUUGCAUUUAUAUUUUACUAUAAUUAAAUAAAUAUAAACUUGAUUAUUUAAAUUAUAGAAACUCCUAAACUUGAUGGUUUGAUGGUAUGGUCCUAGGGGUAUAUUUUUAUGGUGGUCAGCGUUCAUGUUGCGGGUUAUCGUGGCGAUCAACAUUCUCCUCACUCAAACUUGAGGGUGUGCUAAACAUAGUAGAAAAAUCAUAUACCCCAAACGUCAUCGAUGAUGUUGGGUUGGGAGGAGUGGAGUACUGAGGUGGACAUGGGGCGGGAGAAGUGGAGUACUACAGUGGUAAUGGGUUGAAGAUAUCAAAUGUCGUCGUUGAUCUCAGAUCAGGUAUAUUAAAACUGGAUCCCGAAAACUCUGAAUGAUAUCUGUGGCCUAACGAGCCUGAGAAAUAGUCAUCAAACCCCAAGUCUAGAUGAUAAGAUUUAUCCCCAGAUUGUGUAUGAGAUUGGUUGGGUUCGGGCUCUGGCUCAGACUCUAGCUCAGGUUCAAGCAAGGGCUCUAGCUUGGGUGUAGGAGACGUAUGUGGAAAAGGAUGAUCGUAUGCUCCAAGUUAAUACAUGUGCAAGGGGAUUACAAUCGAUUUCUCACAAAAUAAAUAUGGUUUCCCCAUAUCAGAGUACCAUUAUAUGUUACUCUAACGAGGGCUGCAAAUCGAAAGAAAUAUCCAUCUAAGGUCUCUGCACCAUGCGGUUGUCCCACACUGCAAUAUAUUAUUGAUGCACUACUGCCCAAUUAUUUCCGUGCUUUCCCCUAUUGUUAAUCCCAUGGGUCUUCCCCAAUUGCAUUGGCAGAGCCGGGAUAUACUGUAUGCAACUGAACUACCGAAGUACUUGAUCCUUGUUAUACCACUCCACUGUCUGGAAAUUGAUAAUAGGUGCAUUAAUGCGCCACAUGUGUGAGUGAAUAUGAGAAGAUGAGGGAAUAAUAGUUGCAAUUUUUGGCAAGGAAUAGGGCAUCUAGAUAAACUGCACAAUUAAUAAAAUAGUUAAAUUCUAACACGAUUCAAGUAAGAUAUACAAAGUAAUUACAUGUUACGAAUAUUAGAAUAACUUACCCCUUCCCUAGUAUGUUGCUGAAUCAUCAGGCGAUAUAUCAGAACCGUGUAUGACCUCCCGAUACCCGGAUUUGUACUCCAUCUACGAAAAAAAAUAACUUGUUAGAAUAAUAUCAUUAGAAAAAAAUUUUCAAUUAAUUACUAUAAUAGGUAAGAUUUUGUCACCUAUUUACGAGUGGAAAAACAUAUACUUGGUGACUAACAGAUGCCAAGAAUGACAUCCAGUAAAGAGCCCAAGAUUGUAGCGAUAUGAGGCAUCCGCCUAUGCCCAUGGCAAAAGGCUUUGUCAUCCGACAAAGCUUGCGAUACAACAUAGCUAAUACUGCAGAACCCCAACAACAUGAAUGGACAUUAUGCAAAUCAAUUAAGCUAGGUAAGUACAUCAAAUGGACCUUUUUGUUGUUUGCAUUCAACAUGAGUACACCCCUUAUAAUGUGUAUAAUGUACGCUUGAAUGACGCACAUCACCUCCCACUCAGUGGCAUUAAUCGAUAAAUUCUUAAAAUUGACCUUCAACUAUAAAAACCUCAAACCUGUAAAUUUCGACUCAGCAUCACCGGACGAGACUCCUAAUAGGUUAUCACAAAGGGUAACCAGUUCAGAUAUCGUACUUACGCUAGUUACUGCACUCCCGUCGAUUGGGAGCCUUAGUUGUAGUGUAACAUCCUCUAGAGUGAUAGUGCACUCCCCACACGACAAAUGAAAAGUGUGGGUCUUCGGGCGCCAUCGCUCGACCAAGGCGGAUAUUAAGUGGUACCACAAAUCAAACUUCCAGAUCAAUGUCACUGACCCGAAUCCGAGUAACUCCAAGUAUGACAUUAGUCGUUCAUCCAGGGGAUAUCCUAAACCAUUCACACGAUCCCUUAAUGCGUGGUAUGGGCACUGACACUAUUAAAUUAUAGAAAUAGUUAAUAUAACAUAAUUUAAUUUCGUAAAUGACGUGAAACUUUUUAUAAGGGAACUCGUGAGUAACAAAUAACAAUUUAUUACCAUCUUAUUAACUGUGUUUGAUAUGUGAUUAUCGUUAUUAAUCAAAGAACCCAUUUCAAUAUUUGUAAUUUUAAAACAAGGAGUUCAAUUAAUUUGUUACAAAAAAAUACAUUUCGAUAAUUAAUUUGUAUUUGAGCAUUUUUAUCGCACUAAUAAAAAAUAUUAUUAAAAUACAGAUACGUGACAUCCUAAAUGUAAUAGCACAUUUUGAUAAUUUAUUUUUAAGGUGGUCCAUUUUAAAUAUUUAUUAAAAUUCCUAAAUGUAAUAGAAUAAAUUUUACAAUAAAUACAAUACAAAAAUUUCAUUACAAAAAUACUAAACAGUUUUGUCCACAUCACAUUUUUUGCUAUACUAUUGCAGUAUAUAAUUAACAAAUUAAAUAAAAAUAUCUUAUAAAUUUCAACUCAAUGGUCCUAUCUUUUACCUACCUACAUAUAAAAUAAAAAAUUUAUGUUAAAAUAAUAGAAACUAUGAAAACAAAAUAAAGCUAGUUGGUUGGACUAUAUGUUGUUAUGUACAUCUAAUAAUAAACACACAAAAAAUGCCCAUUAAAAAAUAUAACAAAACAUCACAUCAAUUCCAACUAAAUAGACUCAUCUUUUACAUACAUAAAAAAAACAAAAAAAAAAUUAUGUUAAAACAACAUAAACUUUCUCAACAUAAUAAACCUAAUGGGACUAAUGUUGUUAUUUGAAUAUAAAUAAAAAAAUAAAAAAAGCAUAAGACUUUAAAAAUCAAACAGAAACAUACCUGCACACUUUCUGAAAUAAAUCAAAUAACCUUCCUUUUGUACCGAAAUAAUACCUUACAAAAAAAUAAAAAAAAAUCAGAUUCUGAAUUAUAACAUUUUUAAAAUAAAUAAAAUAGAAAAUAACAUUUAUAACCUAUAAAAAAACCCUAAACUAAACAAAAAUACCUUAAUUUCUUUUUUUUUCAAACCCUAAACAAACAAAAUCCACAAAUCUUUUUUUCUUAACCUCAAACUAAACCCCAAGCUAAUCCUACACUGACCCUAAAUCCUUUUUUUCCUUAACCCUAAACUAACCCCAAAUUUCUCCUUUGAUUUUCUUCUCUUCUAUUCUGCUACUCUUUAUUCUUUCCUUCUUUUUUUUUCCCCUUCGUUCUUUUCUUCUUCACUGGUUUGUUUUCUUUCUUUCUUUCACUUUGGGGACCAGUAUAAGGUCCCAAACAACGUUUACCAUCCAUUUUCACGAGACCCUUAAGGGUCUCAUCCCAUCGGCAAACGCAUCAAAGCAGCAAAGUAAUCCCAUCCAUGCUAGACUAGUGCCACAUGUCAAGUAGGCUUCACCAGGUUCUCCUCGGGCUGUGUGGACUACAGGUUAUACGGGUUAAAACUGUAACACCCCAAAACCGGUCUAAACGUUAUGACCGAAUCUGGCGAUGUCACAUUGUAACACCCCUUACCCGUAUUCGACGCCGGAAUAGGGUACGAGGCAUUACUAGAAGACAUACAUUUGCAUAUGUAUUAAACUGAGUUACAAAAUUUCAUCCGAAUUAAAACUUUUAAAUUAUUAACGUGCUUUUAUAAUUCUUUACAACAUAUCCUCGAAAUAUUAUAUUCAUAACAAAUAGGGCCUACGAGACCCGAUAUUUACUCAUGUAAUUCAAAGCUUCAUUUCCAUUUCAUUCAAUUCACAAUUUCUCAUGUUCACAAUUCAAAUCAAUUUCUCAAUCCAAUAUAUAUUUCAAUCAUCUAUGAAUAUAAUUCAAGUUAUACGAACUUACCAGGCUAAAUUGCAGAAAUACCAAAAUUCAAGGACAUUUUGGUAAUUUUCUAUUUUCCUCGAAUUUUCACCCAAUCUUGAUAUAAAUUAAUAUUUCAUUAAAUUUAUUAAAUUAAAUAAUAAAAAAUUCAUUUCAUGCAAUUUGAUCACUUUUUGACAUUUUUACCAAUUUACCCUUAAAAUAUUACUUUUAUUCAAUUUAGUCCUUGAACCUAAAACACGCAAAUUGGUCAUUUUUAAUGAGAACUCAUGCUAGUUGAAUAAUCAUUUAUUUUCCUCCUCCUCCUCUCCAUUCCACAUCCUUAAUGUAUAAUAUGCUUAUAGGUAACAUUAUCUAUAAUUCCACCAUUUAUUUAUAUAUUAAUUCAAAGCUAUCCACUUGAGUCAUAGUCACUAAAUUAUUUAUAUCUUGAGCUAUGAAACUCCAAAUUAAGAUCCGCUAAAUUCCUAUGAAACUAGACUCACAUAUCUUCUUACCAUAAGAUUUUCAGAAUUUUUGGUUUAGCCAAUAAGUACAGUUUAUUCUUUAAAGUUUCCCCUGUUUCACUGUUUGACAGUUCUGACCUCUCUUUACUAAAAAUUAAUUAUCUCAUUAUACAAAAUUCGGAUGAUAUUUCCGUUUCUUUCCUUUGAAAAUAGACUCAAUAAGGAUUCUAAUAAUAUAAAUUAUAACUCAUAAUUAUUUUUAUUAAAUUUUUUAGGAUUUUUCAAAGUCAGAACGGGGGAACCCAAAUUCAUUUUGAUCUUGUCUCACAAAAUUUAUUAUAUCUCAUGAUUUACAAUUCCAUUACUUACACGUUUCUUCUAUGAGAAACUAGACUUAAUAAUAUUUAAUUUCAUAUUUUUUUAAUCCUAUAAAUCGAUUUCCACAAUUUAUGGUGAUUUUUCAAAGUUAACCUACUGCUACUGUCCAAAACUGUUUUAGUGCAAGAUGUUGAUUACUAAGUUUAUAACUCCCUAAUUCCCUUUCUCUAUAAUAUUUCCCAUCAUUUUCACUUAUUUCUCUUCACUAAUAUAUCAAGACCAUAAGACAUCGUUUAAGAAAACUCUACUAUAACAUCAUUUCCAUACUUUUUUCAACAAUAACAAACUUAAAAAUAUAUUAAAAUCUUGAUGUUCUUACCUUGUGCUAUUGAUUUCAAUCUUUAACUUGAUUUUCUCUCUCCUCCAGCUUCCAUUUCUUAUAUUUCUUGAAUCUAACUUGACAUUCUAGCUCCCCAUUGUCUCCUUAUUACUUUUCUCUCUUGGAAGCUAUGGAAAUUCUUUUGAAUUCUAGGUGAAAAUAGUGAAUUUUUGGUAAAAUGACCAAAUUGUAAAGAAAGCAAAACUUUCUUUCUUCUCUUCUCUUCUAACGUUGGUUGCAUGGAAAGAUGAUAAUUUUUUCAUCAUCUUUCCUCCCUUUUAUAUUAAUCAUUUAAUAAUAAAAUAAUACUAAAAAUCUUAAUAAAAUAUUAAUUAAAUAACAUUUAUCUAAUUAAUUAAUUAAAAAUAUCACAAACAUCAUCAUUACCUUCUAGAAUUCUCUCUCUCUCUAUUUGACCAUUUUUCCCUUCAUAAUCUUUUGAAAUUCCAUCCUUGAGUCAUCACUUAAUUUGGUAAAAUUGCAAUUUAGUCCUUCAAAAUUCUUCAUCUUUUCAAUUUGGUCCUAAUUCAUCCAUUUUCCUUAGUUUCUAGAUUAUUCCACCCUUAAAAUACACUAUUGGUCCUUCAAUUUUUUCAUAUUUACACUUUAACCCCUCAAAUUUUGAGUAUUUACUCUUGGGCAACAAAACUUUUCUCACUUUUGCAAUUUAAUCCUUUCUUGAAUUAAUAUGUCAUAAUAUACUUCCCAAUGUUGACAUAACUCAAUAUUACCCUUUUUAUCACUUUAUUUCUUUAUUUUACUAUAUCAAGGAUAUUAUCUUACUUACUGUAGUAAUUUUCGGGGUAUUAAAAAAACGGGUUAUACAGGGUGUAUUUUUUGUUUGGGUGCCGCCUACCAAAUGCCCACAUUUGAUUAAUUUUUUGUUCAUAUCAGGAAACUGAAACUGUUAAUUUUAGGGUGGUGGUGUCGCCUAUCCACCACCUUCCUCUGUGUUGGCCAUACCAUUCCCAUAAAUAAUUUUGGGAGAAACCUAUUUUCGAAUUUAAUAUAUUAUUUUAUAUUAUUUGUGUAAAAAAGCCUCAAUUUGCAAUUAUUUAUACAAUUAUAAUAAACACAUCUAAUCAUUUAUCUAUGCCUAACUCGCGAUUUAUAUUUUUAUGUAAAUUCUUAGCUUAACUAGUAAAAGUCGUGGCUGACCCCCAAUAAUAGGGUUUGCGUCCGAAAAGAAUAAAAAAAUAAACAUUUAGAUAAUUUUUAUAAAAUUUCAAAAUAUUAUUUUUUAUUUCUAUGUUUUAAUUUUUUUUUAAUUUUUAAGAAUCAAGACUAAAUUGAUAGAAUGUAUAAAGUUGAGGAUUAAAUUUAUUGAUUUCUUUUAGAAUUAUAAUCAAAUUUAUUGAAUAUGUUAAUACUGGAUGGCUAUAUUUAUUAUUAUGCCAAUAAAAAAAGGGUAUAUUAAAAUUCUAUUAAUAAUUUAAUGGAGAAGUGAUCAAAAUAUUAAAUUUUAAUAAUGUUAAUGACUAACAUAAAAUUUUUUAAUCUGAGUGACCAAAACAGAGAUAUAUUAAUAAUUGCGUAACUAUUUAUAUAGCUUACCAUAAAAUUUUAACAGAAUAAAAAAUUAUUAAAUAAUUAGAAGUAUUAUAUUACUAAAAUAUAAAUACAUUAUUUUAUAUAUAUUUAUUGAAAUAUUUUGAUUAAUUGAUGUAUAAUUACAUAAAUUUAUUAUAUAUUUUUUAGUACCACGAAAUCUUACAUUACAAUUUAGAGAGAAUGGAAUGUUAACACCAAACUUAACCCUAGGCCUUAAAGGUGUCAAUUUUUAAUCACUUGCACUUUUUGGAUUGUUGGUAAUUAACUUAUUAUAUUAAAUGAAUAAAAAUGUUAAAAGCUUUAAAUGAAAAUAAAUAAAAAAUAUUUAAAAAUAAAAAAAUUAAUAAAUUUAGAUUAUGACACGCCCACGAUAUUGAUAAAAAAAUAUGUAAUAAAUACAUUUAUAAAAAAUGAUUUAAGAAACAAAUGAAGCUUUAGUUGAAAUAGUAAAGAUAUUAAAAAUUAUGGUGUUUUGGAUUUGAAUCUCAUCAAGUGCAUUUUUCUAGCACGAAUGCGUGUAGAAACUAUAUAAUUAGAAUAUAAAUGUUUUUAAAAAUAAGAUACAAUAAAUAAUAAAACAUAUGAGGUGAAAUUAAUUAAUAAUGAAGCGUUAAUUGGAGUGGUAAAGUUUAAAUUCUAUACAUGUUGAUGUCAUGUGUUCAAAUUUCAUUAUUUGUAACUUUUUUAUUGGCUGUAUAUAAAAAGUAAAAGAUAAAACUAGAAGUACCCUCACAUCAUAUAAUUUAUUUUAAAUACAAAAAGAAGAAGAAGAAGAAGAAGAAGAGAACAAUUCUAUAUUUCCUUAACUAAGUUUUCCUUAAACUAGCUGGUGUCUAAUUGACUCAUAACACUAACACAGUUAGGAAUUUAAAUAAUAAGAUAGUAUAAAUUUUCAAACUAAUAUUAAAAAUAAUAAAUGCACUCUAAAUAUUUAUCAUGUUGGUGAAAAGAAAAUCAAAUAUUAAAAAUUAAAUUAUAAAAAAUUCAGUAUUGAGUUGAGUAACUCAAUCAAUGAAAUUAUGUAUACUAGUUCUAUAGCACACUUGUAUUGUGGGUGAAAAAAAAGGCGGAUGAAAAUAAUAUAUUUGUAAACAUUUUAUAUUAAAUAAAUGUUUGAAAUUUAUGUGACUUAAGUUCAAAUCCUAUCAUGAUAUUUUUAUUUAAAAAUAUGAAAAGACAAAAACAUUUUCAAAAUAUUAUAAAUUACUUUAUAAAAUGAGGACAUUUUUAUCUUUUUUUUCAACUGCAAGUUGAUAUUUGGUUAACCUAUGAUUGAAAUAUAUAAAAAUAUAAAAUAAAAUUUAAUAAUAUUAUAUUUUACUUUUUAUAAAUACUAGUAUCAUGGGUUGAAAUUUAAACAUAUAUAAAUUUUAUAUUGAUUUUAUUAAAAAUGUAAAAGGACAAAAAUAUUUUUGUAAAAAUAUCAUUUAUUUUAAAUAUGUAAGAAUAAUUUAAUAAUUUUUCAAAUAAGUUAAUAUCUAAUUAACUUGUGACACCUAUUCAAAUAAAAUAGGCAUAAUGUAAAAAAUAACCCCUAACUUUUGACGUUUGUUCACUUUGGUCCUUUAUCUUUUUUUUGGAGCACUUUAACCCCUAAUGUUUUUUUUUUGUCAAAUCGGUCUAUUUUUAAUGGACAAGUUGACGUUGCCAUUAAAUGUUUAACAACGUUUGUAAUACACUAUUUUGCCCGGGUCUAAAAAGGCCCAAAUUACAAGCAAGCCUAUAUGGCCCAAAAUGAAAUAAAACAAGGACCCAAAUUGCAGUGGCCCAAAAUCAUCAGAAACCCUAGGGUUUCUAAUCUUCAGCCGCAGCAACCAUGCCCUCCGAAUCUCCACGUGCUCGUAUCUGCACAGCAAAAAAAGAAGCAAAGCAGCAUAUGGUAAGAAAAUAUUAAAAUCAAAUCAAGCAGAUACCAGAAGAUUUCUUUUUAUUUUUUCUUGUUUCACGAUUGCUAUAAAAGCAAUCUUAAGAUACUGUAAAUGUGGAUCGAAAAAUCAAUAAAAACGAAUAUUUCAUAACAAAAAGAGUAGAGAAUACAACGAGAUCAAAAAAAUCAAAUAUCGGAGGUUAACAUCUAUUUUCUUGCUUCGUUUCAAGAUUUUUCUUUCGUUUUUUAUUUUUUACAUGCGAAAAUAAAAUAAAAAGGGAAAAAGAAAACGACUCACCUUCGUUUGAGUCUGAAACGUCACUAAGACUGUAGAGGGAGCCACCCCCGAGGAUCGGUGGCCGGAAACCGAAAGGUUUCUUGCCUGCUUUGAGGAUUUUUGAUGGUAUUUUGGUGUUUUCGAGCCCGGAUUUGGGUUUAAAGGGGCCAGAAAAGCCGAAUAGGGGAUUUUCCCCUUUUCUGGCCACAGCAGACGGCGGUGCUGUCGUCGGAGGCUGGCGGCCGGCAUGGUGGCCGACAAUCGGCCGGUGCCCGGACCCUGGCCAGACGAUGAAGGAGGGGAGAGCUUUUUGAAAGUUUUUUUUUUUUUUUGUUUUUUAAGAAAAGGCUUAAAAUGAAAUUUUUUAGGGAGAGUCAGUGGCUUAAAUAGCCCUUCAAAACGGCGUUGUUUUGGGCAUGGGUUGACUCGACUCCGACCCGGCCUAGGAUCCGCGUGUUUUUAAGCGGAGGGGUAAAUUGUGCUUUUAGCCCCUCCGCCUCUUAAUGUUUUACAAUUGAGUUUUUUUUUAAUUUAUCCCUUCAAUUUUUUUCGAUUUCAGUUUAAUCCUAUUUGAACGAUGCCGUUUUGAAGGGGAAGGGAUAAUUUUCUUUCCAGCCCCUCUGAAUUAUUGGCGUAUUCAAUAGGGUCCUCCAGUCUUCAAUUAUUUGCAAAUUUGCCCCAGAUUUUUGUCUACAGUUCAAUUUAGUUUUUUUCUUUAUUUUUUUAAUUAAUUAAUAAUGUAAUUAUUUUAUAUAUAUAUGUAAUUAUUUUUUUAAAUUUUUUUUUCAAAAAUCUAUAUAUGUAUAUAUUUAUUAUUUAUAUAUGUGCACAUGAGUAUAUAAUUUUUUUCUAACAAAUAUCUUUUUAUUUAUAUAUAUACGUAUAUAUAUAUUUUUAAAAUGCUCAAAUAUACAUUAUUUUUUACACAUAUUUUACAAUAUAUAUGUUUAUAUAUUUCUUUUUAUAAAUGCGUUAUAUAUAAUCUGUUAUAUAAAUUCUAUAAUCCAAAUUUUAUAUGUAAAUCCAUGUUUUUUUUUCCAUAAUUUCAACAUGCAUAUUAUAUGCACACUUUAUAUUCUUUAUUGUUUACUCUUUUUUAUUUUAUAAGAUUUUUUAUUUCCCUCACUCGUUUAUUCAUUUGCGUUUUCAUUUAUAUUCUAAAGAAUGUUUUUAUUUUGUUCAUUUAUUUGAUAUUUCGCAUGUCAUUAUUUUUAUUAUGUACAUUAUUUUCGUUUAUUUAUUUGUUUAUCUUAUUUCUACGCCAUAGUUAUAUUUAUUAUUGUAUUUUACAUUUAAUAUAACAUUACAUCAUCUUUUUACUCGAACUUAAAAACAUAAAAUUUUCAAAAUAGAGAUAAUACUCGUAUUUAGGAUUUUUCAAGAAAAUUGAGCCCUAACGUAUUGGGUUCCAAUUUUCUUCGUUAAAUCUAACAAUCGAGAAUUGCUCUUUAAUCAAAAAUAAAAUGAAAGGCUUGUCGUCGGAAAUUCAAUAUGUUGUGUCCUAAUGCAUUGGAUGUGACAUGUUGAUUUCUCGAGAUAAAGAUUUUUUUUAAAAAAAAAUUAAUAAAGGAAAUAUUCAAUGUUUGGGAUUUUAAGGGAUUGUGCCCUAAUGUAUUGGGCUGCGAUUUCUUCAUAAAUUUUAAACAAUUGAAUAUUAUUUUAAAUUUUAUCACACAAACCUUUUGGACAAACUCAUCUUGAAGAAAUAAAAUAUCGUGCCCUAACGCAUUGGGUGUGAUGUUUUCUAUUUCAAAAUGAGAGAGUCUUAAUAAAAAUUAAUUUAAUUAAGGAUCGUAUUUUUAACUCUCGACGUUAAGACAUUAAUUAAUCAAUUUGGUAUCAAUUUUUGGGCGUAACGAGGGUGCUAAUCCUUCCUCGAACGUAACUGACUCCCGGACCCGUUUUUCUAAAAAACUCGUAGACCAAAGUUGUUUUGGGUGAUCCAAUCACACCUUAAUAAAAGAUUGGUGGACUCCAAAUUUUCAUCGACAACUAAUUUUUGUUUUUUUCAAAAAAGAUAAAAUGGUUUUGACAGCUUGGAGACUCCACUGAGGACUUUAAAAAAAUAAGAGAGUCGAGCCACAAAGUUGAUUAAUUUUUGUCUUAUGGUCGAAAAAUAAAUUUUAAAAUUCAUAAGAUCCUUUUGCAUUCAUUAUUUUCCUGUUUAAUUGAUCUAAGUAUUUUAGUUAUUUUUGCAUUAUACAUUACAUGAGUUGAACGAUUUUACCCUCUAAGUGGGAGUGAGAAACUAUUCUUUCGUGAGGUUGUCACCUCCAUAUAGGAUAGUAGAUCACUUUCGGGAUACAUAUGUACCUAUGCCUUGGUGAGAUUUUCAUCUCCCUAUAGUCAUAAGGAAAAUGUAUCCCCCUGAGCCGAACUUGAUCUAUAUGAGCCUAUAAUGGGUGAAGAUCGAGGAAUCUGCUGGUUUGGGUACCUUAGCCCUAGAAGCCGAACUUCAAAUAAUGAACCUUAGGAAUCCACCUUAGGUAGAACUACACUGAACCUUAGUAGAUAUCCGAUUAGGUAUUUUACUAUUUCUUAAUUAUAUUCUAUGUUUAUAUGAUACUGACUUUUCGUGUUUUAUUUUGAUUGCAUGACAUGACAUUUCAUUUCAUCAUAAAAGGCGUCGGUUCAUAUUCAGUUGCUAGAUAGAAAGCUUAUAAUGGAAAAAGGGUUUCUUGAUAAAGUGGAAGAUAAUGCGGCUGUCCGAACUUGCUCUGAAACAAUACAGCGAGAGAAAGGCGAUAGUUUGGCUGAUGGAUAUGUAUCGAAAUUAUGAGACUUUACUCACAUCAGUGUAACUCAAAACAAUCUGCAAGAGUUGAGGGAAAUCUGGGAUCAGUGGAAUGACGAGGUUAGACAGCUAUUUUAUAAUAAUUAUGGGAAUUUGCCUUAUUUACUUGAUGUGAAGGUAGACAAGCACUUGUUUCGAGCCCUCGCUCAGUUUUAGAAUCCUACUUACAACUGCUUCACAUUUGGAAAGGUCGAUUUGGUGCCUACGAUAGAAGAAUAUGUGGCUUUACUCCGAUGUUCAAAGUUUCAAAUAGACAAGGUCUACUCGAGAGCUGUAAAUGUGCCAACCUUUUCGAAGAAGAUGAUGAAUAUAAUAGGGAUGAGUGAGCAAUAGGUUAUUACACGGAUUAAGAAAAAGGGGGAUAGCAAGUGCAUUCCUUGGAAGAGUUUGAAAAAUUUAAUUCUAACACACCCAGAUGUGAGGAAGAGGUUAGACGUCUUUGCUUUGAGUAUAUAUGGCUUAGUUGUCUUCCCUAAAGCUAUGGGACAUGUUGAUGAAGCAGUCACUGAUUUAUUUGACCAGCUUGAUAAGAUGGUUACACCAAUUUUGGCAAUUUUGGCAUAAACCUUCAGGCCAUUGAGUGCAUGCCGAAAAGUGGGAGAAGGUAGAUUCAUUGGAUGUGCACAGCUCCUACUUGCAUGGUUUCACAACCACUUUUGGAAGGUUGAUAGGGUUUCGUACCAGGUUUUCUCUGAAAAUUAUUCGCCACUAAAGGAGAUUGUAACCACACCGAGGAGAGACAACAUUUCGGAGGAGAAGUGGAUGGCAAUUCUUCAGAAUCUUCAAGAAGAAGACAUCGAGUGGAGAGCUCUUUGGUUGCUUCUAGAUGAGAUCCUGUAUAGAUGUGGUAAUUUUGAUUGGGUUCCUCUGCUUGAAAUUUAGGGAGCUGUUGGAUAUAUCCCAUUGCUAGUGCUAAGGCAGUAUAGGUCAAGGCAAUUUAUACCUGCGACCCAAGGAAUGGAUGAGUGUGAAUUCUCAUACAGGGAUGAUGGUUAUAGGAAAAUGAUUCAAGAGAUGUCUAGUGUAUGGAAACAGACUCGCCGAAUGAAGAGGUUAGCUGUGGGUCCGAUAACAACUCCUGAGUAUAAUGAAUGGUGGGUUAGGAGGAUCAAUGAGAAUACACCUAAGUCAAAUCAGGAAAACAACCAGUCAAUAGAGAAAUAUUUGCGGGUCGUCCCUUCUGAGUUGGAAAUUAUAAGACAAGAUUUUGAAAGAAGAAAUGCGGAUUUAGAAAAGAAGAUAGAACAAAUGGAGGAAGAGAAGGUGAGCUUAAUAUUAAACAUAGACGUUCAAAAGCUCGAAACUGAGAAAUUAAGAAAAGGGAAAAACAAGGUCGAAGAGUAGUUGGAUAGUUUGAAGAUAGAUUAUAAAAUGUUGCAUCUGUCAAUGAGAACUGCUGGGCUGGGAAAAACUUCAGAACAGUGGCGAGCAGAAAUUCGAGAAGAAAAGGACAAAGUUGAUAGAUGGGAAUAGAAAUUCCAAGAGGUUCAGACACGAAAUGAUGCUUUAGAGAAUAGUUUGUCAGAAAGCCAAAAGGAAAAAGGCGAGUUAAAGGACAGGGUGACCGAGUUGGAAAGAUCUCUUCGUCAAUAUCGAAAUCGAAACUCUGCAAUAGAAUUGAGAGCAAGCUUAAGCAAGAUUGAGAAAAUGAAAAAAAGAAUAGAAGAGUUAGAAAUGACAUUGCAAAAUUGUGAGAUCCGGAUCGAGUGCUUGGAGGCAAUUGAAAGUCGUAAUAACGAACAGCUUCACUACUUUCAGAAUCAAGUUAGGAGCAGAUAUCAUAUUAUGGAGGAAGCUGUGGUCCAGAUUCGUGAAGUAGCCGAUCACAUACAGACUUUAGCAGUGCAGGCCGACAUGUUAAGUGUGAAGUAUGAAUUAGAAUCGGAUCGGGGGCAAGAGUUAGCUUUGUUACUUAGGAAUAUUAGAAUUCUGAGUAAUAAGACAAAGCUUUAUUUGUAAUUCACUUUAUGUAAAGAAAUUUAAUUUCUAAUAAAGUUUUCUGAAAUGGAAUUGAAUCAAAAUUGACGCCUUUUUGCAUUCAUUUCAUGCAUUUUAUUUGCUUCAUAUGCAUUAAAAAAGAUUAAAAGAUUCUAAUUAAUUUAAAUCACUCCUCAGUUAAUCUGGAAACCAACCAACCCGCCAAACACCACUACGAUACUCGAUCAAAAACUAAAGACAUGGACCAAAUGAUGGAAAGGCUAAGACAAUUCCAAAAAGAAAUGUAAGAUCAGCUUCAACAACAAAUAAAAGAGAAACUCGAAAAGAUUCAGCAAAAAAUGAUGGAUAAAAUGAUGGAAUCUCAGGGGAAUAUGAUGACUCAAUUAACUCAGUUGUUAACUAGGGGAGCAGAUAAAGGAAAGGGCUCUGUGCUCAAUGUUGAAGAAGGAGACAGUGAGGGACCCAUUUAUCCCCUAGGCUUUACCCUUCAGCAUGUUGAGGUAUAUCCGCGCAAAUCUUCUGUCACCAUCCAGCCUCAGCAGUUUCAGGCCGGUGUUACAACACCAAUGAAUUUUCAGGCUGGAUCAGGCUCUAAUCCCGGAGAUAACCUUGUCAAUCCUAUUGUCCUUGAUUCGAUGAAACAGUUGGAAGAGAGAAAAUGAAGGAUGAAUUGCCAAAAUAGCUCGAAGAAAAGUAUAAAUGGCCGGAGGAAAAAUUUAGAGCGCUGAAAAGUACUAAGAGCUACCAUGGGAUUGACGCUAAAGAAUUGAGCUUGGUUCUAGAUUUAGUACUCCCUUACAAAUUCAAAAUGCCCGAGUUUGAGAAGUACAAUGGAACUAGUAGCCUCGAAGCCCAUAUUACCACGUUUUGUAGGCGGAUGACUGGGUAUGUUAAUAACGACCAGCUGUUGAUACAUUGUUUUCAGGAUAGCCUCACAGGGGCAGCAUCCAAGUGGUACAUUGUUUUCAGGAUAGCCUCACAAAUGAAACUAGUAGCCUCGAAGCCCAUAUUACCACGUUUUGUAGGCGGAUGACUGGGUAUGUUAAUAACGACCAGCUGUUGAUACAUUGUUUUCAGGAUAGCCUCACAGGGGCAGCAUCCAAGUGGUACAAUCAACUGAGUCGUAUCAAGGUUAAUUCAUGGAGAGAUUUAGCACAUGCAUUCAUAAAGCAGUACAAUCAUGUAACCGACAUGAUACCUGAUAGAAUCACUCUACAAAACAUGGAAAAAAAGCCCGGUAAAAGUUUUAGGCAAUAUGCACAGAGGUGGAGGGAGGUUGUCGUCCAAGUUCAACCAUCUUUUCUAGAAAGAGAGAUGACAAUGCUUUUCGUUAACACGUUGAAAGCCCCAUUUAUUACACAUAUGUUAGAAAGUGCUACUAAAAGCUUUUUUUGACAUAGUUAUGAAUGGUGAAAUGAUAGAAAAUGCUAUCAGAAGCGGGAAGAUAGAUGCUGGAGAAAGAAGUAGAAGGUCGGCCUCGAAGAAGAAGGAAAAUGAGGUUAACAACACAAGUUCAUAUAGCAAGGGGUAUUCAAAGACGAUUACGGUGAAUCAGUUGGGAAAAGUGGCUGUUAACCAACAAUGAUCAUCAAAACAAGGAUCUGACACAAGACAAAAUACGGAGAAGCUUCAAUUUACACCAAUUCCAAUAUCGUAUAAGGAGCUGUAUCAGAAUCUAUUCAAUGCAAACAUGGUUUCCCUUCACUACUUGAAACAUCUGCAGCCUCCGUACCCCAAGUGGUAUGAUGCAAAUACACAAUGCGAUUAUCACGCGGGAAUCGUGGGACAUUCCAUAGAACAUUGUACGGUGUUCAAAAAGCUGGUUGAAAGACUAAUAGGCAUGGGCAUUGUUAAAUUGGAUGAUUCGUCCAGUACAGAGAAUUCGUUACCUAAUCAUAAUGAUAAUGGAGUGAACAUGAUAGAUUGGAACAUUGGUAGAAAAAUCAAGGAAGAUAUCGCAGAAGUGAAAAUUCCUUUAAGAUGGGUCUGGAAGAAGACAGUAGAAAAGGGGUUGUUUGUCUUAGAUCCUGAAAGAAGCUGUGGAGGGAAAAACUACUGUGAGUUCCAUCACGAGGAGGGACACGAUAUUCAAGAGUAUGUAGAAUUCAGGGCCUUAGUUCAAGGCAUGAUGGAUGACAAGGAGGUGGAGUUCUACGAAGAGGUUAAGAAAGAAGGAAGUUUAUGCGCAUCUGAAUCAAUGAAGGUUCCAAAAGUAACUCAUCCUGUAGUUAUCAUCUCACGACCAAAGAAUGAUGAAGUGAGAACACCAGCAAUGCCAAAGAUCAUAAUUAAGAAACAAACAACCUUUUCUUACCAAGAUAGUAGGAAAGUUUCGUGGAACUACGAGUGCAAUACAACUGUCUCUGGAAAGGAUAUUAUAGAGGAUCAAGGUAUAGGUGUUUAUCCAGAACCUGUGAAAGGAAGGGCCAUAACAGUGGAACAAAAGAAGGGGAAAAUAGCGGAGCCUGUGUUAUCCAUCAACGAGCCAGUGAAAGAGGAAGAAGCUGUGGAAUUCCUCAAAUUUUUGAAGCACAGUGAGUAUAAUGUCGUCGAACAGUUGCAUAAACAACCGGCUCACACAUCUGUACUAGUCUUACUCUUGAAUUCAGAAGUACACCGAAGUGCGUUGAUGAAGGUGCUAAACGAGACCUAUGUGGCCAACGAUAUUUCUGUCAGCAAAUUGGAUCGGUUGGUCAAUAAUAUCAGUGCUGAUAAUUUCAUAUUCUUCAAUGAUGAUGAAAUACCACCUGGGGGCAUGGGGUCUACUAAGGCUUUGCAUAUAACUACACGAUGCAAGGGGUAUACUUUGCCAGGAUUGUUGAUUGACAAUGGAUCAGCUUUGAACGUGUUGCCAUUAUCCACACUUAACAGGCUUCCCAUAGACAGCUCCUUCAUGAAAACAUGCCAAAAUAUAGUGAGGGCGUUUGACGGUAUAGUGAGAAAGGCAUGGGAAGAAUUGAGAUACCCUUAUUGAUUGGCCCAACAGUUUAUAAGGUGGAUUUUCUUGUGAUGGACAUCAGACCCUCCUACAAUUGCUUAUUAGGGAGACCAUAGAUACAUUCAGCGGGGGCCGUACCGUCAUCUUUACAUCAGAAAUUAAAGUUAGUGUUAGAAGGUCGGCAGGUGACAAUAAAUGCCGAAGAGGAUAUUAUAGCGGCUGUAUCUAAUGAGGCGCCGUAUGUGGAGACUAAUGACGAGUCGGUGGAAUGCUCGUUCCGAUCUCUGGAGUUUGUAAAUGCAAUAUUUGUUCUUGAAUGGAGCAAAAUUCUGGUGCCUAAAAUAUCCAAAACUACAGAGAUGGGUUUGCAAUUGUUGGUAGGGAACAGAGCUUUACCCAAAAGAGGAUUAGGGAAAUACCUUCAAGGGAAAAUUGAGGUUCCAGUGCUGAAAGAAAAACAAGACAACUUUGGCUUAGGGUACAAGCUAGAUAGAGGACAGAAAAAGAAGAAGUUAAAAAGAAGGCAAGAAAGAAGAAGGGCGCGUUUAAGGGGGGAAGAAAUUAAAUGGGAGCCAAUGAUAAUUCCCCAUAUAUCCAAAACCUUCGUAUCUGGAGGGAUCAUUCAUUUUGAGAGAAAUAUACUGAUUGAGGAAAGCAUCAAAGAGACAUUGGAAAAUAUGCACAUCAAUGCCCUAAAUGAGGAUGCAAAUGAAGAGAUAAGCUUGUUAAACAUUUGUCCUUAUGAACCUUGGAGUGUUCUAAAUAAUUGGACUGCGGAAGAAAUACCUGAAGUAUUUAGAACUGUCUCAGAGUAAUAUUCAGAGCAAACUUGUUGUUUUAGCCUAGAAAUAAUAAGAACUCUUUUGUGUAAAAAGCUUAUGUUCAAAUAUCAUUAUUUUAAUAAAAUACAUCUUUGCAAUUGUCUCAAGCAAAUAUUCUUUCCAUACGAGUAAAUAUAUUAAAUUAUUCCUUCAUUUAUAAUCAUAUUGCCCAAAUAAUUGUACAUAAAUUCAUGCAUUCUCUUGUAACCAUAUUAGGUUCCUGUAUAUCAAUGACGUGAAUGACGCUGCUACAAACUCAAAAUUUCCUCUUGAAUGAAACAUGUGUUUAGAGGGAUCGUAGGACUUUAAAUGUGACGUAGAUGGUGGUUUAUCUUUGGACUUGUUGAGAAUGGUAGAACAGAAAGAAAAACAAAUUCUACCUCACAAGGAAGUAAUAGAAGUUGUGAGCUUGGAAGAAGGGAAAGAGGUGAAAGUUGAAACUGAGAUUUCCGCAAAGACAAGACGAGACCUCAUUGAACUACUCCAAGAAUUCAAAGAUGUCUUCGCAUGGUCAUACCAAGAUAUGUCCGGGUUGAGCACUGACAUUGUAGUGCAUCGCCUACCUAUAAGGGAGGAUUGUAAGCCAGUUCAAUAGAAGCUAAGAAGAAUGAGGUCUAAUAUUGUGCUUAAAAUAAAAGAGGAAGUUAAGAAGCAGUUUGAUGCUGGGUUUUUACAGGAGGUCAAAUAUUCUGAAUGGGUAGCCAACAUCAUUCCAGUCCUUAAAAAAGAUGGAAAUGUACGAAUGUGCAUGGAUUAUAGAGAUUUGAACAAAGCAAGCCCAAAAGACAAUUUCCCAUUGCCACAUAUUGAUACUUUGGUGGAUAAUACGGCAGGGUAUUCACUGUUCUCUUUCAUGGAUGGUUUCUUAAGAUAUAAUCAGAUAAAGAUGCAUCCUGAAGAUAUGGGAAAGACUACAUUUAUUACUUUGUGUGGAACAUUUUGCUAUAAAGUGAUGCCAUUCGAAUUAAAGAAUGCGGGAGCAACAUAUCAGAGAGCCAUGGUAGCCUUGUUCUAUGACAUGAUGCACAAAGAGAUUGAAGUUUAUGUAGAUGAUAUGAUUACCAAAUCUGGAAUAGAGGAGAAACAUGUGUAGGUCCUGAGAAAAUUGUUCUUAAGACUAAGAAAGUUUCAACUCAAACUUAAUCCAACAAAAUGCACUUUUGGAGCCAGGUCAGGGAAGUUGUUGGGCUUCAUAGUCGGUGAGAAAAGAAUCGAGAUUGACCCGAACAAAGUCAAGGCAAUACGAGAUUUACUGCCCCCACGUACUCAGAAAGAGGUUCGAGGUUUCUUAGGAAGACUGAAUUAUAUUGCUCAGUUCAUUUCACAGUUGACCGAGAAAUGUGAUCCCAUAUUUCAUCUUCUGAAGAAACAUAAUCUAGGUGUUUGGAAUGAAGACUGCCAGGAAGCUUUUGAAAAGAUAAAAUAAUACUUAUCCAAUACUCUAGUACUGUCACCACCUAGCCCGAAUAGACCAUUGAUUCUGUAUUUAAUGGUGUUUGACAGUUCCAUGGGAUGUGUGUUGGGUCAGCAUGAUGAGACUGGAAAGAAGGAAAAGGUGAUAUACUAUCUCAGUAAGAAAUUCACUGAUUGUGAAAUGAGAUAUUCACUUAUUGAAAAAUUAUGUUGUGCCCUGAUUUGGACGAAAAAAGAUUGAGGCAAUACUUGCUCUACCAUACAACUUGGCUGAUUUCAAAAUUAGACCCUUUAAAGUAUAUGAUGGAGUCAACUGCGUUGAACGGGAGAAUGGCUAGAUGACAAAUUUUGCUCUCUGAGUUCGAUAUAGUAUAUGUAAGACAGAAAGCCAUCAAAGGGAGUGCGAUAGCAGAUUUCUUAGCUAGUAGAGCUUUAGAAGAUUAUGAGCCUCUAGACUUUGAUUUCCCGAAUGAAGACUUGAUGUGUGUGGCAAAUACUGAAGAGGGUCCUUAAGAAAAUCAUUCUUGGAGGUUAAACUUUGAUGGAGCUUCGAAUGAGUUAGGCAAUGGGAUUGAGGCAAUCUUGGUAUCUCCAAAUGGGGAUCAUCAUCCUUUCACUAGUAAAUUGGACUUUGAUUGCACCAACAACAUGGCCGAAUAUGAAGCUUGCAUCAUAGGAGUCCGGGCAGCCAUAGAGCGGAAAAUUAAGACAGUUGAAAUAUAUGGAGAUUCAACAUUAGUAAUAUACCAGCUAAAAGGGGAAUGGGAAACAAGAGACCCCAAGUUAAUCCGUUAUCGGAGAUUGGUUCUAGAAUUGAUUGAAGAAUUUGACAAUAUUACCUUUUAUUAUCUCCCACGGGAAGAAAAUCAGAUGGCUGAUGCUCUGGCUACUUUAGCCUCCAUGAUUAAAGUGAGAUUAAAGUGAACAGAUUAAAGGACAUGAAGCCCAUUCAAAUUAGUAUUUAUGAGAUCCCGGCCCACUGCUACAGUAUUGAAGAAGUGGAGAAUGAUAAUCGUCCCUAGUACCAAGACAUAUUGCAUAUGUGAAGAAUCGCGAAUAUCUUAAUCAGGCAACGGAGAAUGAUAAGAGGAAAUUGAGGAGACUAGCUAUCGACUAUGUCUUAGAUGGAGAGAUUCUAUACAAAAGGGGAAAGGAUCAAGUACUGUUGAGAUGCGUGGAUGCUGUAGAGGCUAAGGAAAUUUUAGAAGAAGUCCAUGACGGUAUUUGUGGAACACACGCCAAUGGAUUCACCAUGGCUAGACAGAUCAUUAGAUUCGGAUAUUACUGGUCCACCAUGGAAGGAGAUUGCAUCAAUUAUGCCAAGAAGUGCCAUAAAUGCCAAAUUUAUAGAGAUAAAAUGCACGCGCCUCCUUCACCUUUUCAUGUUAUGACUUCUACAUGGUCUUUCUCCAUGUGGGGGAUGGAUGUCAUUGGGCCAAUAUCGCCAAAGGCUUCUAAUGGAUAUCGUUUCAUUUUUGUAGUUAUUUACUACUUCACUAAGUGGGUAGAAGUAGCCUCAUAUGCUAAUGUCACGAAGUCAGCAGUUAGUAAGCUUUUGAAGAAAGAGAUCAUAUGUCGAUAUGGAAUGCCUGAAAGAAUCAUAUCUGACAAUGCGUUGAAUCUGAAUAACAGCACAAUAGCGGAAGUCUGCAACCAGUUCAAGAUUAGACACCAUAAUUCAUCAUCGUAUCAUCCAAAAAUGAAUGGUGCAGUAGAGGCGGCCAACAAAAAUAUCAAGAAAAUUAUGGCGAAAAUGGCUGAAACUUACAAGGAUUGCCAUGAGAAGUUACCAUUCGCUCUUCUUGCUUACCGAACAUCUAUCAGGACUUCUAUUGGGGCAACGCCUUUUUCUUUGGUUUAUGGGAUGGAGGCAGUUUUACCCAUUGAAGUUGAAAUCCCUUCUCUCCAGGUAUUGGCUGAGUUAAAGUUGGAUGAGGCUGAAUGGAUCCAAUCUCGGUAUGAUCAGUUGAAUUUGAUAGAGGAAAAAAGACUAAAAACUAUUCGUCACAGUCAAAUGUACCAAAAACGAAUGAUGAGAGCAUAUAACAAAAAGGUCCGUCCUAGAGAAUUUCAUGAGGGGGACUUGGUGUUAAAGAAAAUCCUCCAUUUACAAAAGAAUUUCAGAGGGAAAUGAAUGCCAAACUGGGAAGGACCUUAUGUUGUAAAAAAGGCUUUCUCUGGAGGUGCUUUGAUUUUGAGUGAAAUGGAUGGCAAAAAUUUACCGAAUCCUGUAAAUUCAGAUUCGGUCAAGAAAUAUUUCACUUGAAAAGUAAGAAUCAAAGUGAAAACCCGCAAAGGGCGCUUUAAAAAAAAGAGAGGCCAAUGUGAAAACUCGCAAAGGGCGCCUUGAGACCAAAGGGAAUUUGAGUUGAAAACCCGAAAAGGGCGGCUCAAACAUUGGUCAGAAUGGGGCAUGUGGUGAUCUUGCUAUACCUAAAUCAACAAGAAAAGGAUAUGCGACAUCUUGGGGCAUCGACGAAGUAUUGUAGAUCUCCUAAACACAUGUUAAAUUCAAAAUGGUUCUUAGUUUGCACGGAGAAGUUCAAGCUGCGAUAUCCAAGGCACCUAGUCUUCAUAAUACUUGUAUUGAAUUUGUUUGUUCUUGCGAUACUUCAUUCUUUUCUGUUCUUGAAUACUUUUUCUUUUCAAGACAUUUGCUAUCAAUAAAUUCCUUUUCUAUUAUUCGAGUUAUGCCCUGAAUUAAUUCCUUUCUUAGUCAGUAUUUUUGAUCUUUAUGCAAGCAUGUCGCAUUAAAAUAAUGAUUGAUGGACUAAUAAACAUUCACGAAAAGAGUUUUGCAUAUUACUUUGGAAAUUUCUAAAAAUUUAGUAACCUGAAACAGGAUUAUUGUUUAGAACGCACCAAGCUUAAAAAUUGAAAUGUCCAAGAAAGAAAAAGUCUAAAUUAAGACUGUUCUUUUGGAUUUUGUUGUCUAAAUAUUAAUUGAAUGAGAUGACAAGAAGUCUGGCUUGGUGACAAAGCUUCAAUCACCAAGGAGUAAGAAGAAAUUCCCUUUGGAAAAAAAACCCUUCAUUUGUGCAUGAGCAUUUGGUAUGGCACCCUGGGAAUGAUGUAAAAGAGUUUCAUGAUCUGCAUCUUUGAAUUACGAUAGGAGAGGAUUGAGAAAAGCCAAAUUUUUUCUACCAUUCGGUUACAGUGGAAGAAAGAUGGUACAAAUUUUGCGUCCCGAUAGAUUGAACUUUGAGGUUUACAGCGGGGGUAAUCAAACUAAGUGUUUCUUUAAAAACGCCAGCUGAUCAGGAGGGCGUUGUAACACGUCAGUGAUAAAGCAUUAAUAAAAUUUGAGCAAUGAUAACCUAAGUGAUAAAGGAGGAUCAUUCUGGAAAAAAUGACAUUCUGCAUUCAUUCAAAUGUCAUUCAUACACGUCUAGUUAGGAGCAUUUGAUUUAUUCUGAUCAUGACAUCCUAAUCAAUAGACAUAAUUAGAUUCAUGAAUUGAAUUAUACAGGUCAUGUUCCCCAAAGAACAAACCAGUGAAAUUCCAGCCUUGUCUCCCUGAGCAGCAAUGGAGUAGGUUAAAAUAGCAGAUCUUGUUUGCCUGUAUUGACAGCGAAGUAGAUCGAAGAUACCAGCCUUGUCUCCCUGAGCAGCAGUGGAGUAGGUUGAAAAUAACAGAUCUUGCCUUCCUGUACUGGCAGUGAAGCAGAUAGAAGACAUUAGUCUUAUCGUGGAGCGGAUUGAAGCUGUGGGCAGCGAAUCCUAUCUCUUUGGCAUUACAGUGGAGCAGAUUAAGGCCACAACGGUGAAUCUUACUUCCCUGGCGGUGUAGUGGAACAGAUUGAAGCUACGACAGCGAAUCUUGUUUCCCCAACAUUGCAAUUUAAAAGACUGAAGAUGGCGAAUCUUAUCUCCUUGAAGUUGCAGUGGAGCAUAUUAAAGCUAAUAAUCUUAUCUCCCUGAAGUUGUAGUGGAGCGGAUUAAAAUCACAAUUCUUAUCUCUCUGAAGUUGCAGAGAGCAGAUCGCAUCUAGUCUUAUCUCCUUGAAGUUGCAGAGGAGUAGACUGAGUAAGCAGGUCUGAUCUCCCUGAAGUUGCAGUGGAGUAGACCCAAGAAAGCGAGUCUUAUCUUCCUGAAGUUGCAGUGGAGCAGACUCAAGAAAGCAAGUCUUAUCCCCCAGAAAUUACAGUGGGGCAAACUAAAUAAGCAAAUCCUGUCUCCCUAAAGUGGUAGUGGAUUAGAGUGAUGGAUCUUAUCUCUAUGAAAUUAUAGUAGAGCAGAUCGCAUCAAAUUCAUCUUUAAGUUGCAGCAGAUCAAGUUGAAGCUAUAAGUCUUAUCUCCCUGAAGUUGCAGUGGAGUAGAUUAAAGAUAGCAAAUUUUAUUCUCUUGAGAAACUACAACGUACGAAUCCUAUCUCUAUGGCAUUGCAGUGGAGUAGAUUGAAGCAUUCGUUCCUAUAUCUCUGAAGAUGCAGUAGGAAUGAAUGAAGUUACUUAAAGAAAAGCCCCAAAGUUCAGUACGACCAGGCAAAAUUGGUUUUUGGUCUUUGCUCUGUUCUCGUUACUUGAUAACAAGCAAAGAGGGGCAGCUAUAAUACACUAUUUUGCCCGGGUCUAAAAAGGCCCAAAUUACAAGCAGGCCUAUAAGGCCCAAAAUAAAAUAAAACAAGGACCCAAAUUACAGUGGCCCAAAAUCAUCGGAAACCCUAGGGUUUCUAAUCUUCAGCCGCCGCAACCAUGCCCUCCGAAUCUCCACGCGCUUGUACCUGCACAGAAAAAAAAGAAGCAAAGCAGCAUAUGGCAAGAAAAUAUUGAAAUCAAAUCAAGCAGAUACCAGAAGAUUUCUUUUUAUUUUUUCUUGUUUCACGAUUUCUAUAAAAACAAUAUUAAGAUACUGUAAAUGUGGAUCGAAGAAUCAAUAAAAAACGAAUAUUUCAUAACAAAAAGAGCAGAGAAUACUAGAUCAAAAAACAUCAAAUAUUGGAGGUUAACAUCUAUUUUCUUGCUUCGUUACAAGAUUUUUCUUUCAUUUUUCAUUUUUUAUUUUUUUACAUGCGAAAAUAAAAUAAAAAGGGAAAAAGAAAACGACUCACCUUCGUUCGAGUCUGAAACGUCACUGAGACGGUAAAGGGAGCCACCCCCGAGGAUCGGUGGCCGAAAACCGAAAGGUUUCUUGCCUGCUUUGAGGAUUUUUGUUGGUAUUUUGGUGUUUUCGAGCCCGGAUUUGGGUUUAGAGGGGCCGGAAAAGCCGAAUAGGGGAUUUUCCCCUUUUCCGGCCACCGCAAACUGCGGUGCCAUCGCUGGAGGCCGGCGGCCGGUGCGGUGGCCGACGAUCGGCCAGUGCCCAGACCCUGGCCGGACGAUGAGGGAGGGGAGAGCUUUUGAAAGUUUUUUUUUUGUUUUUUUUAAAAAAAGGCUUAAAAUGAAAUUUUUGGGGGAGAGUUAGUGGCUUAAAUAGCCCUUCAAAACGGAGUCGUUUUGGGCAUGGGUUGACCCGACUCUGACCCGACCCAGCCUAAGAUUCGCGUGUUUUUAAGCGGAGGGGUAAAUUGCGCUUUUAGCCCCUCCGCCUCUUAAUGUUUUACAAUUGAGUUUUUUUUAAAAUUUAUCCCUUCAAUUUUUUUUAUUUCAAUUUAAUCCUAUUUGAACGACGCCGUUUUGAAGGGGAAGGGAUAAUUUCCUUUCCAGCCCCUCUGAAUUAUUGGUGUAUUCAAUAGGGUCCUAUAGUCUCCAAUUAUUUGCAAAUUUGCCCCUGAUUUUUGUCUACAGUUCAAUAUAGUUUUUUUCUUUAUUUUUAAUUAAUUAAUAAUGUAAUUAUUAUUUUUAUAUAUAUGUAAUUAUUUUUUUUAUUUUUUUUCAAAAAUCUAUAUAUGUAUAUAUUUAUUAUUUAUAUAUGUGCACAUGUGUAUAUAAUUUUUUUCUAACAAAUAUUUUUUUAUUUAUAUAUAUAUACACGUAUAUAUAUAUUUUUUUUAAAAUGCUCAAAUAUACAUUCUUUUUUACACAUAUUUUAUAAUAUAUAUGUUUAUAUAUUUCUUUUUAUAAAUGCGCUAUAUAUAAUUUGUUAUAUAAAUUCUAUAAUCCAAAUUUUAUAUGUAAAUCCAUGUUUUUUUUCCAUAAUUUCAACAUACAUAUUAUAUACACACUUUAUAUUCUUUAUUGUUUACUCUUUUUUAUUUUAUAAGUUUUUUUAUUUCCCUCACUCGUUUAUUCAUUUGUGUUUUCAUUUAUAUUCUAAAGAAUGUUUUUAUUUUGUUCAUUUAUUUGAUAUUUCGCAUGUCAUUAUUUUUAUUAUGUACAUUAAUUCGUUUAUUUAUUUGUUUAUCUUAUUUCUACGCAAUAGUUGUAUUUAUUAUUGUAUUUUACAUUUAAUAUAACAUUACAUCAUCUUUUUACUCGAACUUAAAAACAGAAAAUUUUCAAAAUAGAGAUAAUACUCAUAUUUAGGAUUUUUCAAGAAAAUUGAGCCCUAAUGUAUUGGGUUUCAAUUUUCUUCGUUAAAUUUAACAAUCGAGAAUUGCUCUUUAAUCAAAAAUAAAAUGAAAGACUUGUCGUCGGGAAUUCAAUAUGUUGUGUCCUAAUGCAUUGGAUGUGACGUGUUGAUUUCUCGAGAUAAAGAUUUUUUUAAAAAAAAUUAAUAAAGGAAAUAUUCAAUGUUUGGGAUUUUAAGGGAUUGUGCCCUAAUGUAUUGGGCUGCAAUUUCUUCAUAAAUUUUAAACAAUUGAAUAUCCUUUUAAAUUUUAUCACACAAACCUUUUGGACAAACUCAUCUUGAAGAAAUAAAAUAUCGUACCCUAAUGCAUUGGGUGUGAUGUUUUCUGUUUCAAAAUGAGAGAGUCUUAAUAAAAAAAUUUAAUUUAAUUAAGGAUCGUAUUUUUAACUCUCGACGUUAAGACAUUAAUUAAUCAAUUUGAUGCCAAUUUUUGGGCUUAACGAGGGUGCUAAUCCUUCCUCGAACGUAACUUACUCUCGAACCCAUUUUUCUAAAAAACUCGUAGACCAAAUUUGUUUUAGGUGAUCCAGUCACACCUUAAUAAAAUAUUGGUGGCAACUCCAAAUUUUCAUCAACUAAUUUUUGUUUUUUUUUCAAAAAAAUAAAAUGGUUUCGACAACGUUGAUGUGGAAAAAUGUUUUUAUUCCACCUAAGCGCCUAACGCAUUUCACAUGUAAUUAAAAUAAAAAAUAAUUCAAAAAAAACUUUUAUUCAUUAAAAAAUAAUUAAAAAUAAAACAUAAAAUACAUAGACACUAAAAUCGUUUCAGAAAUGAGAAGGCCGAUCCUAAAAAAAAUACUUGAAUCAGAUAAUCUAAAAAAAGAGAGAGUAGAAAUUGAACCCUAAUUUGAGAAAGUAAAAAAAUUGUGCGAAAGAAAAUUACCCAAAACUUAUUAUAGAAUCGUAUUUUGAUUUUCGAUGAUAUUUAUGUGGUAUUUUUAUUUUGGGGUAUGUUUUUAAAAGUUCACUUUGAAAACAUUAUAUAUGUUAUUUUGAUUUUGGCUUAGGGUUUUGAAGGUUGGGAAUUUUGCUUUAGGAUUUUUUACUUUUGAGAUUUUGGUUUAGGGUUUUUGAUUUUUGAUAUUUUUGUUUAGGGUUUUUGAUUUUUGAGAUAUUGGUUUAGGGUUUUCUAUUUGACUACUAAUUAGAAGAGGAAUUUUGGGUAUUUUAAUUUUUUUUUUUAGAAUUUUAGAUUUGAUUACUGAAAAGAAGAGGACUUUUUGAUUUUUGGGUUUCCUAAUUUAAGGUUUUCGAUUUCUUUAAUGAUAGUGGUCAACCCCAAAAUUUAAAAAAUCUACAUGUUUCAUUAUACUUUUUGGUUCAAUGCACGAUUUUUAUCUUAGGGUUAUAAUGUUGGUUGGUGGGGGCAUUAGUUCUAGGCAUGCAGAGUUCAGUAGGUGAACUUAUUAAAAUGAUCUUUUCAUCUUUUAUUGUUGUUCUGUUAUUAUAUAUAUAAACUUUAUAAAAUUUGAUAAUAUAAUUAUUAAAUUAUCUAACUUUAUAUGCAUUUUGUAUUGUAUAUAUUAUUUAAUAUUUUGUUAACACUAGUAAAGUUGAGGUUCUCACAACAACCAAAUAGGAGGAGAUGCUCAAGAAAAUCAAUAGAAUAUUGCCACUCCCUUGAAUUUCCAAGAGGCGAUUUGUUUCUUGAGAGAAUAUCUUGAUAGUAAAUUAGAUGAAAUGAAUCUACGUAUGGAUGCUCUCACCACAAAUACAAGUCCAAGGCAUGAAGCUGGGGAAUUUGCCCAAGCACCAUGUAUGAGAAGGCGCCAUCUUGUUUGACCAUAUCAACAACAAGCCAACGUGAAAGAUUCAGAGAACAUAGGGCAAGUGGAAACCAACAACGCCAACCCGCCAAACGAUAUGCUUGAGAUGAUGAAUUCCAUCUAAAGAUAGAUCUUCAUCACUUCGAUGGUAAUUUGAGUAUUGGGGGUUUUUAGGGAUUGGCUUGCUAAAGUAGAUAGAUUUUUGAAGGGAAUAACCUUGGCUUGGUGGGAACUUUUACAAGACACAAGGCACCGUGAGGGAGAGGGACGAGUAUGGACAUGGUAUAGAAUGAAGCAAUUGUUCAAGGCUCGAUUUCCCCCAGAUUAUAAGCAAUAUCUAUUCUUGCAAUAUCAACGGUGAACCCAAGGAAACAGAUUAGUUCAUGACUACACCAUAAAGUUCAUGAAGCUUUUCAAACGCAACAAUCUGAUGAAGUCCGACAACCAGCAAGUAGCCAUAUACCUUAGUGGAUUGCAAUUUAAGACAAGGUCGGUGUGCAAACAUUGGAGAACAUGGCCAAAGCACAAAAUAUGGAAGAGAUGAUGAUGAAAGAGAAUAAGGUGGAUUAGACUAAGAAGAAUUUCUAUCAAUAUGCAUCAAGAAAUUUGGAGAAUAAUACAUCAACUGAAUACGUGCAAAUUCAAACGAAAAAAAAUCCAAUUAUGAUAAAGCAGCAAGAAAGAAGUUAGGGGAGGAGGAUCGAGACACAAACAUCACAUAUGUGGAAGAACCCAUAUGCUAAGUCGAUUGUUGGAAAAUGCUACUGGUGUAAUCUACUUGGACAUCGCUCUAGCAAUUGUCUAAAAAAAAGGAAUAUCAACAUUGUAGAAUGUGGCGACUGGGACAAAGAAAUUGAGGAAGGAAAUGAGAUAAUAUGCAAACUCAAUGGUGAUAGCAAUGGAGAAGAUUCAGGAGAUGGACAAAUUUUGGCAGUAUGAAAGCUAAUGUUGGCAUUGAAGGAUACAGAUACAACCCAAGACCGACAACAUUUCCAAACUAAUUGCACUAUUAUUGGUAACUUUUACAACUUGGUCGUUGAUAAUGGUAGCAAGGAGAACAACAUUGAGAAGAGUAGUGUUGAAAAGAUGCAUAUGCCAAGGGCGAAACCUCUGUCUGAAGAUGCUCAAUUGUUAUUUGAAGAGUUUAUGUUGCAGGAGCUGCUUGCAAAGUUUCCACCAAAAAUUAAGACAAGCUUGUUGAACCCACCAAAUUAACAAAUGAAUCCAAAAGAGAAUGCAAGAGUGGUUGCAAAAAAGACAUAUCUCAAGGAUACAGCUAACUAUAGGACGAGUUGAUUUUUAUAAGAGGUAGAGAAUUGAUAGGGGAGUGAUUCUUAUUAAUUUAUUACCUAUCCCAAAACUUGUUAUUUACUUAACAGAUAUAUUUUGUUUAUCAUUUUAUUAGUGUUAUGGUAUUGGAGAUAAAAAUUUUAAAAAUAAAAACAAUAAGAUAUAAAUAAAAAGAAGAGGAUUUCACUAUUAUUGUUUUAUGUGUGGAAUAUCGAUAACAUUUUAUUUCACAUUUUCUAACUCUUGGUGGAAUAUCAUGUAUUCAUUAUGAUUUUAGGAGGUUAAAUGACUUUUUUAUAGUUUUAAAUUUUUAAUAAUUUUUAUAAUUUAUUGGAAUUUUUAAUAUUAUUUAUAAGUUUUUAUGAUUUUUUAUAUGUUUUUAUAAACUUUUAAACAUAUUUUAUUAAUUUAUAAUUUUUUAAUAUUUAUAAGUUUAUAUAAUUUUAAUAUAUUUUAAAUACUUAAUAAUUUUUAUAAUUUUUUUUUAUUUUUAACGAUUUUUAUAACUUUUUAUAACCAUAAGCUAUCAUGUGUCACCAUUUGAUUGUUCUGUCAAUAUAUAUUAACAGUCAACACUAUCAACUAUAGAUUUCGUUAACGAAAAAGCUUAAUUGAUUGUUUUAGUUAACAGAAGAGGCUUAAUUGUGUUUGGAUUUAAUACAGGAGCUUAAUUGAUUUUUUUUUCGCAUUUUCUUAAGGGCUUUUUUGACAUAUAAACCAUUUUAUUUAUGGUGGGAUUUAAGUUAGAAUAAAUGUUGAGACAGGUUAUAUAGGGUUUAUGCAAGAUGAGAGUUAGAUAUGAAGCAUUAAGAUCUUAAAGGUUCAAUCUAUGUGAGCAGUGUCAAAUUAUCGUUAUUACAAAUUGAGAGAAAUGAAUGUCGACAGAACUCUUAACAUUUUAUUAUUAUUACUAAAAGAUGAAAAACCUAAUUACAAAUACUAAAAUAAAAAAGGUUAAAUAGUAAUCACAUAUUACAAUUUAACAUUUGAAUAAAAUUGUCCAAGUUGAUUAUAAAUACGCAGCGAUAUACAAAUGUGAAAACACUUUGGGCCUCUCAUAAGGCAUAUCAUGAAGUACAAAAGAGGUUUAGAAGCUGGCCAUUUUCUCAAAAUGGACCCAAAUCCAACAACAAUCCAAGGAAACGUUACUUGUCCCGGCCAAGAAAAGAAAACAUGGAAAUAGGAAAGGCGUUAACAGCAAGAACCCAAACUAAGCUGAUAAUAUAUAUAUAUAUAUAUAUAAUAUAGUAGUAGCAAUAGCAGUUUGCUGUUUAUUGUUCUUGUGGAAGUUAUUGAAAAAAGUAAGUGGGGGAUGAACCCAAAUCAAAUGCGUCAGCUACCGAAUCAGGAAGCGAUGGCAAUGACAUGUUCUCAAGGAAAGGGCUGUCCUGCUCUAACUCGUAUGAGUUAAAGCCCACAGACGAGUCAAACCCAUUUGAGUUUUGAUCCGAGAACCCGAACAGGCCUGUGUCAUUCCAAGCUCCAUAACCCAUAUCUGAACCAUCAACUCCCGACCCGUACCCGUAACAGGUAGAGGAGACAUCAGGAGGCAAAGGUGGCAACUCAGACGAGUUAUCCCUGAACUGUGGAGAACCACCAUUUCCAGCUUCCAUGAGCCCAGUAAUGGGCCUGUAAGACGGAACUGCAUCGCUCUCCUGGGCGGGUAAUCCGGAAUAAAACUGGCAUGCAUUGAAAGGGUCUUGAUUGAAGAAAAUCUGGUUGUGGUUAGCAUCAUUUUGAUGGUGGAAAGGGGGAUUAAUGGAAAAGAUGGAUGAAAUGUCAUGCUGGAAUUCGUCAGGGGAGAUGAUGGAGGUGACGGAUGAACCAGCUGGCAUAUCAGAAUAGACAAAGUUGGUUCGAGCCUUGGAGCCACGCAUGGAGCGAGAGGCACGGUCGUAGGCCAAGGCUGCAUCCUCCGCAGUGUCAAACGUGCCGAGCCAAUGCCUUUCUUUUGUGGAAGGGUCUCUUAUCUCCGCUGCGUAUCUACCCCAUGGUCUCCUCCUUACACCCAAGAAUCUUGUUUCCUGUUGUUGCUGUUGUUGGUGCUGAGGUUGCUGCUUUCUUUUGCUUUUAGAAGAGGAAGACUUUGAGUUGCUGAGAUCCAUGAAGACAAAGAAAUUAUUUGGAUUUGAUGGAUAGUACCUGUCUGCCUUCAGUUAUUGUGCUAUGAAGAAGAAAGUUGUAUUUCUGCCUUAGAGAGUGCAAAGGAACAAGUUUUAGUUAGAGCAAUAAUGAGAUUGCUGGUUUUCAAGGAACGAAAGAUAGUUGGUCUUGUUCAUCCGUCGUUUGCAUCUUGGGUGUUUAAAUAAGGAGAAAUAUUCAAAUGCAUUGAUUCAUGGCUUUCUAAUGAAUCCAAAGUACUAUGAGUGAGCAAUGGAUGCUAAUGAUCUUAGCUAGCGUGGGCCUUGAUUCCUUUUGGACCCUCAUACACUCGCAUGAGCACAAUUGCUCUUCAUUAUGAAUAUCACUAAAUUAAUACAGCCACUUUUCUUAUCUAAUGUGAUGAUCCCACAUGCUCGAUGUUUGAGAAUGAAAAGUAGAACAUCAAAACCUACACCGUAAAUGUCUUCUUUAACUGCAAAACUUCCUACAAACAGACCUCUAUUUAUUUAUUUUCAUCAUUUACGCCAUAUUACUUGUGUUUCCAACUUGACUAAUUAAAAGAAGAGUUAAAACCCAAUAUCAAGAGAGGAAAUGACCUGCGCGCUGCAUGCAUGAAUAUGUCAAAGAUAACAUGAGAUUAUUCAGGUGAUAAUUGAUUAGUACAAGUACUCAUCAUCAUACAUCCACCUGGAGUUCAAUUAUAUCCCUUGGGCCAUAUAUAAAUAUUAAUUAAGCUUUCUGAUGAUUUCUCCACUGAGUAACUGCAAUCAUGGGCUCAUCAGCAGAGCUUAAUUUAUAUAUACACCCAUGAUUGACGUGUGCUCCUCGAAUGAACUUUCUGGCACUUUUCUUUUCCAAUGAUCAUCAACUCCUUUCUCCUCAUAUAUAUCUAAGGAGUUUGAGACUAUAAUAUAUUCUCCGAAGAUCCUGACAUUGGAGCUUGGAGGAGAGUGUCUCAGUUUGAAUCAGGAAUUGAUCAUCAAAUUAUCAGUACUUAUGAGCAUGCAUGACUUUGAUCUGAAUGUAUAUAAUUUUAUCAAAGCACAAAAAGGUUUUUUAAUAGACUAACCUUCCUCAUAUGAUUGCAUACUGCAUGAAUCAUGAUCACAAUCCAAUUAUCAUUCUCAUCAUUCAAUACCCAUCAUUCCCACAACCACGAGAUACUUUUUACCGACUCUUUCGGGCUUAUGAUACAAGUCUCAAAUUAAAGCUUUUUCUUUCUCACAUAAAAAAUGUAAUUUAUACAAACAUAUGUUUUGCUGGAAAUUGAUUUUGUAAAACAUGCGUAAUGGACACUUUUGAUGCUAAAAGUUCAAUGUAUAAUACGUUUACUUUAUGGGUAAAUCGUUUUUAGAUUUUGUAUCUCAAACCCUUACUAUAAGCUUGUCUUGUGUUUUGAGCUAUGAGCUCAUUAGUUCAGGUUCGAUUAAACCAAAUUCUUUUUGCAAUUUAAUCCCUGGUCAAUAGUCUCAAUUAUAUGAACUAAGGCAUUAAUGAUGAAAUUCAUAUUAAUGUAAGUAUAAACAUACAUGAAUUUUAUAACGUACUUUCAUCAAUUAGGAAUAUUCAAGUAUUAAUGAUGUUAAUGUAUGUACAUUAAUGUAUGGGUAUCAAAUAUCUGGAGCCUUUUAAGUCCUAUAAAUAGGCGCUUUAUGCUGAGGACAUUGGGUAAUAUCCCACACCAAUGUAGCUUCAAUAUUGAACACCAAAAUAAAUUGAGAAUGACAAAAGCAAAUUAAAACUACCCAAGCAUAGUGGAUUAACCCGAUAAUUUACUAUUGAAUAUCAAAUGCCAUAGAAAAAUCAAUAAAUACAAAUAAAAUGAUAAAGAGAGAAUGCACCAAAUUUACGAGGUUCAACAAACUGCCUAUGUCCUUGGACACCAACACCAAAUGAUAACUUCACUAGUACCAAAAAAAUAUACAAACUAAUGGAACCCAAUAUAACUAAGUAUAUCAAAGCAAAAGGGAAGAACAAAGGAAGAGAUACCUUCAAACUUAAGGCACUAAUGCCUUUACGUAUAGGAGAUGAGGUAGCAAACGUUUGCUCCCAUUCAAUAUGGGAUUUAAAAAGGAGAAAAUAACUAAAAAAUCUCCAACUUUGGUGAAUUUUUCGAUCUCACUCAACUUCUAGUGUCUUCCACUUCUCAAACGUUGUGAAGUCAUCUUUAAAAGUGCCUCCAAAUGUGUUCUCGAGAGCCAUACACCCGAAGGUGUUCAAACUCGCAGAAUAUUAAUCAAGUUAAAAUAUUGGUUGAACUUGAUUGUCGUUACCACCCUAGUCAUUAUAUUUGUAGGAUUUUCAGCUGUUGGAAUCUUUUGAAGUAGAAUAUUUCCCUCUUAAAAGAUUUCUCUCACAAAGUGAUACCUUAUGUCGAUGUGCUUGGUUCUUGAAUCAUAAACUUGGUUUUUAACUAAAUGAAUAGUGCUUUAAUUGUAACAAUAAAGGCUAAUGUGACUUUGAACAACUCCCAAGUCUUCCAACAAUCCAUUAAGCCAAACAACCUUUUUAACAGCUUUUGAAACUGCCAUAUACUCUGCCUCUGUCGUUGACAAAACUAUUGUAGGCUGUAAGGUAGACUUCUAACUUAUUAGGGCUCUAGCAAGAGUAAAUAGAUGCCAAGUAGUAGAUUGAAAUUUAUCCAAAUCACUGGCAUAAUUACAAUCAACCUGUCUGACUAAACAUUGACCCAGCGUCUUAUACCGCUUUAAGAUCAAACCGACAUCUACGGUUUCCAGAAGAUACUGUAGAAUCCAUUUCACAACUUGCCAAUGUCCUUUACCAGGAUUAUGCAUAUACCUACUCACAACUCUAACUGCUUGUGAAAUGUCUGGCCUAGUACACACCAUCGAUACAUCAGGCUCCCAACUACAUUAGCAUACGGAACCUUUUCCAUAUAUUCUCGUUCUUUAUCACUUUUAGGAGAUAAUUGAGCACUGAGUUUCAAAUGAGAAGCGAGACAGGUACUUACAUGAUUUGUAUUAUCAUGCAGACCAAAACAUUGUAAUACCUUUCUUAAAUAUUGCUUUUGAGUCAAAUAAAGCUUGCCUCUCUUUCUAUCUCUAUGUAUCUCCAUGUCAAGAAUUUUCUUGACCUCAACUAGAUUCUUCAUCUCAAACUCUUGAUUUAGGUGAGCCUUUAAUUCAUCUAUUUCUCUGACUUUUCAAAGCGAUCAACAUAUUAUCAAUAUUCAGGAGAAGAUAAAUGAAAGAUUAUCUAGUAGCUUUCACAAAUAUACACAAUGGUCAUAUUUGCUUCUGGUGUACUUUUGCCUGCUCAUAAAGCUAUCAAAUUGCUUGUACCUACCUCAGGGAUUGCUUCAACCCGUACAAUGAUUUUUUUAGCUUACAAACCCAAUUUUCUCCAACAGCAACCUUGUAUCCUUCUGGCCAUGUCAUAUAGAUUUCCUAUUCUAAAUCACCAUGCAAGAAAGUUGUCUUCACAUCAUGUUGAUCUAGCUCCAAAUUCAACUAUGCUACUGAUUUGUUGUAAUUCGGUGCAACAGAUUAAACUAGUUUUCCUAUUUAAAGAGCUUGAAUACAAGCGUUUUUAUUAGGUUUUAGUUGAGUUUUUAUAAUUUUAUUUACAUUGAAUAAAAAGUGUAAUUUGAGUAUUUUAUUGACCUUAGGGGUCGAAUGAGGCCUAAGGGUGAGCUAAUAUACUUUGUGAGUGUGCAGAAGACCAUUAGAGGACGUACCAACUCAAUACUAGUCGCUGUGUUGCAACACAGGAAGUUUGAUGUCGCAACAUAGGAAGCAAAGAGCAAGAAUUCCAAGACUUCUUUCAGUGUCGCGACACAACCAAGGGAUGUCGCGACACACCCCUAAAGCUACCCUGAGUACGAGCAUAUUGCCUUCGAUGUCGCGGCACACGUACUAGGGUGUUAAGAGAUCGAUCCUGUACGAGAAAUACUUAUGAGCUAAGGACGUUUUGGUCUGCACAAUCAAAAGUUAAACACGAGAGCGUCAACUAACCUAAGGUUGAGGACGACGACAACCCUAACUUUAUAAAUAGGCUCAUUUAACACUUGUUAUGGACAACUUUUCAUACCUUAUAAUUUUUUUUAUAAUUUUAAUUUUUAGUUUUUCCUUUUUCUUAGGCUUUAGCUUAUUGUUAGUUUUGUGUUUGUUAGGAGAUUUGAUUUGUGGAACUUGAUCAACUCUUUGUGGAUUUCGUGCUUCAAUUAAACACAAUUCAGGAUUCUCUUAAACCUUCAGCUCUUGAUUUGCUAUUAAUGUUCAUCUUUUACAUCAAGUUUAUUAUGUUUUUGAGAUCUAUGAGGAACUAAUCCUCUUAUGGGGGAUUAGUGAGUGGAGGUAUGAUUAAUUGAUUGUUGUGCAGGCUUUUAUUAAUGAAUCAGCUGUUUAGGAGAGGAAGAACUUAAACCCUAGGCUUGACGACCUUAGGAAGUCAUCUAGGUGGGAAUUAACCCAAAAUUGGCAUGGCCUAUCUGUGAACACCUUAGCCCCAAGCCGGUCUGGACUGUGAGGUUGAGAGAUAAGUAGUUUUUGCCAAGUCAUUAUUCUAGUGGAAGAUUGAGAGAUCCUGCUAGGGUAACGCUAGUUGAUUGAACAAAAACUCGAAGUAACAGUUACUUAUGACUACCGAAGUGAGCUAAUCACCCAUGCUCAGAUCUGAUUCAGUUUCCAUAUCAAAUUUCUCAAAGUUUUCCUUUUAUAGUAUUUUAUUCUUUAUUUAUAAAAAUACCAAAAAUCCUUUCUUUAUGUUUAUUCAUAAUAUAAUUUAUUUAAAGUACUAAUUAGCUCUAUUUGUGCUUAGGUUAGGAUUAAUUUAGUACUCCCUUCUUUUGGGUACGAUCCUUGGAGUACUCACCUACUUCGUUGUAACUAUAGUACAACCUGACUCAUAUACUUGCAGACACCGCCUAUUUGACAUAUUUUGUGCAAGAUUUUUACUCUAGACGUUGGUACGUCAGGAGGCAGUCGGCUACCAAAGCCAACAAAAUUCUAAUGGAGGAAUGUUUCACAAUAGGUGAAACUACUUUAUUGUAGUCAAUUCCUUCCUUCUAAGUGUAGCCUUUAGUUGCCAACCUUGCUUUUGUUUAACAUCUUUCUUGAUAGGAAACCCUUUUUUCUUUGCAAAUACCCACUUACACCAACUCCCAAGUAUUAUUCUUCUAGAGAGAUUGUAUUUCUUCAUCCAUGAUACUUUUGCACUUCUCACUUUCUGAAAUCUACAACACUUCUCAACAAGGCUGCAUAGGCCACCAUAUUAGUAAAAUGAGCAGGUUACGAAUUUAUCUCCUUGGCAUUCUAAUUGCAAAUGGUUCUGGUGUAUUCGACAAUUCUUGGGUUGAAACCUCUUCAUUUUUUGAUUCCUCCGCUAUGAUUGAAGAAUCAGACUCAUUAUCUGCGCUAAUCACCAUAUGCUCAAAGGCCUCCUAUUUUGGAGUACACUCCACCUACUGUAAAGUACCACUUCUUUGAAAAUAUUCAUUUGUUACCUUUUUUAAUAUGGCAAGUUCAUCAAAGGUAACAUAUUUGAUAUAGAUCAUUUUCUUUGUGUCUAAACACCAAAGUCGGAAUCUCUUUACUUCAGAGGUGAUUCCCAUAAACAUAGCUUAUUUGCUCUCGGAUAUAAUUUUGACUCUUUUACAUGGUAAUAAAAGAUGCAUCUAAACACAUGUAAAGAAUCGUAAUCAGUAGUAGGUUUUCCAAACCAUACCUCCAUAAGUGUUUUUCCCUUAAUUGUAGAUGAUGGUAAAUGAUUAAUAGAUGACAAUCAUAUGACACGACCUUAGCACAAAAUUGCUUGUACAACCCAAUAUUGGACAACAUAUAUCGAACUUUUUCCAAUAAUGUAUGAUUCAUAUGCUUUUCCACCUCAUUCUGUUGUGGUGUAUCCCUAACAACGAAGUGUCAAACAAUACCAUACUUUUAGCACUCGUCGAAGAAUGGAUCACUUUUAUAUUCCCUUCCAUUGUCUGUCCUAAGCUACUUAAUCUUUCUGCUAGUUUGGUUUUUUUUUUUAUCAUAGUUUUCUAUUUAAGGAAGAUUCUAAGCAUUUCAUCUUCAGUUUUCAUCGUACACACCCAAAAUCUUCUAGAAAAUUCAGCAACAAAAGUUACAAAGUAGUGUUUUCCUCCUAACAAUGUUUCUUGGAAGCCCCCCACACAUUUGAGUGAACAUAAUCCAAAAUACCUUUCGUAUCAUAGAUAAUGAUGCUAAACUUCACUCUCUUUUGCUUUUGUAGAACACAAUGCUUGCAAAAUUCUAACUUGAAGCCUUUGGACCAUUCAAAAAUCCUUAAUUUGCUAGAAUUUGCAAGGAUUUCUCACCAGCAUGUCUCAAUCACAUAUGUCACAACUUGGUCAAAUCCAAUUUGGGACAAAAGUUGAGGACAGUUGAUUGGUGAAAGGUAUUAAUGAUAAAAAAUGACUAUUUGGUUGUAUGAAAGGAGUAGAGUUGUAGGGAACCAGGCAAUGGUUAGGAUUACAAGAUAGAUGAAAUAUAUGACUAGAUGGAGGGUUAUCUGGAAGUAUGUGAUUAAAGGUGGGGUUACAAGGGGAAAGAUUUGUGCAUGGAUUGGCUUUUGGUUUUAAGUAAAAGUUGUGUACAAUAGUGGAGUUGUAGGUACACAUAUUUUCACGUGUGUGUGAGCUAGGCGUACAAGUAAGUAAUGGAGCAUUAUACCUGUAAGAUACCCUUGUAAAAUUAGGAUCAAACUUGAAGAAACAUAUGUCCACUAAAUGUCUUAGUUUUCCACAUAAUUAACAUUGUGAGCGGGAGCCUUGAUGCCUGCAAUAACCUCUUCCACCCCUAAAACUCUUACUAUAUGACACAACAUGUCUAUAGGAUGGAGUAUAUGCAACUAGGGAUGAACAUUCGAUUGAAUCAAGUCAAAUCAAAUCGAGCAAAAAAAUUUGAGUUAAUCGAGUUGACGAGUCCUAUUUUAUCAAACUAACUCGAUUGGAAAUUUUUUAGAAUUGAGUCGAGUGAAAUAAAAGUCAAGUCGAGUCGAAUCAAAUCGAAUCGAAUCGUUCGAGUUAAAUUAAAAAAUUAAACAUAUCAAAUUAAAAUCUUGUUACAGUAUAUCUAAUUUUUGAAAACUUUUUCAAAGUAAAAUUAUAAAAAAAUAAGAUACUUUAGUAUAACAAACUUGAAUUUUUUUAACUUAUUUAAUUUUAAAAAUUAUUAUUUUAUAAAAAAUUAAAUUUCUUUAUAUAUUUUUUAGAUUUUUUUUAAAUUUUUUAUAAUUUUUAAAAAAAAUGAAAUUUGAAAUUUUUAUAAAUAUUUUGAAUUUUUGAAAAUUAUUUUGAUUUUUUUUGUAAUUUUUUGAUUAAAUGCUAAAGUUACAUAUUUUAUGUAAUUAAAUUGGUUAAUUUAUGAGAAUGCACCACUAACUUUGCCAUAUUUAUUGAAUUUUGUGCAGGAAUGCAAUUUGGGGGCUAAAUAGAAGAAAAAAGGGAACAAUUGGGCCAAAUUAAAGAAAGAAGCAAAGAAUGAGGGCCAAAGUAGAAUUUUUCCUAUUUUUAAUUAGCUGAAAAUUUUGUUCAUUUAGUGGGGGAGAUUAUUUUGGGAUAUUUUUGGUCAUGGAAUAUUUUUUUUCCUUAAUUUCCUAUGACUAGUAGGUUCCUAAUUUAAUAAAUCCUCUAGUAUAAAUAGUGCUUGUAUUGUUCAUCAUUUCAUCAAUGAAUCAAAAAAUAUUUUAGCUUUUGUCUUUCAAUUCUCUCCUUUCUCACGUAGCCUUUGUUAUUUCUUAGCUUGUUUUCCUUCAAUUUUCAUUAGUUCCAGUAGCCUACCAUCCAUUUCACAUUUAUUUUCAACUUUUCACAAAUUUAUUUAUUGUCUUUAGUUUCUUUAACUUUUAAUUCCUAAAAACUUCCAGCUUUUACUACUUUCCAUUUAUAACACCUUUUUCAAAUUCCCUUUUUCAAUCACCCCCACACUUAAUCACAUCACCCAUCUUUUCAACCUUUUCUACCUUAUUUAAUUUAUCAAAUACCAACAUGUCCCAAACCUUAGCCAACUAAAUUUAUUUUCAGCUUUAGGCCGAAAUUAGCCUCGUCAAAACCCGUGAGUUACGAACCCGAGCCAUUUAACUCAUAAAAUUCCAGUACUUAUUGCUUCUCCGGAUUAAGAGUAUGAUUUUGUCAGCUCAUAAAGUCAGAUCAACACUAAGUAAAAAAAGACAUCGUUUGAUUUGGUGUGAUUAGACGUACAGUUGGAAUUCCGAAAAGAACGUUUCUAAUCGGUUUUCUGUGAACACAUUGGCGUGCCAAGUGGAGGCUGCUGUUUGGUUCCGUCAAGGGAAGUAGUAACCGGAUUUAAAUGUCCCACGCGGUUGAGGGCAUUGGUUCGAGCUAGGCUCUUCUAGAACGCAAAGCUGCCGGAGUUCUAAAUCAUGAACGUUUCGUGGUUGUUCGGUCGGUAAGAGUUAGUUAUUGGACGUUCCAUAACUAAUUUACACAAGGAAGAGUUGGUGUCCGAGGCGUCCUUGGUAGCUAUAACUAGCUUAUUGGAAAAGAGGAGUUCAUCCAAUUUCGAGGAUCGGUUCAAAGACGAGGAAAAUUCGUGUCUAAAGCUGAGCUCAUUCUAAUUAAUUUUUCUUAAUAUUUAUUUCACAGUUUUUAUUAUUCUAUUUUCAACCUUUACUUUUGACGUUAUUUUUCUGUUAAUUUCAGGUUUUCAAAUUUUUAUCCCCCCGAACGUCUUGGGCACGACAACUGCCCCGACAUAAAUCUGGCCAAACGAGUGACAAUUUACAGUAAACCAGUCUUUGAGGGAUCGACCCUACUCCCUAUACUGCAUAAUUUGCAAAUUAAGGCGUAGGUUUAUAUUGGUGGAUUCGACUCCCAUCAUUUUUGGUAAGAGAGAGACUAAUUUGCUCAUUUUCAAAAUUGAUAAGGAUCAAAGGGGUAUUUACACCAAUCUGUUAUUCAAAUGAUUUGAAUUAUUUGAAUUGUAAAAUUCAAAUCAACUCAACUCGUACUCAAAACUCGAAUUACUUAUUCGAGUUGACUCGAAUAAUUUAAUUCGAUUAACUCGAAAUUCUAUUUCUUUUUUUGAGGUUUUGAAAUUCAAUCAAGUUUCGCUCACCCUAUAUGCAACAAGAGUAGACAGUGGCUAACCAGUCAACAUUUUCCUAACCCAACUUUAAUGAACUGUUAUAUAAUGUUAGAAAUUAGCUUAAGAAACAAUACUUUCUGUAAUACCCCAAAAUUUUUUUAUAGUAAGAUAUUAUCUUUGAUAUAAUAAAAUAAGGAAAUAAAGCGACAAAAAGGGGAAAUUUUGGAGUUAUGUCAACAUUGGGAAGUAUAUUAUGACAUAUUAGUUCAAGAAAGGAUUAAAUCGCAAAAGUGAGAAAAGUUUUGUUGUCCAAGAGUAAAUACUCAAAAUUUGAGGGGUUAAAGUGUAAAUAUGAAAAAGUUGAAGGACCAAUGGUUUAAAUAUUUUAAGGGUGGAAUGAUCUAGAAACUAAGGAAAAUGGAUGGAUUAGGACCAAAUUGAAAAAGGUGAAGAAUUUUGAGGGACUAAAUCACAAUUUUACCAAAUUAAGUGAUGACUCAAGGAUGAAAUUUUAAAAGAUCAUGAAGGGCAAAAUGGUCAAUUAGAAGAGAGAGAAAUCUAGAAGAUAAUGAUAUGUUGGAGAUAUUUUAGAUUAAUUAAAUAAAUAAAUAUUAGUUUAUUAAUAUUUUAAUUUAAUUUUUAAAUGAUAUUUUAUUACUUUUUUAUUAUUUUAUUUAGUGUAUAUAUAUAAGAAAAGAAAGAUGAAGAAUCAUUCAACCCACCAUUUUUCCCAUGCAGCAACGUGAGAAAAGAGAGAAAGAAAGAAAGUUUUGUUUUCUUUACAAUUUGGUCCUUCCACCAAAAAUUUACCAUUUUCAUCUAGAAAUCAAAAGAAUUUCCAUAUCCAUCAAGAGAGAAAGAUAACAAGAAGACUAUGGGGAGCUAUAAUAUCAAGUUGGAUUCAAGAAAUAGAAGCCAGAGGAGAGAGAAAAUCAAGUUAAAGAUUGAAAUCAAUAUGACAAGGUAAGAACAUCAAGAUUUUAAUAUUUUUUUUAAAGUUUGAUAUUAUUGAAAAAGUAUGGAAAUGAUGUUAAUGUAAAGUUUUUGCAUAUAUGGUCUUAUGUUCUUGAUAUUUUAGUGAAGAAAAAUUAAGAGAAAGUGAUGAGAAAUAGUGUAGAGAAAGAAACUAAGGGUGUUAUAAACAUGAUAAUAAAUAUCUUGCACUAAAACAGUUUUGGACAGCAACAGUGGGCUAAAUUUUAAAAAUCACCAUAAAUUAUGAAAAUCAAAUUAGAGGAUGAAAAAAUAUGGAAUUAAAUAUUAUUAAGUCUAGUUUCUCAUAGAAGAAACGGUGUAAGUAAUGGAAUUGUAAAUCAUGAGAUAUAAUAAAUUUUGUGAGACAAUGUCAGAAUGAAUUUGGAUUCCCAUGUUCUGACUUUACAAAAUCAUCAAAAAUUGAAUAAAAAUAAUUAGAGGCUUAAAUUUAUAUGUUUAAAAUACUGAAUGAGUAUAUUUUCAAUAGAAACAAACGGGAACAUCAUUCAAAUUCUGUACAAAGAGAUAAUUAAUUUUUAGUAAAUAGGGGUUGGAACUUUCAAAUAGUGAAACAGGGGAAACUUUAAUGAAUAAACCGUACUUAUUGGAUAAACCAAAAAUUUUAAAAAUUUUAUGAUAAGAAUAUAUGUGAGUCUAGCUUCAGAUAAAAUUUGCAGAUCUCAAUUCAGAGUUCUGUAGCUUAAGAUAUAAUUAAUUUAGUGACUAUGACUCAAGUGAACAGCUUGUUAUGAGUAAACAAGUAAAUAGUGGUAUUAUGUAUAUAUCAAGGAUGUGGAAUGGAGUGGAGGAGGAGAAAAAAAUAUAUGUGAAUAUUCAGCUAAUAUGAUUUUAUUUUAAAAUAGCUAAUUUACAUGUUUUAGGUUUAGGGACUAAAUUGAAUAAAAGUAAAAUUUUAAGGGUAAUUUUGUAAAAAUGUCAAAAAUGACCAAAUUGCAUGAAAUGAAUUGUUUUGUUAUUUAAAUUAAUAAAUGGAAUGAAAUAUUAAUUUAGAUCAAGAUUGGGUGGAAAUUCGAGGAAAAUGGAAAAUUACCAAAAUGUCCCUGAAUUUUGGUAUUUCUACAAUUUAUCUCGGUAAGUUCGUGUAACUUGAAUUAUAUUCUUAAAUUCUUGAAAUGUAUGUUAUUGAUGUGAAUAUGAUUUGAAUGUUCAUUGUAUGAAAAUUGAUGAAACAUUGAUAUAUUUGAUAAAAAGGGGAAGAAAUUCGGGUUGAAUGGAAGGAAAAUUCGAUGGAUAUCUGAAAAGGAAUUGACGGUAAAAAGGAUCUAGCCCAGACAGGUGAUCCUAUCCUGAUAUAGCCCUCCCGAAGAAUAUGUGGAAAAUGGAUUUAGCCCGGACGGGUAAUCCGAAUUAGGGUAUGAAUUUAGCCUGGAUUGGUAAUUCAGAUCCAAGCUCAUUAGAGUAAUUGUCAUUGCAGGGGAUUUAGCCUGGACUGGUAAUCCCGACAAUACUCUAUGAGUUUAUGUUACAGGGGAUUUAGC